GCAAUUGUUUACGUGACAAUACAGAGUUCCAACAAUCUAGUCUGAUUUGAGAAAACAAAGCUAAUAUCAAUCACAAGAAUAUCUAGAAAGCGCUAUAAGCACCUUUAAAAAAUGAGUAACAUGACUUCAAACAAAAUGCACUUCUACUGAUUUUAAUCUCAAACACUACACCGAUCCAAGGCAACUAUCCGGGCCCAAGCAAUUCCUGCUAAAAAACUUCAAUCUCAACUGCCAAACCUGCAUAGAAUCAAAACACAUACAAAAUUGUAAUAAGUUAUAAAAGAAAGCUUCCAAACUAAUCCAGAGUAAUAACAUCCGUGGAAACGCCACUACUAUAUUAUGGAAAUAGGUAAAUGUGUGUAACACACGUGAAAACAACAGACUAGUUACAAGUUCAAAAAAAUUAGUCCGAAGAAAAGUGUGCCAAAUGAAAGUAUAAUCUAAGUUAGGCUACAAGUGACAAGUAACAAGCACACAUCACAAAGCUAAAAGUACAGUAGCAGUAGCAGUUGGUCCAGUAAUCGGUUCUGGACCGAACAGACAAUAUGUGCAUGGGGCUAACCAGGCUGGGAGUUGUCUCUUUUCUGGCCUAGUGAACAAAGAUGAGACAUGUACUUAGUUUUUUUUCUGAGAGGAAGCAUUGCCCCUGUACAUGUAUUUAGUUUAUCUUGAUCAACCGUUUCUGUACUAUAAAAGAAAUGAGAAAAAAAAGUGACAUGCACUUAGGUUUUUUUGUGAGAGGAAGAUGUGCGCACAUGUAAGUACUUGGAUUUCCUGGAUCAAAAUUUUCUGUAUAAGCGAGCAGCUGAAAAUUAUGUAAAAAAAUCCGCCAGCAUAGACACUGUACCACACCAUUCCUUAGCAAACAAAAAUGACAGUAAAGAAGUGACAGACUAACUUCAAGAUAAUUAACACAAACUGGGCAUAAAAAUAGGCCAAGUUCAAAUCAAAAUAUGUUAUGUUGUGGACUAUACUAGCUCAAUAUUUAAAUCAAAAUCAGCACCUAAGGAUUUUUCAUCUAACUUGAUGCUUAUGCUGCAAGUUCAUCUCAAAGUGCCAACAAAUAUAGUACUAAACAAUACUUGCUUGCCAAGUGAAGUUCAAAUGGCAUGCAAAACAUUAACAAAGAACAUGAUACAAUUUCAUUGAGAGAUCUCCCACACUAAUAGUUUAUUUGUGGGGUACUAAACUAUGUACUUUUAUUUCAUGAAAAAAUUAAAAUCUGCACUGUAGUAAAUUAUUAAACAAGAAAACACUUGAUAAACGGUAAACUAAUAGUUAGGAAAGUCUAGUAGAGUAUGGAUACAAUGCAUGAUCUCAGGGACAUUGUCCAAUGCAGAUUUUAGGCACACAGAAAUAUCUGUACAAUUAUAACUACUAGAACCACACAACAGUCCACACCUUGAACAACUCACAACAGUCCGCACCUUGAACAGCUCAAAAUCUACAGCCUGAAUAAUUCACAUCAAGAAUGGAAGGGUAUCAAGCUCACCCUAUUCUGCUCAAGGACGGUGUCGUCGGCAUCGAUUAUGUGGGAGAUGUACUGACUAUAAUGUGCAAAGCAAAGAUAUUAGUGUGACAAUUGGAUAUGUGGUUUCAUUCAUUAUUACUGAAAUGCAAAUGUUGUCUCAACUGAACCGAAUUCUUACAGAACUAUGCCUUCCCAAAUGUCUAAAUUUACUAACUGAAUUCUUAAAGAAUUGAUUCAAUUGCAUACUAACUGAACUAAGGAACAAUGUACAAUGGGUAGCCGCACAUUAUUUUCCAUCUUUGCAUUGGUGAGACUAAAACACAUAUAUCAGACACCAAAUUACUAGUCCUUAAAAUGUGCCAACUAAAAUGAAAUACCUUUUGAUGUGAUAUACACUAUAAACCUCUACAUGUCCAGCAGGCAGUAGCUAAACUGAACAUUUGCUGCCACUGACAGCACAUGCUUUUGACCCUAAACACACAUGAAGGUAUCAAGGAGGUUAAUUGAACAUGGUAAAACUGAAAUAUUUAACAUUUGUUGAUUUUAUAUCGAUUCAUUUAAUACAUUGAGGAACCUAAACAGAUAAAACAACCGAAUUAAAAAAUAGAUGUGAGUUAUCAACCCUUCAGACUAGCAAACUUAUGGCAGUUUAUCUUAUGUAGCGUAAUGUAAAUACAGGAAUUAGCACACAACAUAAUUAUCCUUCUGUUAGUUUAUCCUCAUGUAUCCUUAUUUAGUUUAUAUUGCAUACAGGGAUUUUGUUUGAAUUACUGCUUCAUCUAUUCAUUUCAUUUCUUCCAUUCUGUCAUACGGAUUCCAUCUUUCCUUAGCUUUGUGAGUCCACACACCGGCUGUAGAGGAGGAACAAGCGUCAGUAUUUGCAUCUAAUUCAGAAGAUUAAAACAAGGAAGAAGAAAUACACUAACAAUUAAGAGCAUAUCUAGGAAAGGAGAAGUUGCACAAUAUAACUAGCUAAGGAGACCAGGCCAGCUCGUCCUCUGCACUGAAUUGGGUGUAAGAUGCAUAUAUUUUUACUACAAUCCAUUCCAUUUAUCUUAUUUUACUUUCAUAUAUUAAAAUCGGUGCACAUGAAUGCAUGCAUCUAACAGUAUCAUAAGAAUCGUAUGCUUGCUCUUUGCACAUGUAGUACGUUGCACCAAACACAUUCUAUUAUGGAUACUACAGAGCCUUAUUUUAAAAUUCUGCCACAACAUCAUUGUUAAGUUACAACUAAUUCAGAAUUUGUGAAAAAAAUAAGCAAACCUUCUCAAGUGGCUAGCUUCUAAUGGUAUCGAUUUUCCAAGAGUUGUUAUUGAAUACAUCAUGGACAGAAAUCAUGCACAAAGCUCGUUGUGCACUAUAAAAAACAGUAUGCAAACCAUUAACUUUAGCAACAUUAGCUAUACCUGAAUGAUGAUAUUAGAAAAUAGAACAUCCACUCAACUGAUUAUGCAAAAAGCACCUAUGAAACAACACCGAAAUAGUGCAUCCACCAAAAUGGUUAUGCAAAAAGCACCUACGAACCAGCAUACAGGCCAUGGGAUUAACAAGUUUCCCACACUAUCCAACACAUAAUACAACCGACUAAAGGUGCAACGAGUCCUACAAGAAAAACUAGAUUCCUACUAGCCAAUUUAGCCCAUUAUUCAGGCGCAUACAAGUAGUAAUCUACAUGUAACAGAGUAUGGCCCAGUCAUGCGCUCUGAACAGAGGAGGGACGCAGCUCACCAAAGAGGCUUGUAGAUGAUGUAACUGUCGCAGUGCAGGCCAGACACCGCCGUCGCGCGGCAGAGGAGGUCGUCGCAGGAUGCACGACCGUGCCGGAGACGCGGAAGAGGAGGCUGGGGUCUCUGCUGUCAAGCCCAACACGCGCGAGCGUACCGAGCUAAGGGGCGCCAUCCAGGAGGCAAAGAGGGCACGAGGGGGGUGCGGUGUGCGACGGAGAGGAGCCGCCGGACACAUGCCGUCGAUGGACGCGACGCCGCAGCCAAAGCCCUAGCCAUGGGACAGAGGCCGCGGGCGAGCACCGGAGACCGGGAUCGACGGAUCCAGCCAGUCAGGAAGACGGAGAGGUCGGAGACCAGGUCGUGAGUCUGGUACGUGGUGGCCGACUUUGUCGGAAUCGGCGGCCGUUGGUCGCGGCGUGAGUGGUCACACGAGAGAGAGACAGAUGGGUUCCUGGAGGGAUGGUUGGGUGGGGGAUCUGGCGGAUCUGGCAGCUGCCAGAGUUGCGAGGCAGGAGGAGGGAAGGGGGAAGGCCGGCAGCGAGCCGUGAGAGGACGGAGGCAAAUAGGUGGUUGGCGGCGAUGCGUGGGAGACGAUGGGGAAUUGGGAGGAGGGUGUGGCCACGAGCCGAGGAACAAAGUCUUAGGGUUAGGUUUUAUACGGGAGUGGCUAGGCGGGCUUUAGCGGGCUUGCCGGGCUAUACCGGGCCAUCGAUGACAGUUUCUGAAACUGUCAACAGAAAUCUGUCAUAAAUUAACAUAUUUCUUGUAGUGGGUGGACGGCUCCGGCAGCGGCCAUCGCGCCAGAUUUUUCCACGGCCUUCUAGCUGUGGUGGGGAGGAGAUAAGGCUGAUUGUGACAGAGAAGGAGUUGUUUGUAAACAGGGAACAAGUGCGGGCAUCUUUUUGCAAAAAUGGAGAAGCUUGGUUUGUAUGCGUCAGAUCUAGAUCCGACGGCUAUUGGUGAAAGAUGGGAGGCAAAACAUCAUCACCAACUCAGGACCUGUUUGAUUUGCAGGAUUUUGAAAAUGCAGGAAUAGGACACAGCAAUAUUACAAGUUACAAACUGAUAUUACAAAUGUUAGGAGUAAUGCUGCACCUAUGAAGAGGGAAUUACUACGAAGUUUACGUAAGAACUUUCGUUACUUUAGGUGGAUGCAACAUUAUCGUACAAACUAAAAUCCACCGCCCUAACAAGUCACUAAUGGGCAAAUAAGUUUUCGAGUCUCUGGCCACUUGAUGUUUCAAAAACAUAUUCAGCUUCUGCGGAGACUUUGUCAUUUAGUCUUAGACGCUUGCGGUGAACAGCACGCCAUUCAUUGUUGCGCCAGAGAACGCCAAACCUCAUUACCUUGAGCACACUUGCCUCCAGAACAAAGAACCUAGCCAAUUUAAUCUCAGAUGUGCUGCCUCGGUAGUCGAUCAAAUCAAUUUCUGUAAGAUGGAGAUCAAGGCAUUCGAUGAGAUUGUUAUAGUGCAGCACAUUUUUCACUUUCGGGUCUUCUUUAUCUGCAAAAGAAGAGAACAUAUUAGAGCAGCUGGCUGCAUAAGAUUGCCAUGUCAUCAAGAGGUACCAAUAUCAUUCGCUCAUAUGAUAGGGUUGGUUGGCUAGUGAUAUUUUUUCACUCACUCACUCACUCACUCUCUCUCUCUCUCUCUCUCUCUCUCUCUCUUUCUGUUUCCUCUCAUUUAACUAGGAGCACGUGAAGAGCUUGGGCAUUUGUUGCCUUCCACUAUGUGGCCGAUGCCAUAUUUCGCAAAAGUAUGCCACAUAAUACGCAUUGAUGUCAAAUCAAAAGAUUUUGGCACCGCUCUCGCGAUGUGAGAGAGCUGGCACCGCUGUGCACACAGACCACAUGUAUAAACAAAUCAAUCAAACCAACUACACCAGCCUCUCACUCUCCCAAACAAGUGUUUUUAUUGCCUCAGUCCUCUCUCUCUCCCACGCAGUGUUUUUUCAUUGCGUGAGUUAAUUUGGCACCGGAGCAAAGUAGGUGAUCCAGAUUGGGGCACCAGGUGAGCAAUGGAGGGGCAUCGAUGCCAAAUGCAUCACAAGUGAAUUUGGCACAUGUUUUGGCAUACAUAGCCCACUUUUGUACUCCCUCCGUCCCAAAUUCUUGUCUUAAAUUUGUCUAAAUACGGAUGUAUCUUGUUACAUUUUAGUGUUAGAUAGAUCCGUAUCUAAACAAAUGUAAGACAAGAAUUUUGGGACGGAGGGAAUACUACCUCGUAUGUAGUAUAAAAUUUUGACCAUAGAUUUACCUAAGAAAAUGCCAAUGCAUGUCACUAAAAAUUACACCAUUUGAAAUUAUGUUCAAAUACGAAUCCAACGAUAUAGUUCUUAGUGACAUGCAUUAACAUUUUGUCAGUUAAAUAUAUGGUCAAAUUUUGAUACUACAAAAUUGGAAGAGUAAACCAGGACGGAGGUAGUACUUGCUCUUAGGGUAACCAUAGAGUUACUGGAGUAGUCUAAGUUACUUUCCAAUAUGACUAGCCUAGGCUACUAUAGUAGUACAGCAUAAAAACGAUGCAGGUGAUCAUGUGAGAAAAAAUACUAAAAACAUUUCUUUCGGUGCAGUGCGUAGAUGCAGUUUUCAACACUACACUUGUCAUCGUAAUUUGGGAAAAUUACAAAAAAAUUGAGCUACGUUGUCAUUACCGUUUACUUAUAGGAAAGAAGUUUCACCUCGAUGAGUAGCUUCUCCGUGCACGGAAAGCAUGUAAGGAAUCCAACAACUUGAUCCAGAUUGGGGCCGAUAGAUUUUAGUGCUAAGAUCUUCACUGUGCGCAUGGACUGGGUCAAGCUUGUGGGACUCAUUUUCUAGAAGACGGUCGUAAAUACAUCAAGAAGAAAUUUAAAAAUGUGAAUUUUAAGAAGACGGAGAAGAAGAUGAGUGCUGUACCUGAACGAUUACGGAUCCAAUAAACAGUUCGGAGAAUUUGGUAGACGAGUACACCAACGCUGUCAAAUUCGGCGCGUCAAUGACCCUGAUUUUUGUUGGACCUUCUAGAUCUGAUACAAGCAAUCUCUCAAGGAAAGGCGCAUUCUCAAUGACCAUAACGUGGAACAGCUGGAGUGAUCUCUUCCCAAUUGAUGUCUUGUGCGGGGCUAGCAAGACACAUAAAUCCAUCGGAGAUUCGUCGAGGCGAUGUGGAGGCUAAUGAACCUGUGGAUCUGAUCAAGACGAAGGUUGAUGCGGGCAAGGCACCAUUGAUCGAUAAUUCUACUAAAGCUGAGCCAUUUGAUGAGUCAAGGCAUGAAAAAGUUGUGGAAAAUAAUGCUAAGCAUGCGACCAUAUUAUGCCGAGGAAACGAUGGCCGUGUGCGACAGUUUUGUGGACCAAAAAAUGCUCUUUCUUAUUCAUGUAUUUUCAUACGCGGGUGAAAAUUAUCUUGAAGGUUGCUAGGAGGAACAGGGGGACGAACUGUCGAUCAAGCAUCGCCGUGAAAGAUCGGGCAUCUACAAGCACAAAUUAGCACCUCGCUAGUCUGUGCCUCAUCAAAGGUACUCGAGCGCAGUACAGCUGCGGAGCAGGUGCUCCAUAGCCUUCUUCGAGAUGACAACGUCGAAGAUGUCGAGCUUCUUGAGUUGAGGGAGAAGAAGGGCGUGCGCGGCAUUAAUCUGGGGAAGAUAGAAGGAGCUGAAGCUGGCGCAGCGCAGCGUUGGCGCGAGUCGGAGCGCGGACGGCGGUAGAGAGUUACAUCGUCCAGCUUUAAAGCUGAGCUCCUCGAGCUGAUCUAGGGCGCGGGAUAAGAACCACUCGUCGAACUUGGGUUGGACCUUGCAGUUGGUACUGAACAUGCGGAUGCCAAGGCGACUGGCUGGCCCAGGGUGCGAUGAAAGGAUCUUGGAGACUGCGGCCAUGCGUUUGCAAUCCCUGUCGCAGAGGCAGCUGUCGACGGUGAGGUUGAGGGGGACGCAGCGCCAAAGGGGGCGCCACCGCCGGGAGAGCAGGGCGGUCCACACGGCAGAUUUUGUGGGGAGGAGGCCGAUGAUGAUGAGCAGCAUGUCAUCGGGGAGGCUGCUGAUGAAGUCCAGGCUCGCCGGAUGCGGUUUUGGCUCGAGCCGGCUCCGCUUGUUGGCUACCUCGCCGUCCAUCUCAACCGGCGGCGACGCCGCUGUACACGUGUGCUAGUGUGUGUUGUGUGCUGGGUGUGCGCGAGUGCGUCCUUCUGUGCAUGCCGCCGCGCAGUGGUGAAUUGUGCGUGAGUGCGUCCUUCGCGCGCAAGAAGUUGUCCUCAAUGCGACCUCAAUUUACUAGCGUGCGGGGUGCUACCCCGAGUGGUUUCAACUUUGUUUACUUCACGGCGUGUCAGAUGGGCCUCUAGUUUACUUAUUUUCACCCACUGCCACAUGGGCCAAAACACGAAGAUACAGAACACGAUCUGACAAGGCAGCAUCUGGAUUGGUUGACCGAUCAACUAAACAAUAUACGGAGUUAUACGCUGACACAAUGAGCGUCUAAUCCAUCGGUAUAGAGAGUUCGAGUGAGAGGGGAGGCCCAUGAGAGAUAGCAGAGAGAGAGAGAGAGAAAGAGCUACUCCCUCUGUUCGAUAAUGUACUUCCAACAUUUUUGUAAGUCAAACUUUUGAAACUUUGACCAAGUUUAUAAAGAAAUUACUUAUAUCUACAAUACCAAAGAUAAAUGAUAGUAUGAAGUAAGUCCAUGUUUUGAUGAAUCUAAUGUUCGCUCCAGAUGUAAAUGUUUUUCUCCACAUAUACCUGGUCAAACUUUUCUGAGGUUUGACUUUUCAAAACAUCCAUAUGCUUAUGGACGUGACAGAGUCCCUAACUAGAGAGAGAGAGAUAGAGAGAGAGAAUGAGUGAAAAAAGUGUGUGUGCGUGUGAGAAAGAGACAUGGACAACACACGAUAAAAGAAGAGAAAAAGCAUGCGUGUCUUAUGCAAACAUAUCACACAUGCAUCUUCGACAACGGAGGCAAGGUGAGGAGAUAGUGUGUAGUUGUUUGGAACCGAGAGAGCAAGACCCCUAGCACGUGGCCAAGAGGGGUCUGACAAACAAGGGAGAGAGGUCGAGAGAGACGUACGGAGAAAAUGCAGACAUGGGGAGGAGAGAGUGUAUGUUUGUCAUAGAGAGAUCCCCUGGAGAUCGUGAUGGGACUACAUGGGUGGGAGAUCGAGUGACAAGGUGUGUGCGCGAUAGAAGAUGCCCCGAGAGAUAUCGAGAUAGACGCAUGGAUGGAAGGAGACAAUACGUGUGUUCCUGAUGGCUAGUAAGAGAUAAUCAUACUUAGGAGGAGGGGGAGUGCUUGCGCCUAUGAUGGAGUGAGGGAUUAUGGUACUUAGGGGGGGGUGCAUGUCACAUGGAGAGAGAACACGGGCGGAGAGUGUUGGAUGGGUCUAUAUGUAUAGCGCGAGCGAGACAUGUGUAUGUCUGAACCAGGGAGAUAUAAGGCCAGUUUGGCUUGCGUCCUGAGCAUCUUUUGCCUGGCCUGGGGUUGUGGCUGGAUUUCAUGCAUGCUUGUUUGGUUGCUACCCUGUGAAAAAGAAAGCCCGCCUGGCCUGGCCUGGCUUCCCUUGCACUUUAAUUAGCCUGGUUGAACUCCACACACUGCAAGUAGCCUGGCCCAGGCGACCGAUUUCGAACGCCUGGCCGUGCCUGGUCAUGUGGCCACGAGGCUAACAGCAACAUGGAUGGAUAUUAGCAUUAAAUAAUUGAUGCAUGGAUUGAUUGAUGUGAUGUUGAUGCUUUGCCUGGCCCAGGCAUGAACCAAACGCUUUAGCACCACACAAGCCUGGCCAGGCAGAAAUAUUUUAUAUCUCACGUCCACACCAGGCAGUACCGGCCAUCAAGGCAUGAGGGUCAGGUCACGAACCAAACUGACCAAUAAAGUUUGAGAGAGAUUGAGGAGCCCCGAUAAGGCUGAGUGGUGCGGCAGAUAGCUAAGAGGGGGAAAGAGAUAUUCCAUCCGCUCGAUAAUGCAGUGCAUGUAUAUUUUUUAGAAGUCAAACUUUGGAAACUUUGAUCAGGUUUACGCAAAUGUUAUUUAUAUCUACAAUACCAAAGAUACAUCAUACAAAACUACAUCUCAUGGUGAAUCUAAUGGUAUAUGUUUGCCGUACUAGAUAUAAUUCUUUUUCUCCAUGUACAUGGUCAAACUUUGUGAUGUUUGACUUUUCAAUAAAUCUAUAUGCUAUGGACCGAGGAGAGUGCCUCAGUCGAGACAGAUCAAGUGCGUGUGAAGGAGAAUGAGUAAGUGUGCAAAAAGAGUAUGUGUGUGAAAGAGAAUGUGACAACAAACGAUAAAUUAGAGAGAGAGAGUGUUUUUCCGUUUCUUAUGCGAACAUAUCAUGCAUGAAUCUCCGAGAUGGAAAAGCGAGGCGAGGAGAUACACUAAGAUAGCUAGUGUGUGAUUGUUUGCAACGGAGAGAGACACCCCUAUAGCACAUGUCCAAUAGAGGUCUGGCCAACAAGGAACAAAGGUCGAGAGGGAUGCAUGGAUGGCAUGGACACAUGGGGAGGGAGAGAGGGUGUGUUUGUGAUAGAGAGAUCCCAUCGAGAUCGUGAGGGGACUAUAUGGGUGGGAGAUCGAGGGAGUGCAUGCGCGAUAGAAAGAUGCCUUGAGAGAAAUCGAGAUAUAUAGACCAUGCACAUGUUUGUGAUGGAGACUAAGAUGAGCUAGUCAUAUACAUAUAGGGGGGACUGCGUGUGCCUACAAUUGAGUGAGAGACCAUCAUACUUGGCUAGCUGGGCAUGAGAUUGUGUGUGUGCGCGUGUGAGAUGGAGAGAGAAUGAGGGGGGGAUAGAGUUUUAGAUGGGCCUAUCGAGUGCGAGUGAGAUAUGCAUGUGUAUGUGUGACCGAGGUGGAUGGAGAGUUUGAGAGAGGGGGGAAGAGCUCCGAGACGACAUAGUGGUGCGUGAGAGAGUUACGGGCAAAGAGCCAAGGAAUUUGUGUGCGUACGAUGAGUGCACCCAAGAUAUCUAGCUUGGACUAGCUAGAGUAUCAUACAUAGUGUGCGAGAGAGACCUAUAGAUGGUGUAUAUAUGCAUGCGAACUAGAAAGACCCCCCCCCCACACACACACACAAAGAGAGAGAGAGUGUGAUGGAGAGAAAGGGAGAGGGACCAACAAGGUUUUGUGUCGGAUGCGUGCGACAGAAUUGAAGAUUGUCGGCGAGAGAGAGAGAGAGAGAGAGAGAGAGAGAGAGAGAGAGAACAGGAGUCCGGGAGAGGGGGAGGUCGCAUUUUAUGCAUCAAAGACUGAUAUAAACCAUGUUUCGAUAUAAACUUGCAUUCAAAUGUUUAAAUUGGAGAAAAUGUUGUCUGCAAUCCACACAUGAACGGAUAUAUGCGUAUAUCAAACAAGUUCAUUAAUUUGACUUUCCACAUGUUCAUGGAGUACUAUAAUAUUGUACAACAUGCUACUCGAUUGAGGUGUUCAAUUUUGGAUUUAGUUCGCUAUUUUGACGUACUAAACGACCUAUUUCAUUGAAUCGAGAUAUUUCAUUUUGGGUUUGAUUCCCGUUUUUGAGUGGGUCAACUAUUUGUCAUAUAGUAAAUCGCUAGCAACGAGCAUGUAAAAACACAUUACUCCCGAGCAUCAUCUCUCCAUCUAAAAAAGAAGUGGCAAGCUAAAAUUUCAAAAUUUGAUCCGAAUCGACUUGGUAAGGUAGACGUGGAUGCUUGUUCUCCCAAAAUUUGAACGAACCGUUAAACAUCCUCUCUGCUCGGUGGAAUUCGCCCGGGCAAAUAAAUGGGAGACGCGAAAUUAUCGUCCUAUGUGGGACACGCAUCAAUUGGCCCGUUGUACAUCGAGGGUAGGUUCGUAACUUCAUCCAAGCGCGCCUUCUCCUCGGCCAAAAUGACAAGUGCCGAAUAAUUCAUAAACCAUGGUCGGAAAAACACGCUGUCCUGGCCUGAAAUAGCUCACACCCACUAUUUCAAAACAUGCUCUCCUCGCCCGAAAUCGCUCGCGCCCACUAUAGUUCAAAACACGCCCUCCUCGCCCGAAAUCGCUCCCGCCCACUAUUUGGGGAGAAGCAAAGUUACUCUUCUAUCCCCGACCCUCAGUACACAGACCCAAGCCGAGAAGCCUAUAGGCAAGGGUAGAACUGUAACUCCCCCUCACAUUUCAGACAAAUGUGNNNNNNNNNNNNNNNNNNNNNNNNNNNNNNNNNNNNNNNNNNNNNNNNNNNNNNNNNNNNNNNNNNNNNNNNNNNNNNNNNNNNNNNNNNNNNNNNNNNNNNNNNNNNNNNNNNNNNNNNNNNNNNNNNNNNNNNNNNNNNNNNNNNNNNNNNNNNNNNNNNNNNNNNNNNNNNNNNNNNNNNNNNNNNNNNNNNNNNNNNNNNNNNNNNNNNNNNNNNNNNNNNNNNNNNNNNNNNNNNNNNNNNNNNNNNNNNNNNNNNNNNNNNNNNNNNNNNNNNNNNNNNNNNNNNNNNNNNNNNNNNNNNNNNNNNNNNNNNNNNNNNNNNNNNNNNNNNNNNNNNNNNNNNNNNNNNNNNNNNCCCCAUUCAUACCUCGUGGGCGCCAAAUCACCUUCUCCCCGGGAAGCUCCCUUCUCCCGAGCAGUGAAACCUCAGCCCCACCUCCAUGGCGCCUCCCGCCGCACCAAUUUCACAGCCGCCCUCCUCCCUAAUGCCGGAGACGCUGUCCAUUUGUCGUCGUGCACUGGGCCAUGUGCCUCUUACUCCGUGCUGCUGGUGCUGCCUCGACGACGGCCGCUUGAAUCGUACCGGGGCCGAUUCACCCCCGCCGUUAUUCACGGCGCCGGAGUGGCUCCAACUUCGGAUCCGUCCAGAGUCCUGGCGCUACUCCUGCGUAGCCGUCGACCAUUGCGACAUCGCUCUUUCCCUGCCGCCGAUCGCCACCGCAACCGCGCCGGCCUCACCGACUCAGUAGCUGGACCUGCCUACUUCACCAUGCCGCCAGAUAGGUCGCACCCUCAUCUCAAAUCACUUUAUUUAGGUGUCAUUUGUCUGAAUUUUUUUCUGGGUCAAUCGAUUCCCAAUGGGAAGCAGCACCCCUCGAGGCGGCGGAGCUCCUAGGCUGCCGGUUGGCUGGUGUCUAACGUAAGGGUGUGGGGCCGCAAAUUUGCCGCGGAAGCAGUGCUUAGAUGGCUAUCUUUUAGAGUUGUGUGGGUUGAAGGUACUGCCGCCGCCGGAUCUGGAUGACGGGAAGUCUUUGUGGAUUGGCACGGGGGCGGCGCAACCACGGCAGUGCGGUGGGGCGGGGAGCGGGGUUUUGGUCGGGGCCACGAACGGCGGAGGCAGGCUAUUCUGCCGUUGGUCGCUGGCUCUUCGGGGAAGAUUCCAAACAGUGUUAGCUGGGAGGCAUAAGACGGCCAGCCAUCCGGCGUAGAUCAGACAGUACCAAAAUAAAAUAAAAUCGUGUGACCCCAAUUUAGUCUUCAGUCAACAGACGUGUGACCACUCUCGUACCUUGCUGUUGAUCUCUUAGUGUAUUUCUUCAGAUCAAAGAGAUAUGUCAUUCUUAACAUUAUGCGUUAUCUGCAUCUUCAGACGCACCGUCUUCCGACUCACCACACCUGCUCCAACAAGGGAAGCAUACACCGGAAGGGAGCUAUAGUCCCCACUCAACAGUUCCCUGCAUCGAAUGUGCGUGCCCGACAUGGACAGCCACAACAACUGCAGGGCCAUCGACAAGUUAGCACAUGAUGCUCACUUCUAUGGAUGGCAGCUAGAUAGGUUGUACCCUCAUCUUACUUGUGUGCAACAUUUAUGGCUUUGUUAUUCAUCUAAGUAUGGAAAAUAGAUCAUCACAUUUCACUGUAUAUUCAUGCUGAUCUGUUACGGGUCUUGUUCAGGAGUUAACGUUGUUCCAUAGUUCAGCUAAGAUACUUGUUCUUUAGGUAAUGUUGUUCCAUAGUUAUCAUCCAUCAGCCAAUGCUAUCCCACAGGCUGGUGAUUAUAGUAUUAUACCACUUCUAGUAUUACAUAUGUUGUUCUUUAAUACUUUUGUGUGCCAUCUAGUUAAUCUCGAGUACAAAUGAUACAAAUUAUGUAGCUUUCAUCUGUGUUCUCCCUUUAGUUUAUGAGACCUGUUGCUGCUAGUUAACCCCAGUCCUACUAUUUAUGUCGUCUCCUACAGGAACUCAUUACAUAAAUCUAACUACUAGUUGUCUUCCAUGCAUGUCAGAUAUAAUUGCACACACUGAUAUAUCCACAAGAACCUCACGGAGCAAUGUAAAGGCCAAUAAACUUGAUGUCAAUGAUACCCAAUAUGAUGGAACAUGUAAAGGCAGUUCUUCAGAAGACUUGCAGAAAGAUGAUGAAUCGUCUUCACCCCACAAGGUCCUUGCUCUAACUUGGCCUGUGAUAUGGGUACAACACGCAUAUAAUGUCCUGGAGUGUAUCUACUUUGUCCCCGCUUAGCAUGCUGAUCAUGCAUGUAAAUAUGUCAUGCAUUCCUGUUUUCAGUACCUAUUCCAUUCAUGAUAACAUGUUUUCAAAUUCAAGUAUUGUCAUUCUACUCUAUCGCAAUGCCAUCUGCUUAAUUUGGACAUCAUGCUUCUAAAUAUCUUAUGCAUUGUUAUUCAUCAGUAUGUACUUCAUCUGUCCACCAUACCAUGUUUUUUUACAUUGAAGUGUUGUUCAAGUGCUCUGUUGCAAUGCCAUCUUAUUUUCCCAAUCAUACACGUGUAUGUUGCCUUUGUUAUUUAUGUACGUAUUUCGCUAGCAUACAGUUUUACAUUCAACUAGUGUUUUUUUGAUGUGUUGUCAUGUCGUAUCCCUAGCUCUUACACCAUACUCCCUCCGUCCGGAUUACAUGUUGCCGAAAUGGAUAAAAAAGGAUGUAUCUAGAACUGAAAUACGCCUAGACCCAUCCAUUUUUUCCGGAUGGGGGGAAUACAUGUCAACAUGUCAUGCCUUUCUAUUCUUCAGUACCUAUUCCAUCUCUCUGUUGCCGCAUGUUUUAUAAUUAAAGCACCAUUCUUCUAUACAAGGCAUGCAAGGGGAAGACGACUAUGUUAGAAUCUGAAGGGUUACAAACAAGGCCUUUGCAAAAUAUCCAAACGCCAGGAGAUAAUAAACCAACUCCAGUUUUUAUAGACAUUGCUCAGCACAGAGAAACCCAACUCCUACUGAUAAUAAGUAGAUUCCAGUGGCCAAAGAACUAGUCCGCUCCAGUCCAGCAAAAAUAUGACAACUCGGUUCUAAGAAGCGUGUGCAUAUCCUUGCAUCAUGAAAUUUUAUAGCGUGCUGAUCAUAUUGUCUACAUGUUUCUUACCCAUCUCUCUUUUAUAAAAUAAACUUAAUAGAUAGCAGAAUUUCUGCAAUGGUAUCGUUUAUGAGGAAAUAUUCUUGCAGGAAUUCUCUGUGCUCCAAUGUAGAUGUAAGUACCUGUAGUAUAUCACUAUAUUUUUUACACCAACAUGUAUUUUGUUAAUCGGUGUGAAUCCAACCUUUAUCUGAUCUAAAUUUAGUUGUAGCAAAAUGUAUGAUUAAAGGCCACAAUGUUGAUUUUUGCAAGGAAAACUGCCUGCUAGUUUUGCAUCCUGAGCUUCAUGAGUGUACUAUCUCAUAUCAGUGGGUUUGAAUACUUUGGUUCUGCAGUGGGUUUUUCAGUGUUUUUUUAAUGUGUUGUCCUGUCAUAUCCCUAGCUCUUACAUCAUACUCCCUCCGUCCGGAUUAAAUGUCGCAGAAAUGGAUAAAACUGGAUGUAUCUAGAACUGAAAUAUGCCUAGACCCAUCCGUUUUAUUUCUGGAUGGAGGGAAUACAUGUCAAUAUGUCAUGCCUUUCUAUUCUUCAGUACCUAUUCCAUCUCUGUUGUAGCAUGUUUUAUAACUGAAUCACCAUUCUUCUAUAUAAGGCAUGCUAGGGGAAGAUGGCUAUGUCAGAAUCUGAAGGGUUACAAACCAGGUCUUUGCAAAAGAUCCAAAUGCCAGGAGAUAAUAAACCAACUCCAUUUUUCAUAGAUACUGCUCCAGCACAGAGAAACCCAACUCCCACUGAUAAUAAGCAGAUUCCAGUGGCCAAAGAACUAAUCCGCUCCAGUCCAGCAAAAGAAUGUCAACUCCAUUCUAAGAAGCGUGUGUGUAUCCUCGCAUCAUGAAAUUUUAUAGCAUUCUGAUCAUAUUUUGUACAUGUUUCUUACCCAUCUCUCUUUUAGAAAAUAAGGUUAAACGAUACAAGACUUCCUCCAUUGGGAUCGUAUUUGAGGAAAAUAUCUUGCGGGAAUUCUCUGUGCUCCAAUGCUGAUGUAAGUACCUGUUGUAUAUCACUAUAUUUUUACAUCAACAUGUAUUUUGUUAAUCGGCGUGAAUCUAACCUUUAUCAGAUCUAAAAAUAGUUGUAGCAAAAUGUUAAAGGCGCCAAUGUUGAUUUUUGUAAGGAAAACUGCCUGGUAGUUUUGCAUACUGAGCUGCAUGAAUGUACUAUCUCAUAUCACACACAUUACUGAAUUAUAGUGCUUCUCUGGUUGCCCAUUCAUUCAUUGUGUCAAUGUUGCUUUUGUAUUACCUUACCUGGCUGAUGAUAGUUGUGCCAUAUUGUGUUAAUUUGGUGUAGGCUAGUUGCCCAAAUGUUCGUUGUGUCAAUGUUGCUUUCCUAUUAUCUGACUUGGCCAAUGAUAGCAAUGCUAGUGUGUUAAUUUUGUGCAGGCUGCUGAAGAUAAGAAGACAAACUCUAAAAACAGCAAGGCAACCCCAUUGAUUCUUUCCAGUAAAUCUAGGCCAGGUAAUAUGGCAAUAACUCAUGAUUAAUCUGUUUGGUUCCUGUCCUAAUUUAUGUUAUGAUGAAGUGGUCGAGACACUCUCCACUAUCAAUAAUACAAGCCUGCGAAAAUCGCCAUUUGAAUCUGUUCAGUAUCCUCUGUCUCGAAUGCAACGGAAUAAAUGUAUGUUUGUGAACCAAUUAAUGGCUGAAGCAAUGAUGGAAAUGGUGGAUGAAUCAGAGGUGCAGAGUCGUGCGACACAACAACUGAUCAAUGUUUUCGAAGACAGUGUAGCAAAGCAGCAAGAACUUGCCCACAUGCUUAUGGGCGUCAUCUGUGCUGAGGUUGCAGAUUGUGACGUUGUAGAUGGUUAGGUUCUGCUCAUUUAUUUGCACUGGCAUCAAUCUUUGAUUGCCCAGUGGAUGUAAUUUCCUGUAUUAUAUGCUGGAUGUGCAACAUUAUUCCCUGUAUGCCGUACCUUUGCUUGAUCGGUUUUGGUCCUGUGCAUAAUUGCUCAUCGUAAUGGGCUUAAAUUAUCUAAUUUGGCCUAAAGACAUGAACGAACUUUAGUGGGCCCAUUAAGUUAAUGGGCCGUUACUAGGCUGAAAGUUAAUGGUCGGCCCUCUUACCUCUCGAGUCAUUAACAGGCCGACAUCGAUGCGGGCAACAGGUGGCCCCAAUUUAUUUCACGGGCCGUUAACAGGUCGUUACUAAGUUUGGGCUACAUAUGGCCCAACUAUACUAUAGGCCUUUAGCAGGCCGAAAGAGACAGCGGGCUUGUACUGGACCAUGAAGAGCAUGGGCCGCUAAGAGGCUGAAAGUCAGGUCGUAUUGUAAACGGCCCAACUGUGUUGUGGGCGUUUAGCAGUCCGAAAGAGAAACCGGGCUGGUAUUGGACCAUGAAGGGCAUGGGCCGUUAAAAGGCCAAAACUAAGGUCCGACUACAAAUGGCCCAGCUCAUUUAUGGUCUAUUAACAGGCCGAAAGGCACACAGGGCCGGGAAUUGGCCCAACACUUAAAUGGGUCGCUAUAAUGCCAAAACUCAGGUCCGACUACAAAUGGCCCAACUGAUUUAUGGGCCGUCAACAGGUUGAAAGCGACACCGGGCCAGAAAUUGGCCCAACACUUAAAUGGGCCGCUAAAAGGCCGAAACUCAGGUCCGACUACAAAUAUCCCAUCAGAUUUAUGGGUCGUCAACAGGCUGAAAGACACACCGGGCUGGAAAUUAGCCCAACAUUUAAAUGGGUCGCUAAAAGGCCGAAAGAUGUACAUCCUAAAAAUUGGCCCAUCCAUUAAAUGGGCCGUUAAUAGGCCAAAAUCUCAUCGGGCCGAUAUUGAGCCCAAAUAUAUAGCGGGCUAUUAACGGGCUCGAACUGACGAUGGGCUUCAAUGGUGUCAAAUCUUUAAUGGGCCGUUGAUGGGCCGAAUUGGCACAUCUCGUAUGGGCCGUAGGCUUAAAUGGACCUGACACAAGUAGGCCUUAUAUGGGUCGGCCCGCUAAUUUUUACUGGGGCGGCCUUUUCCACCGGAAUGGGCCACUGUUGGGCCGUGCCACGUGUCGACCUAUCAUAGGCGCCUCUUGUCCAAUGAGUGGAUGACAUCUGUCCCAACGGUGAGGCAACACGUGUUUCCUACGGCCAAUGAUGAUUUUACACAUGGAAAAUCCCCAUUGGUACGGGCUAUUAACGGGUUAUCAGAUCCAAAACCGGACCCAAUAGCUUAACGGCGUUGUGUUACGGUGGAUGCCACGUGUCGGUCACCCUUGACGAAAGCACUUCUGUGACGCGCGAUUUAUUGUCAUGGAAGUGGACACUUCCGUGAUGAUAAUUUUGGUAAUGUCAUGGAACACUUCUACGACAGCACAGGUAUGACUAUCUUGAUUCUGUCAUAAAAUCGUCAUGGAUGUACAUGCAUGACAAAAACGCGACCUACUGUGACAAACACGUAUCAUCACAGAAGUGUUUUUUUUGUAGUGGUGACUGCUUUCACCACUUCAUCACCACCGACAUCUACACCGUCAGGAACAUCUUUAUGGGUUCUGGACUCUGGAGCUUCCUUUCAUAUGUACUCUGAUUCUUCAGUGUUGUCUUCUCUUUUCCCUCUUGAUUAUCCUAUUAAUGUUCUUACUGCCGAUGGCACAUCUCUUCCUGUUGCUAGUCAUGAUAUUCUUUCCACUCCAUCAUUUUCUGUUCCUGGUGUUUCACAUGUUCCUCGCCUUAUCAUGAAUCCCUUUUCCGCUGCCCAACUUACUGAUUCUGGUUGUCGUGUCAUUCUUGAUACCGACUCUUACUCCAUUCAGGAUCAUCGCACCAAGGCUUUGCUUGGUGCUGGCCCCCGAUGUCGUGAGUCAGAGGGCCAUGGGGAGGUUGGCUGGCUUUGUGUAACUUCCGCUGCCACCACUUCUGCCAGCUCUCAUGCUCUUGUUGCCUCUUCGUCUGCGUCCUUCCAGCAGUGGCAUCAUCGUCUUGGUCACAUCUAUGGCUCUCGCCUGUCAUCAUUAGUGUGUCAGGGCCUCUUAGGCUCUGUAUCCGGAGAUGUUUCUUUACAUUGUAAUGGUUGUAGACUUGGCAAACAGACCCAAUUACCUUAUCCUACUAGUGAGUCGGUAUCUCAACGUCCUUUUGACUUAGUUCAUCUGAUGUCUCGGGUCCUGCUCCCUUUGAUUCAAAAGGUGGUCAUCGCUACUAUGUUUUGUUUAUUGAUGAUUUCUCUCGCUACACUUGGCUCUACUUCAUGAAAUCUCAUAGCGAGGUUCUCUCUAUAUGCAAACGAUUUGCUGCCAUGGUUCACACCCAGUUUUCCACGCCUAUUCGUACUUUUCGUGCUGACUCCGCUGGAGAGUAUGUCUCCCAACUGUUGCGUGAUUUUCUCGCAGGACAUGGUACUCUUGCCCAGUUCUCAUGUCGUGGUGCUCAUGUUCAGAAUGGCGUUGCCGAACGCAAGCAUCGUCGUCUGCUUGAGACGGCUCGUGCGCUGAUGAUUGUCGCUUCCCUUCCACCCCACUUUUGGGGUGAGUCUGUUUCUGCAUCCGCCUAUCUCAUCAACAUUCAGCCCUCGACUGCUCUACAGGGUGGUAUUCCUAUGGAAUGUCUCAUUGGUUGUUCUCCUGACUACUCAUCUCUCCGUAUGUUUGGAUGUGUAUGCUAUGUCCUUUUUGGCCCGCGAGAAUGUACCAAACUGACUGCUCAGUCGGUUGAGUGUGUUUUCCUUGACUACAAUGAUGAGCACAAGGGCUAUCGCUGUUGGGAUCCUAUUGGUCGUCGCUUGCGCAUCGCACGUGAUGUGACUUUUGACAAGUCUCGUUCUUACUACCCAUGUCCUUCUUCCUCGAGCUUCUCUGUGGACGAUAUUUCUUUUCUUCUCCUUUCCGAUACACCCUGCUAUGUGCCACAUGUUUCACCUCUUCCUCCGGCACCUCUCAUUCACCACCGACACCCUCUUCCCCAUCCUCCUCCUCCACCUCUCCACCAUCAUCUCUAGUUCGUCGCCCUCUCUCACCUUUUCCUCUCCACUAUACUCGCCGCCCUCGUACUGAGGAUGCUUUCCCUGAUGCACCUUCCCCCUCUAGUGCACCUCCACUCAUGCCUCCCUCGGUUCAUAACCUCCAUGCUCGGCCUCACCCCUCGCCUGAUCGCUAUUCUCCUGAUCGGUACGGUCUCUCUGUUAUUGUUGAGCCCACUUCCUAUCAGACUGUCAUAACUCAGCCUGGAUGGCAGCUUGUGAUGGCCGAAGAGCUUGCUGCCCUUGGGCGCUCUGGCACAUGGGAUCUGGUUUCCCUCCCUUUCGGUGUUCGUCCCAUCACUUGCAAGUGGUCUACAAGAUUAAGACUCGCUCUGAUGGUUCUCUUGAGUGUUACAAAGCUCGUCUUGUGGCCCGUGGUUUUCAGCAGGAGUAGGGCCGCGAUUAUGAUGAGACAUUCGCUCCUGUGGCCUACAUGACCACUGUCCGCACUCUCCUUUUUUUGAAAGUAAAACAUCCUCUUUAUUUAUUAGUAAUAAUGGUUACAUCGUCUAUAAGAAAAUUUACAAUAUCGUUCAACGGUUCCUCAAACCAAUCCCUUGUCUCAGAAAAUUUAGCUACUCUAGCAAUUUCAUGAGCUACUUUAUUUGCCUUCCUAUUACAAUGUUCAAAUCUAACUAACGGAAAAUCACAAGCCAUAAAAUAACAAUCAUCAAACACAGCUGCCACCGCUCCCGCUGUAUGUCCUCCAUUCUUCAUCAUGUCAAUUAAUUCCAUAUUGUCGGAGUUAACAACAACUCAGUUGCUUCCCGCCUUUUGUGCAAGUAAUAAGCCAAAAUGUAGUGCCAUGGCUUCCGCUGUUAAGACAUCUGCACACCAAUCCAUCUUCCAAUUCCCUCCAACAAUAAAUCUUCCUUUAUCAUCUCUAAGUACAGCUCCCGCUGUGCAUCUAAGCAUGUCUUGAUCGAAAGAAGCAUCGACAUUUAAUUUCACAAAACCUAGAGGGGGUCUCGUCCAUCCCUCUAUUCUAUUUGUUGCCUUGGAGGAUUGGGCAAUAACAUAGUUUGUUGUUAUAGCAUGGACUCCCAUCAAAAUUUGGUAUGCAUCUUGGGUCUUUCCAUGAUGGACUAGCUAGCGAAUGUCUUUCCCAUCAUAAAUACCAGGUUAUUAUAGCAAUCAGUUCACGAACAUUCUGUAUGCCCACUGUAGAUACCACGUGUUCUGGCAUAAGAAGUAGAAAUUAGAGUACUGCCUCUCCCGCACGAUCGACAACACAAGCUUUUUUAAUGGCUUCGUGCAAUCCCAGUUUCUUCCACACCUCUUUUGCCUUUUGACACAAAAAUAAUAAGUGUUUAGUAUCUUCAUGCCCGUUCGAACAUGAUGGGCAGGUGGGCGAAACUUUCAUAUGUCUAUUAGCAAGUGUAACACGACAUGGGAGGGUUCCAUGUAAGGUACGCCAAAUAAAGAUCUUCACUUUUGCUGGACAAGAUAAUUUCCAAAUCUUGCUCCAAAUAGUAUUGACACUUGUUCCUCCCAUGCCAUCUGAUUGUUGCAAUUUCCUCCCAUGUUGUGUUUUCCAUUCCUCCAGAUAAGUAGGAUGAACCGUGAACAGUCCAUUCUUUGUAAAACUCCAAGCUAUGAAAUCCGGCAUGUUAUACGUGGGGAGGAGGAUCGUAAGCACCCUCUGGACAUUAAUUGGCCACAACAUUUGUCUUACCAAAUCUUCAUCCCAGCAAUUAUUGAUUGGAUCUAUAAGAUCAGCAACUUUUGUUAGAAGCUGCCCUCUUCUAGGAGUGAUAAUUUUCCUGUCCGCACUCUCCUUGUUGUGGCUUCUGUUCGUCAUUGUUCUAUCUCUCAACUUGAUGUCCAGAACGCCUUUCUCAAUGGCGCGUUGCGUGAGGAGGUUUAUAUGCAACCACCACCGGGGUACUAUGCUCCUGAUGGUAUGGUCUGUAAGCUUAGCCGCUCCCUCUAUGGUCUUAAACAGGCCCCUCGCACCUGGUUUGAGCGCUUCGCCUCUGUGGUGACUGCCGCUGGUUUCUUGCCCAGUGAUCAUGAUCCCGCAUUAUUUGUUCACACGUCUCCUCGUGGUCGGACUCUUCUCCUUCUCUAUGUUGAUGACAUGAUCAUCACUGGUGACGACUCUGACUACAUUGCCUUUGUUAAGGCUCGCAUUCGCGCCCAGUUCCUCAUGACGGAUCUUCGUCCACUUCGCUAUUUUCUUGGGAUUGAGAUCUGCUCGACCUCUGAUGGCGUCUACACCUCCCAAGAAAAAUAUAUUCAUGAUCUUCUUGCUCGCGCUGCUCUCGGUGAUGAGCACACAGUGUGACUCCUAUGGAGCUCAACAUUCAGCUUCGUGCCUCUGAUGGUGACCCUCUUCCUAAUCCCACUCGCUAUCGUCACCUCGUUGGCAGCCUCGUCUAUCUUGCUGUUACGCGUCCUGACAUCUCCUAUCAUGUCCACAUCCUGAGUCAGUUUGUUUCAGCCCCCACCUCUGUCCACUAUAGUCACCUCCUCCGUGUUCUACGAUAUCUUCAUGGCACGAUCUCUCAGCGCCUUUUCUUUCCCCGCUCCAGCUCUCUUAAGCUCCAGGCCUACUCUGAUGCUAUCUGGGCUAGUGAUCCCUCUGACCGACGCUUGUUGUCUGCUUACUGUGCCUUUCUCGGUGGCUCUCUUAUUGCCUGGAAGACAAAGAAACAGACAGCAGUUUCUCGCUCAAGUACAGAGGCUGAGUUGCGAGACAUGGCUAUGUUGACGGCUGAGGUGAUCUGGUUACGGUGGUUACUUGAGGAUUUUGGUGUGUCUGCUACUACCUCGACUCCCUUACCAUCAGACAGUACCAGUGCUAUUAGUAUUGCGCGUGACCCGAUGAAGCAUGAGCUCACCAAGCACAUCGGUGUGGAUGCCCACUUUGUGCGUGCUGCUGUGCAGGAUCAGACUCUCGCUUUUCACUAUGUGCCCUCUGAGUUACAGUUGGCGGACUUCUUCACGAAGGCACAUACUCCUUCGUUGGGAUCUGGUUUCCCUCCCUUCCGAUGUUCAUCCCAUCACUUGCAAGUGGGUCUACAAGACUAAGACUCGCUCUGAUGGUUCUCUUGAGCGUUACAAAGCUCGUCUUGUGGCCCGUGUUUUUCAGCAGGAGCACGACCGCGAUUAUGAUGAGACAUUCGCUCAUGUGGCCCACAUGACCACUGUCCACACUCUUCUUUUUGUGGCUUCUGGUCGUUAUUGGUCUAUCUCUCAACUUGAUGUCCACAACGCCUUUCUCAAUGAUGAGUUGCGUGAGGAGGUUUAUAUGCAGCCACCACCGGGGUACUAUGCUCCUGAUGGUAUGGUCUGUAGUCUUCGCCGCUCCCUCUAUGGUCUUAAAAAGGCCUCUCGCGCCUGGUUUGAGUGCUUCGCCUCUGUGGUUACUGCCGCUGGUUUCUUGUCCAGUGAUCAUGAUCCCGUGUUGUUUGUUCACACAUCUUCUCGUGGUUGGAUUCUUCUCUUUCUCUAUGUUAAUGAUAUGAUCAUCACUGGUGACGACUCUGACUACGUUGCCUUUGUUAAGGCUCUCCACACAGGUAUAUGUAAUGGCCUUUGGCCCUUAGUGAAUACUAGUUGCUCAUUAUCCAAACUUGCAAACUAUACUGUUUGAAGUACAAUAAAGGCAAUUCUGCAUUACUAAAUACUCCCUCCGUCCCAAAAUAAGUUUCUCGAGGGAGUAUAAUUCAUGUACUAUUGCCUACUAGCAUUAUUACUCAUUUUUUUCCCUGAAAUUAGUUUUGUGAUUGUAAAUUUUGUAGAACUGCAUCUGGCUAAACUUAUCACCAGUAAAGAAAUGACCAAUAAGCUAUAUCAGCAACAUGGCUUCACUAGUAGAAAAAGGGUCAAACGUGAAGCACAUUAGUGUCGGUUUGUAUUUGAGCCGGCACUAAUGUAUACAUUAGUGCCGGUUCCAACGGCUAGCCGGGCCGCUUUCAUUAGUACCGGUUCAUGGCGAACCUUUAGCACCGGUUCGUGCCACGAACCGGUACUAAUGAGAGUGGUGGCAGGAUGUUGUCAGAAUGGGGCCCCUCCAGCCCCUUUAGUACCGGUUCUUGGCACCAACCGGUACUAAAGGUCGUCCUACAUAAACCCUUCGUCCACCCAAGCUCGCUCUGUUCUUCCCCUUUCCCCUCUCCUCUCUGUUCUUCCCCUCUUCCUCUCGAUCUCAUCACACAUUUUGCCCAAAAUUUGUCAAGAUUUGAAGGCCCCCAUCCAUUCAAAUGAUCACAAAGGUUAGCAACUUUGUCCUUUCAUCUCUCAUUGCUAGAUUAGCUCUUGCAAUGCUUUAUAUAGUGAUUAAUUUGUGAGUUUAGUAAUUUGGGAGGAUAUAUAUAUAUAUAUGUGUGCUAGUAUUUGAUUUAUAUGCAAUUUGAGGUCAAAAAUAACACUUAGUUUGCAUAUGUAGGUGUGGUUUACUUAGUGCCUUCUAAAUCUCCAUCGUAGCCACCGUCGAUCGCCCGCACCGUCCCGUCGCCGGCACCACCUUGUGGUGAGCCUCUUGUUCAUGAAAUUUUAUAUAAAAAUUGAUGUUUGUGUGAUUUGGAUAUAUAGUUACUCGUAUAAUUAUCUUACCCGUACGUUGUUUGUUAUACAUAUAGUGCCAUGGUUUUGAUAUCCGUCCCCGUCGGCCCUAGUCCUUGUUAUGAUUCGAAUGUGGUAUGUAUAUUCUCUUUUAAAACUAGUUGCAUUUUGUGUUUAUGACAAAUUAUGCCCAUCAAGUUGACAUAGAAAUUUUUUCUAGGAGGUAUGUGAACUGGAAAUUCCAACCGACCCUAUUGCCGAGAGGUUAAAUUUAGUUGAAAGAGAAAACGAGUACAUGAAAGAAAAGUUGAAAAGAAUUGAGGGGGAGAAGAUGGAAUUGGAGUUGCAUGUUGCCGAUGUCGUCGAUGAUCACAAGAUCAAGAUGGAGAAAAUGCGCUUGAAUAUUAGAAAGAUUAGAAAAUAUGCCAUCGAUAGUGAGGCUUGGUAUCAUUAUGUUGUUGGAUCCAUUGUUACCUUAGUUGCGAUGUUGAUCGUAUUUGUUGUUGCAUUUAAAUGCUUUAGCUAGAGAGUUAUUUGUUUGUUGCAUUUAAGUGUUGUAUGAACUUUAUGUAUGAACUUGUAUUAAUUUGGUCUAUUCGGUGUUUUGUAAUGAAGAUGAGCCGGCAAUGGAUGUACGAUGACCGAUGCUCUCCCCAGUUUGUUGAGGGCGUGCAUACUUUUCUGCUUGCGGCUGAGGCAAACAAGCGGGCGGAUGGUUUUAUGCCUUGUCCAUGUGCUCGUUGUAAGAAUGGUAACAAUUACUCUACGUCAAGAACCAUUCACGUCCACCUGUUUAAGUCCGGUUUCAUGCCCCAUUAUAAUGUUUGGACCAAGCACGGAGAAAGAGGGGUUAUGAUGGAAGACAAUGAAGAAGAAGAGGACGAUGAUAGCUAUCCUGGCCAUGGGUUCCCUGAAUACGAUGAUACAACAAUGGGGGAAGAAGCUGAGCCGGUAAUGCGGGAAGAAGCUGAAGAAGAGGCAUCAGAUGAGCCCGUUGAUGAUCUAGGUCGGGCCAUUGCCGAUGCAAAGAGAAACUGUGCAAGUGAUUUGGAGAAGAAGAAGUUGCAGCGCAUGUUAGAGGAUCACAAAAAAUUGUUGUACCCAAAUUGCGUAGGUGACAAGAAAAAGUUGGGCACCACACUGGAAUUGCUGCAAUGGAAGGCAGAGAAUGGUGUAUCUGACAAGGGAUUUGGAAAGUUGCUGGUAAUGAUAAAGGAUAUGCUUCCAAAGGGCAACGAAUUGCCCGAGAGUACGUACGAAGCAAAGAAGGUUGUCUGGCCUCUAGGGUUAGAGGUGCAGAAGAUACAUGCAUGCUCUAAUGAUUGCAUCCUCUACCGCAGUGAGUACGAGGAUUUGAAUGCUUGCCCGGUAUAUGGUGCAUUGCGCUAUAAGAUCAGCUGCGAUGACCCUGGUGAUGUCGAGGGCCGGCGCCCCAGGAAGAAGAUUCCUGCCAAGGUGAUGUGGUAUGCUCCUAUAAUACCACGGUUGAAACAUUUGUUCCAAAACAAAGAGCAUGCCAAGGCGAUGCGAUGGCACAGAGAAGACCGUAAGAAAGACGGAAAGUUGAGAGUACCCGCUGACGGGUCGGAGUGGAGAAAAAUCGAAAGAAAGUAUGGGAAGGAGUUUGCAGAUGACGCAAGGAGCGUAUGGUUUGGUCUAAGCGCAGAUGGCAUUAAUCCUUUUGGGGAACAGAGCAGCAACCAUAGCACCUGGCCUGUGACUCUAUGUUUGUAUAACCUUCCUCCUUGGUUGUGCAUGAAGCGGAAGUUCAUUAUGAUGCCAGUGCUCAUCCAAGGCCCUAAGCAACCCGGCAACGACAUUGAUGUGUACCUAAGGCCAUUAGUUGAAGAACUCUUACAACUGUGGAAUGGAACAGGUGUACGUGCGUGGGAUGAGCACAUGGGGGAAUAAUUUGACCUAAAGGCGUUGUUGUUCGUGACCAUCAAUGAUUGGCCUUGUAAGUGCAUCUAGUGCCACCCCUAGUUGGUUUUGGAGUAUUGACGACAAACCUAGUUGAGGGACUAAUGUGUUUGUGAGAAUUGCAGGAUAACACAGGUAGAAGUCCCUCAUUGAUUCGGUUUAGCUACCAGAGAUGACCCCCAAAAAUGUACGAAGACAUUGAAGACAAUGGUGGUUCAUGAAGACAUUCAUGUCGAAGACAAUGACAUAUGAAGACUCCCCAUGAAGCCUUUGGAACUCGAAGACUUAGAUCCUUCGUAGUUUCACUUUAUUCAUGUUGUGUCAUAGGAACCACCGUACUGUUAAGUGGGGUCCAAGAGAACCAGUCAGGAUGACUGAAGUGAUGCCUAAUUCAAAUCCUAUGUCUUCGAGUGAAGACAAUGAGAGAAAAUCUUGUCCAGAGUCAGACAAGUCAGCUUUACUUGCAGCCCAAGUAAAGUUGCCGUGAGAGUUCAAAAUCCGACCGUUAGUACACGUGUUAGUUCCUUAGUGACCCAGGGUCAUUUCGAACAAAUCAGGUCAGGGUUGCCAAGUGGCUAUAAAUAGUCCACCCCCACAACCAUAAAUGGUUGGCUACUCAGAUUUCAGUACACGGCUUUUGUCGUUUGAGAGCAACCCACCUCGAAGCCUUUGAGAGAAAAUCCCUAGCGAGGAGAAAAGCCCUAACCACCCAGAGCCAGAGUAAAUUGGGCAUCACUUAAGUCUUCUUGUCUGUGUGAUCUGAAGACUUAUUACACUUGAGGACUGUGCAUCCUCCAGACGGUUAGGCGUCGCGUUCUGAGCAUCCAAGAGUAAUUGUGGAUUGCUGGUGAACGAAGUCUGUGAAGGUUUGGGAGUCUACCUUGAAGACUUACCUGAGUGAUUGGGCGAGGUCUGUGUGACCUUAGCUCAAGGAGAAUACGGUGAGGACUGGGUGUCUUGGACUAAGUGUCCUUGACUGGGUGUCCGGGACUGUGUGUCCUUUGGUUUGAAUACCUAGCCGCUCCAACCAGACGUACAGUUGUCACAGCAACUGGAACUGGUCCAACAAAUCAUUGUCUUCAACGUGUCACUGGUUUCAUCUUCACUUCCCUUCAACUUACUGUUAUUCAUUGUGAAGCCAUUGCAUGCUCGCUCUAUCUUUUGUCUUCACAACUUAACUGUAUGAUUUGAUUGGCUUCAUAACUUCUUCCUACCUGAUCCUAAUUACACUGAAGCUAUUGUUACUGUGCUUUCACUCCAUUGAAUACUUGAUCUUAGCUUGCUUGUGUAAUCUAACUUCCGCUGCAUAGUGAUAGGCAUAUCUUCUCUGUUUGUCUUCAUAACUUCCACGUUUUGAAGACUUUCAUAAAAAUCGCCUAUUCACCCCCCCCCUCUAGUCGAUAUAACGCACUUUCAAUUGGUAUCAGAGCAAGGUGCUCCCUUGUUCUGUGUGAUUCGGUUUAACCACCUGGAGUUUUAGCUAUGUCGACUGCAGGGAUAAUCAAAGUCUCCGCUGCGUGCCCCGUCUUCGAUGGAACUGAAUAUCCCUACUGGAAGAAUAAGAUGUGCAUGCAUCUUGAAGCCAUUGACGUCGACCUAUGGUAUGUCGUCGAGAACAGCGUUCCCAAGGCUGGAGAAGGUGUCACUGCUGCUGAUGUCAAGAAGUUCACUCAACUGGACUCUACUGCCAAGAAUAUUAUCUGUGGUCAUCUGACCAAGGGACAGUACGGCCGUGUGAGUGCCUUGAAGACAUCCAAGCUGGUCUGGGACUGGCUCUCAAAGGUCAAUGAAGGCAUCUCAACCCAGAGAGAUCAGAGAAUCAGUGUUCUUCGCAACCUCUUCAACCGCUUCAAGCGAAAUGACAAUGAGAAUGUCCAGCACACAUUUGACCGGCUCACUGACAUCACAAAUGAGCUUCAAGCCCUCGGCGCCACUGAGAUCACCAAACAUGAAAUCGUCAAGACGCUGCUGAGAUCACUUGACAGUUCAUUUGACAUCCUAGCCCUGAUGAUUCAAGAACGUCCUGAUUUCAAGACACUCGAUCCAUCUGACAUACUUGAGAGGCUCAACACACAUGAGUUUCAGCUUUCUGAGAAAAGAGAUAUCUACGGUCCAAACUAUGGGCGAACUCGUGCCCUGAAGGCAAAAGCUGUGUCAUCAUCUAAAGAAGAAUCUGACAGCAGUUCUGAUGAUCCUGAAGACAUUGGAAGAGAACUUGCGAUGCUAGUAAAGAAGUUCCAGAAAUUCACCAAGAAGAAAGUCUUCAGAAAGUCUUCACGAUCAAGCUCAAGGAAUGAUGAAGCUUCUGCUCAUGACUACAAGAAGAAAACAUGCCACAAGUGCAAGAAAUCUGGACACUUUAUCUCUGAGUGUCCACAGUGGGACAAUGAGAGCAGAAGGAAGAAGAAGAGCAAAGAAUAUGACUCUGACGAUAAGAAGAAGAAGAAGAAAUACUCAAAAUCUUCUUCCAAGUCUUCUUCAAAGCCUUCAUCACACAAAAAGAGCUCAUCUGGCAAGGCACGUGCGUUUGUUGGCAAGGAAAUGGAUUCUGAGGAGGAGUCUGCAUCUGAGGAGGCAGAGGUGGAGUCUGAGGAGGAAUCUGAUUCUGGCAUUGCGAGUCUGGCUACUGCCUAUGUUGCCAAGUCCAUCUUCAACACUGAAGACAAUGACUUCAUCACCAGCACUGACGCUAAUGACGAGGACGACUCCACUCCUACCUACUGCUUCAUGGCCCGUGGUGCCAAGGUAACCAAACGCACUACUCACUAUCAAACAUCCAGUGACGAUGACUCUGAUUGUGAUUCGAAACCCAGCUACAAAACUCUUGCUAAAAUUGCAACUAAACAACAAAAGGAUAUGGAACAUAUUCAAAAGUUGUUAGAAAGAAGAGAUGAUCUGUUGGGUGCUGAAAUGACUCGGUCUAAAUCCUUAAUUGAAGACAUAAAAAAUCUUCACGUUAAGUAUCAGGAACUUGAAGAUCGUCUUGAGACUCUCUCAACUACUCAUGAAAAGCUUUCGUACAAUUAUCUUCAAAGGAAGCAAGAUCUUGAGAAGUUGAGAGCGGAUCAUGAAGAUCUUCAAAAAGAAAACGAGUCACUUCGAGCCGAACAGAUCAGUUCCGCUCGAGAAGGAUUUGAACCACCAUGCCUUAAAUGCAUUGAGCGUGAUAAUGCUGCUUCUGUUGCUGAAUGUUCCACUGCUACUGCUGUUGCAAUAUCUUCAACUGUUGAAGUGGUAACUAACCCCUCUACUGAGGAUACCACUGCUAUUGCUGAUGAAAAUGCUAGGUUGAAGACAUUGCUUGAAACAGGGAUGUACAAAAGUCUCAAAGGGCAUCAGACAUUAUGUGAUGUCCUCAAGAAGCAGAUUCUGAACCGAAACCCUAGGAAGGAGGGUGUUGGGUUCACAAGGAAAAUAAAUGCAGAUGGCUCUUACUGGAAACCUGAGCAGUACCCCAAAACCACAUGGGUUGCUGCAAAGGAAUCCUCAGCAGAUCCAUCCAAUCUGUCUGGCUUCACUUGUGCCAACCCCAUUAUUAUUGAUGAAUCCUUUGAUGCAAACUAUAAACUGUUUAAGAAUCAGAAUGGUGAAGUGUUUGCCAGAUACAUUGGUACUAACUGCAGGAAUGGAUCGCCUAUGAAGAGGAUCUGGGUUCCAAAAACGUGUCUGGAAAAUCUUCUUGUGAAUGUCUUCAUGACACCUCACAUGAAGAAGACAAACCCCAGACCAAAGGCUUCAUACGGUCCAAAGGCUUCAUACAGACAGAGGACUCACCUGAGUCACACUAACGCAAAUGUUUUGCAGGGAAACCAUACUCAGGCGUAUGAAUAUGAGAGCGGUUCGUCAAACCGUCAUGUUCAUAUGACCAAGAACUACUCUGCCUAUUCUUAUGAGUACUAUUGUCCUCCUGCUAGACUAUUUGCUAGGGCUCCAAAGCCAAAAUUCUCAGAUGCUGCACUUAGACUUAUUGCUUCUAAACCACCCUUGAAGAUGUGGGUGGUUAAGAAAGCUUAACUCUCUUUUGCAGGGAAAGGUCUCCAGCUCAAAACCAAAAUCUUCUGAUGCUAUUGCUGGGGACCUUAAAAAACUUGUCGGGCGCAAGAUCAAAUGCCCAAAUGGCAUCACUAUGUAUUUCAUAUCUGAAUCGCAUGCUACUCUCCCCGCUUGUCCUAACCUGGAUCUCAGUUUUCAUAAUCCACUGGUUCGUCAAAUGUUCUUGCUUCACAACACUCUUGGUGAAGCCUAUCCCCCUAACUACACUGUAGGGUACGACACCAGUGACUUCGGAGUCUUCAGUUUGGAUUAUUGACAGCGGGUGUACAAAUCACAUGACUGGCAAAAGAAGUCUCUUUAUGGACUCAACCUUACGUCCAUCUGACAAGAGCCACAUCACAUUCGUUGACACUGGUAAAAGUAAGGUACUGGGUCUAGGUAGAGUUGCAAUCUCAAAGGAUCAACACAUGGAUAAAGUCAUGUUUGUUGAAUCCCUUGGCUUCAACUUAAUGUCUGUUUCAAUGCUUUGCGAUUUAAACAUGAUUGUAAUCUUUGGAAAAUAUCGUUGUCUAGUACUAAUGGAAUCUGACAAGUCUCUAGGGUUUGAAGGGUAUCGAAAAGAUGAUUUGUACGUGGUAGAUUUCUCAGCAGGGCCACAGCUUGCAGUUUGUCUUCUCGCAAAGGCUUCAGAAUGCUGGCUUUGGCAUCGAAGACUUGGGCAUGCUGGCAUGAGGAACCUCCACACCCUUGCGAAGAAGAAGCAUGUCAUAGGCAUCGAGGGCGUCAAGUUCAAGAAAGAUCACUUAUGCGGUGCCUGUGAAGCUGGGAAGAUGACAAGGGCAAAACAUCCUUCGAGGACAAUCAUGACCACUACUCAACCCUUCGAACUGCUUCAUAUGGAUCUCUUCGGUCCCACUCACUACUCAACUUUUAACACUACUGCUUGCCUCUAUGGCUUCGUUAUUGUUGAUGAUUAUUCUAGAUAUACGUGGGUGCACAUAAUCCUUUACAAGACUGAAGUGCAGGACGUCUUCAGACGCUUCGCCAAUCGAGCUAUGAACAAUUAUGGCGCCGAGAUAAAGCACAUCAGAAGUGACAAUGGCACAGAAUUCAAGAACACUGGCCUUGACACAUAUCUUGAUACAUUGGGCAUCACUCAUGAAUUCUCAGCUCCAUACACGCCACAACAGAAUGGCAUCGUCGAACGCAAGAACAGAACACUCAUUGAGAUGGCCAGAACAAUGUUAGAUGAGUACAAGACACCAAGAAAAUUCUGGACUGAAGCCAUUGACACUGCAUGCCAUACUAUCAACCGUGUAUAUCUUCACAAGCUGCUGAACAAGACACCUUAUGAACUCCUAACUGGCAAGAAGCCAAACGUCAGUUACUUCAGAGUAUUUGGUGCAAGAUGCUGGAUCAAGGACCCACACCAUACCUCUAAGUUUGCACCAAAAGCACAUGAGGGCUUCAUGCUUGGAUAUGGAAAGGAUUCGCACUCCUACAGAGUCUUCAAUCUCUUUCACUACAAAGUGGUUGAAACAGUGGAUGUGCGGUUUGAUGAAACCAAUGGAUCUCAAAGAGAGCAACUGCCAAAUGUGCUAGAUGAAGUUCCAGCUAGUGAAGCAAUCAAGCUAAUGGGAACUGGAGAAAUUAUACCUUCUGAAGCUCGUCCUGAAGAAGAACUUAUCAUCUCAGCACCUGAUCCACAUGAAGACAAUACUCAGCCCGAAGACAUACCUCCCCAUGAUAACGUAGAUCAGCAAGAGCAAAGUCUUCGACCCCUACAUCCUCGUGUUGCCAAUGAAGUGCAGAUUGACAGAAUGAUUGAUAGCAUCAAUGCACCUGGUCCACUGACUCGUUCAAGGGAAACUCAACUGGCAAAUUUCUGUGGGCACUUCGCGUUUGUCUCAAUUUCAGAACCCAAGAAAGUUGAAGAAGCCUUUAUGGAACCUGAAUGGAUUCAAGCUAUGCAAGAAGAGCUUCAACAAUUUGAGCUGAAUAAUGUAUGGGAGUUGGUUAAGCGUCCUGAUCCACGGAAGCAUAACAUAAUAGGCACCAAAUGGAUAUACCGCAACAAGCAAGAUGAGCAUGGCCAAGUCGUCAGAAACAAGGCUCGUCUCGUUGCUCAGGGAUAUACUCAAGUGGAAGGCAUUGACUUCGAUGAAACAUUUGCUCCUGUAGCCAGACUUGAAGCCAUUCGUAUACUGCUGGCCUAUGCAAAUCAUCACAACAUCUUCAUAUCUCAAGAGAAAUAUCUCAAAGACUGCCUGAAGAAGUUCGGUAUGCAAGACUGCAAAGGCUUCACAACACCAAUGCCAGCCAAACAUCAUCUGGGUCCUGACGACAAUGGUAAAGAGUUCGAUCAAAAGGUAUACCGCUCCAUGAUUGGUUCUUUGCUUUAUUUAUGUGCAUCUAGGCCAGAUAUAAUGCUUAGUGUUUGCAUGUGUGCUUGGUUUCAAGCGGCACCAAAGGAGUCGCAUCACUUAGCAGUGAAGCGAAUUCUUCGAUAUUUGGCUCACACACCAACUCUGGGAUUGUGGUAUCCAAAGGGCUCAGAGUUUGAUCUGGUUGGAUUCUCGGAUGCUGAUUACGCUGGUGACAAGGUUGAUCGGAAGUCCACAUCAGGCACAUGUCACUUUCUGGGCCGAUCUCUUGUCUGUUGGUCUUCAAAGAAGCAGAACUGUGUAUCUCUCUCCACUGCUGAAUCUGAAUACAUUGCUGCUGGAUCCUGCUGUGCUCAGCUUCUAUGGAUGAAGCAAACCCUCAGGAUUAUGGCAUUCAUCUGAAGCAAGUGCCACUUUACUGCGACAACGAAAGCGCCAUCAAGAUCGCCAACAACCCAGUGCAGCACUCGAAGACAAAGCACAUUGAAAUUCGUCAUCAUUUUCUCAGAGAUCAUGUGGCAAAGGAAGAUAUUGAUAUCAUACACGUCAACACUGAAGAGCAAUUGGCAGAUAUCUUCACCAAGCCCUUGGAUGAGAAGAGAUUUUGCAAGUUACGGUGUGAGCUAAAUAUCUUGGAAUCCUCAAAUGUCCUGUGAUCAGGCACACAUCCUAACACUUAUGCAUAUUGACGACUUAGGUGUGCAACACACGAAGUAACGUAUAUCUUCAAUCAAUGAAGACAUACACUCUAAGUGUGAAUACAUUAAUGCGGAAAUAGACUUCGGAGCGCCACGAUAAUUGUGCGCCAUGUCUGGGUCUAAUACUUCCUAUACGGUGGGUAACGCCACCACCAAACGUUCUAUUUGAAGUGUUUCACUCAUGGCGUUACCUCGCAAUGUCUUCACAUUUGGUUUGGCUUCAAUCUCAACAUGUCUUCAUGAUUAUCUUCACUAUGUUGAUUACAUAUGCACUGGUGUUCUGUCCUCUACAACAUUCACUUAUAGCUAUGUCUUCUUGUUUGAAUUUUUUGAACAAAGUGAAUGUGAUCGGACCCUAACCUCUCCAUGCUUCCUACCUCAAACUCUAUCUCUCCAAGUCGUAUGCAUUCUAUUGAAACUGUCGAAUGUCUUCACUGCACCCUAGUCAGCUGAAGACAAAGAGACAAACUUUAAAACCGUUUUCAAUGCUCCGGAGAAGUAGGAACGACCGCCCGACAGUCCAGGCGUGCGUGGGAUGUGGAACUGCCCCCGAGAUUCCGCAUGAUGGCCACGUGCUGUUCAGAUGCGAACCGCCAGGGGCACCUGAGUAAUAGCGCAGUGCCGCUUCUAUCCCUAUAAGUACACGAUUCACUGCGGUCACUAUUUCUUCUUCCACCCUCGCCCGCACGAACCCUAGCGCCACCGCUAGCCCUAGACGACGCCGGCGACGAAGCGCUUCACUGCCGCGACCUCUUCGACGCCGUUUUCACGCCGACCGCGGACCUCAACCUUUCCGCCGUCGCCGUAGGUGUCUUCCGUCGCCAAGUUAGGGCACGGAGGAUCGAACUGCUCGGCCUCAAAUCCCACUUCGUCUAGCAGUUCCAAGUGUGGUAAUUAAAACCCUUUUUUACAGCCUCUUUUGAUCCUAUAGUUCAGUCAUUCUCUUCCAUAAGAAGUUUACUGCUAUCACAAGUUACAUCUCUCUCAGUCUGCAUCUCAUAAACUGCCUAGAAUCUUCACUUGUGCAUCCUGAAGUAGUUAGAUUCCUCACUUGUACUUAUCUGAGGAUUCGUACAAAUCUGGAACCAACUUCUUUUCUCUAAGUGAAUGUCUUCGCAUGAUGAGGUCAAUGUCUUCUAAACUGAUUUAUCUUCAAAAUCUUCUGAGAAUGCAUAUGACCUCUUCCCCUUCCCUCGCACCUCAAUGCUGUCACAGGUACAUGUCCGUGGGAGAAUCUUUUGGUUCUCAUAGUCUGCAUUCAUUUGCAGAGUUCCUACAGCGUCACAUCAAUUCACCCGAAGCAAGUUCCUGUUGGUCAAGCAAAAGGAAGCCUUUGAAGCCUUUGAAUCUUUUGAAGCCUUCCAAGUUAAGGUUCAUGGCAUCCCAGAAACAAUCAAGGAAGGGAGGCAGACAGAGACGUGGUGACACAUCUAAAGAUCUGCCUGAAGAUUUGGCAGAAAUGUACCAUACAGAUCCCGAAGAGAGCUAUGGUCAGCGCAAGACACGAAUCCAAUGGAUUCGAAGAUAUUGGGCAGAGCAGUGGUUUCACUAUCGCUUUGUCACCAAGGAAUACGCAGAGAAGUACGCCAUCAAGAGGCCAUGGGGCGAUGCCUUGUACAAGAAUCUCGUACCCCGAACCAGAGACGAAGCCAUUGCUCAAGGCUUCUUUCCAUGCAUGGUCAGGGGACAACAGCCAGCUGAUGCACAUCCAUCAUCCCUUCUCUGGUGUCGGGAUGACACUCUGUUCAAGCGCAACUUUCAAUUUGCCCGGAAAUCUGCGACGCAAAACAAGAAGGAGUUCGGGUUGGACUUCAACCCUGGUCCCUCCAAACCAAGGGCAGAUGGCACACGCGACGCUAAUCCCAAUGUCAUCGGGCCAUUUGCCAAUCUCGAAGGCCUCAUCACUCACAUUAUAGUCCAAGGGACUGCCGUGAACGACCCUCCAGCAGACACUGAGUCUGAUGAUGCUCCUGCUGUCCCGGAGCCAAAGCAGAUGAAGAAGAAGCCAAAAGCUUCCAAGCCAGCCGCUUCUCCCAAGAUCUCCAGAGUGAAGCCAUUGGCAACUGCACCUCCUGAAGCCAGUGUGCAGUCAGAAGGCUUAUCUAGAGUCUCCAAGCCCCAAGAAGCCAAGAAGUCUCAUCCAGACACAGGGAAAGAGCUCACCGCUGCUGCUAUUUUGCGCUGCGAAGCCAUUUAUCUUUCAAGCGAUGAAGAUCUUGGAGAUGAUGCCCUUGAGCAGCUCAUCAAGAGCAAGGAGGAGGCUGAAAUCUUCAACAAUCUGCCUCUGUUUGAUGUCACCAUCAUCCACAAGUUCAUUGAUGAAUGGUUUGACUCCCCAGACAUCAGCUUCGAUGACCUGCAGCUGCCCAUAGGCCUCAGUGUUAUCUUUCAAGGAGCAAUUGCUUCAGAACUUGCAAUUGCCCAGCGCAUCGUGGAGCUGAAGCAGAAGAUAGACUUUGAAAAGGCUCAGUUCAAGCAGAACAUGGCCACGCUCAGCAUCCAGGAAAUCAAAGACUUCAAGGUCAUGCUGCACGAGUUGAAGGAAAACUUUAUGCAGAAACGUGCAGCGGCUCAGGGUUCACGCGAGCGCAUGAAGAAGUCAGUUGUUCUCUGUGUGCAGGCCUACAAUGAGGCCGAGAAGCGAAAGUCACUUGGGCGCCCCGGCAUCGACCCCAAGAUGGCCGCUAAGAAGAAGAAGACGCCCACCAUGGCUAAAGAAGAGGCCCCACGCCAAGAAGCUGUUCCAACUGUCUUCCCAACCGCCAAGCCUAGCUCGAAGCCAAAGCGCUCCACUGCUUCCGAGCUCAAGAAGACAAGGACAGCUGAAGCUGAAGCGAGAAAGAGAAAACACUCUGAAGCCUCUCCUUCUGACCCCAGCACCAAGAAGCGCAAGACGAAGAAAUCUCGGGCUGCUCCCAUAGAGCCCUUGAUAGUUGAACCCCUCUCCGUCCGCUAUCCCAACGAAGAUCGUCAACUGACAGUGCAUGAGCCUGCUCCCACAGAGGCUCCGCAAGUUGAAGACAUUCCAGCAGCCGACCCCAUCGCUGCUGAAGACAUUGGUCACCAAGACAAUGUGCAAGAUGAUGCAGCCCUUCCUCGGCUAGAGACAAGCGAAUUGCUCAGCAUUGGUCGUCCCUUGACGCCAAUCACACAAGAUGCAUCAUGGGCAGAUCGCCCACAGGAGGAAGAGGAUGAGCCCCAGACCACUGCAACUCCACCAGCGUCGCCUGCAUUCCGUAGGCUUCGCAAAGGUCCAAGGGCUCAAGCUGCUGACGACAUUCCGGCUGCAUCAGCCGAAGACAAUGAAGAAGCACCACAGGAACCCCAAGCUCCAACUCCACUACCCCAACAAGAGGCCGUUCUCCAGGAGAACGUGCCUGAGUCUGUUCCUCUCACUACACGUGCUGAGGAUGAAAACAUUGAGGCUGCCACACACAAUGCUGAAGACAAUGUGAAGCCCUCUCCAACAAUAGCUUCAGAACAUACUGAAGCUGCUGUCCCUGAACCUUCUGCACCAGAGUCUGCUGCCGGUCCGCAAUUCAACUAUCACAUUGCGCACAGGCCCCAGGUUCAGAAGCCAAUUCCAAGACUACCAAGGUUCCCAGGUCCUGCAUCAGCUCCUGGCUCCUUCAAUAUCAACAGCUUCAGGGCAGACAAUACUUUCUUCAACCGCUCCAAGAAUCCUUACUCAAGGGAACGGAUCGCAUCAGAUAGGUUCUGGAGCCAUCAACAGCGCAGCUACUAUUCAUGCAUCCUCUACAACCAAGGCCGCAUCUUUCCCCACCAGCGCCUUGAGGUUGAAGCUGUUGCUGGUCUGCCUGGUUUGGAAGAAGCCAUUGAUUGCUUCAAGCAAGUGGGUCUACUGCCGUUCAUCACUGACGAAGAGCAUUGGAACGAAGAGCUUAUGCUUCAAUUCUAUGCUACUCUGCAUAUCAAAGGCUACAACCGCGAUCCGAAGACAUGGGUCCUGGAGUGGAUGACAGGAAAUGUCCUUCAUGAAGCCAAAGCUUUCAACAUCAUUGAGCUUACCGGCCUUCCCACUCCUGGCGAAUUCUUUGAAGAAGGAUGCCAACUCCAUGCUGAAGCAAUUGAGAGCAUAUUUCAGCGUCCAGAACCAAAUAUGAGUCAGAUGCUCUCAAUGAUGAAGCCAUUGGCACAUAAUGCACCCUAUCCAACUGAGUUCUUCAUUGAAGACUUAGAGUACCUGCCCAGAACCAUAUAUCAUAUCAUCAGGCGGACUCUCUGGCCCAUUAAAGGACACUCCCGGUAUGCCAAGGUUGAAGGUGCCAUGAAGACACUCAUCUUCUGUAUUAUGCAUGGCAAAUGCUUCAACGCACAGGAUCUCUUCAUCCGUCAACUUGCUGCGUCUGGCUCAGAUCUCUUCGGUCUGAAGAUUUAUGCUCCUUGGGUUAUGAGGCUGAUCAAGCUUCAUUCUGCGAUCUCCUAUCAGCCCUCAGCCCGCAACCACAGGAUCUUCUUACCAGAUGUGAACACCUCAGCUGAAGCUAUUUAUCCUGAGCCUACCAAACAGCCACUAAAUCUUCAGAAUGCAGAACACCAAAGCUUCACUCAAAAUGUUGAAGGUGUUGAAGCCAUUUCCAGAGUCUAUCCAAUGGCUGGUACCACACGUGCCCCUGCAUCCACUGAAGCCACUGACAGCGAAGCUGCACAGAGACCCAAGAAACGCGCUCGUACCCUCACUGAUCAUGAACUUCUUGUGGCUCUGCAUCAAAAGCAAGAAAGGCAUCACGACUGGCUCAAGAGGCAGAUGGGCAACAUCAUGAAAGACAUCAAUCGCAUCAGAAAUCUGGCAACCAAGAAUGCAUUCGUCGCACACGAAACCUGUCGCCGCACUUGGAAAGGCCUCACAAUGAUGUGCCCAGAAGCUGAUCUUCACGAGGAUGGCUUCAAAGAGCAUUUCAAGUUUGAUACCACACCUCCCAGAAGAGCUGUGGUGCGAAGCACACCAUCUCUUGAAGAUUCGAAUUUCUCUUCUUCUGCUGCCACAGUAUCUGCCAGGAUCAUUGAAGAAGAAGACGACGCUACAUCACCACCAAUGUCUUCAGCGCGCGUCAUCACUGCACCAAGCUCGCCUGCACCACCAAACGCAUCCACCGACCCUGCUGCGCCUGGGAACGCAUAGAAAACUCUAUGUCUUCAAACCUUUUUGGUCAUCACUGACAAAAGGGGGAGAAGCAUAUGAUGUUUAUAGUCUUCAAGCGGGUCAAUAAUAUGGGCGGGUGCUUUAUAUUUUGCAUUUUGCUUCGUGAUUACAACUCUCGUUUUGCUACAUUUGGUUCUUUGAGUUGUAAGCACUUAAACUUGAUGGUCGUCUGCUACUGUGUUUUUGCGAAGAUAAAUUCCGCAUGUACGACGAUAAUUUCCGCACUCUUAUCAUUUCGCAGACGUCCAUUUUCCAUUAUGCAUGUCAUUAUCUUCAUAUAUCUUUACGUGCAUAAUGGAUUGUCAUCAUAAGUUGAAGUGGAUUCCCACAAAUACAACCUGCUAUGUGCAUUUGCAGUCCAAAAGCAAAUCACUUAUAUGCACAUCUUCAGGGGGAGCCCUUGCAGCUUAUGAAGACAAUUCCUUUACAAUUUCGCAAAUUAUAUUCCCCGUUGAAAACUUCAACUAGUUUGUCAUCAAUCACCAAAAAGGGGGAGAUUGUAAGUGCAUCUAGUGCCACCCCUAGUUGGUUUUGGAGUAUUGACGACAAACCUAGUUGAGGGACUAAUGUGUUUGUGAGAAUUGCAGGAUAACACAGGUAGAAGUCCCUCAUUGAUUCGGUUUAGCUACCAGAGAUGACCCCCAAAAAUGUACGAAGACAUUGAAGACAAUGGUGGUUCAUGAAGACAUUCAUGUCGAAGACAAUGACAUAUGAAGACUCCCCAUGAAGCCUUUGGAACUCGAAGACUUAGAUCCUUCGUAGUUUCACUUUAUUCAUGUUGUGUCAUAGGAACCACCGUACUGUUAAGUGGGGUCCAAGAGAACCAGUCAGGAUGACUGAAGUGAUGCCUAAUUCAAAUCCUAUGUCGUCGAGUGAAGACAAUGAGAGAAAAUCUUGUCCAGAGUCAGACAAGUCAGCUUUACUUGCAGCCCAAGUAAAGUUGCCGUGAGAGUUCAAAAUCCGACCGUUAGUACACGUGUCAGUUCCUUAGUGACCCAGGGUCAUUUCGGACAAAUCAGGUCAGGAUUUCCAAGUGGCUAUAAAUAGUCCACCCCCACAACCAUAAACGGUUGGCUGCUCAGAUUUCAGUACACGGCUUUUGUCGUUUGAGAGCAACCCACCUCGAAGCCUUUGAGAGAAAAUCCCUAGCGAGGAGAAAAGCCCUAACCACCCAGAGCCAGAGUAAAUUGGGCAUCACUUAAGUCUUCUUGUCUGUGUGAUCUGAAGACUUAUUACACUUGAGGACUGUGCAUCCUCCAGACGGUUAGGCAUCGCGUUCUGAGCAUCCAAGAGUAAUUGUGGAUUGCUGGUGAACGAAGUCUGUGAAGGUUUGGGAGUCUACCUUGAAGACUUACCUGAGUGAUUGGGCGAGGUCUGUGUGACCUUAGCUCAAGGAGAAUACGGUGAGGACUGGGUGUCUUGGACUAAGUGUCCUUGACUGGGUGUCCGGGACUGUGUGUCCUUUGGUUUGAAUACCUAGCCGCUCCAACCAGACGUACAGUUGUCACAGCAACUGGAACUGGUCCAAAAAAUCAUUGUCUUCAACAUGUCACUGGUUUCAUCUUCACUUCCCUUCAACUUACUGUUAUUCAUUGUGAAGCCAUUGCAUGCUCGCUCUAUCUUUUGUCUUCACAACUUAACUGUAUGAUUUGAUUGGCUUCAUAACUUCUUCCUACCUGAUCCUAAUUACACUGAAGCUAUUGUUACUGUGCUUUCACUCCAUUGAAUACUUGAUCUUAGCUUGCUUGUGUAAUCUAACUUCCGCUGCAUAGUGAUAGGCAUAUCUUCUCUGUUUGUCUUCAUAACUUCCACGUUUUGAAGACUUUCAUAAAAAUCGCCUAUUCACCCCCCCCCCCUCUAGUCGAUAUAACGCACUUUCAAUUGGUAUCAGAGCAAGGUGCUCCCUUGUUCUGUGUGAUUCGGUUUAACCACCUGGAGUUUUAGCUAUGUCGACUGCAGGGAUAAUCAAAGUCUCUGCUGCGUGCCCCGUCUUCGAUGGAACUGAAUAUCCCUACUGGAAGAAUAAGAUGCGCAUGCAUCUUGAAGCCAUUGACGUCGACCUAUGGUAUGUCGUCGAGAACAGCGUUCCCAAGGCUGGAGAAGGUGUCACUGCUGCUGAUGUCAAGAAGUUCACUCAACUGGACUCUACUGCCAAGAAUAUUAUCUGUGGUCAUCUGACCAAGGGACAGUACGGCCGUGUGAGUGCCUUGAAGACAUCCAAGCUGGUCUGGGACUGGCUCUCAAAGGUCAAUGAAGGCAUCUCAACCCAGAGAGAUCAGAGAAUCAGUGUUCUUCGCAACCUCUUCAACCGCUUCAAGCGAAAUGACAAUGAGAAUGUCCAGCACACAUUUGACCGGCUCACUGACAUCACAAGUGAGCUUCAAGCCCUCGGCGCCACUGAGAUCACCAAACAUGAAAUCGUCAAGACGCUGCUGAGAUCACUUGACAGUUCAUUUGACAUCCUAGCCCUGAUGAUUCAAGAACGUCCUGAUUUCAAGACACUCGAUCCAUCUGACAUACUUGAGAGGCUCAACACACAUGAGUUUCAGCUUUCUGAGAAAAGAGAUAUCUACGGUCCAAACUAUGGGCGAACUCGUGCCCUGAAGGCAAAAGUUGUGUCAUCAUCUAAAGAAGAAUCUGACAGCAGUUCUGAUGAUCCUGAAGACAUUGGAAGAGAACUUGCGAUGCUAGUAAAGAAGUUCCAGAAAUUCACCAAGAAGAAAGGCUUCAGAAAGUCUUCACGAUCAAGCUCAAGGAAUGAUGAAGCUUCUGCUCAUGACUACAAGAAGAAAACAUGCCACAAGUGCAAGAAAUCUGGACACUUUAUCUCUGAGUGUCCACAGUGGGACAAUGAGAGCAGAAGGAAGAAGAAGAGCAAGGAAUAUGACUCUGACGACAAGAAGAAGAAGAAGAAAUACUCAAAAUCUUCUUCCAAGUCUUCUUCAAAGCCUUCAUCACACAAAAAGAGCUCAUCUGGCAAGGCAUGUGCGUUUGUUGGCAAGGAAAUGGAUUCUGAGGAGGAGUCUGCAUCUGAGGAGGCAGAGGUGGAGUCUGAGGAGGAAUCUGAUUCUGGCAUUGCGAGUCUGGCUACUGCCUAUGUUGCCAAGUCCAUCUUCAACACUGAAGACAAUGACUUCAUCACCAGCACCGACGCUAAUGACGAGGACGACUCCACUCCUACCUACUGCUUCAUGGCCCGUGGUACAAUGAUAAAACACACUAAUAUUAAACAUAAGAAAAAAGAAUCACUGGAAAAUGUAUUUUUAAAGUUAAGUUAAUCACAAACUAGUGAUUCACACAAAUUUCAAAUAAUUCAAAAUUUAAACUAUUCAAAUUUAAAAACUACCGGCACUAGCUGAAAGUUUCUAAAAACUAUCAAAAAUAUUCACAAAGAAACUCUAAAUACAGCAAAAAACAACNNNNNNNNNNNNNNNNNNNNNNNNNNNNNNNNNNNNNNNNNNNNNNNNNNNNNNNNNNNNNNNNNNNNNNNNNNNNNNNNNNNNNNNNNNNNNNNNNNNNNNNNNNNNNNNNNNNNNNNNNNNNNNNNNNNNNNNNNNNNNNNNNNNNNNNNNNNNNNNNNNNNNNNNNNNNNNNNNNNNNNNNNNNNNNNNNNNNNNNNNNNNNNNNNNNNNNNNNNNNNNNNNNNNNNNNNNNNNNNNNNNNNNNNNNNNNNNNNNNNNNNNNNNNNNNNNNNNNNNNNNNNNNNNNNNNNNNNNNNNNNNNNNNNNNNNNNNNNNNNNNNNNNNNNNNNNNNNNNNNNNNNNNNNNNNNNNNNNNNNNNNNNNNNNNNNNNNNNNNNNNNNNNNNNNNNNNNNNNNNNNNNNNNNNNNNNNNNNNNNNNNNNNNNNNNNNNNNNNNNNNNNNNNNNNNNNNNNNNNNNNNNNNNNNNNNNNNNNNNNNNNNNNNNNNNNNNNNNNNNNNNNNNNNNNNNNNNNNNNNNNNNNNNNNNNNNNNNNNNNNNNNNNNNNNNNNNNNNNNNNNNNNNNNNNNNNNNNNNNNNNNNNNNNNNNNNNNNNNNNNNNNNNNNNNNNNNNNNNNNNNNNNNNNNNNNNNNNNNNNNNNNNNNNNNNNNNNNNNNNNNNNNNNNNNNNNNNNNNNNNNNNNNNNNNNNNNNNNNNNNNNNNNNNNNNNNNNNNNNNNNNNNNNNNNNNNNNNNNNNNNNNNNNNNNNNNNNNNNNNNNNNNNNNNNNNNNNNNNNNNNNNNNNNNNNNNNNNNNNNNNNNNNNNNNNNNNNNNNNNNNNNNNNNNNAGCUCGAAGGAGCAGCCGCGGCUGGGUUUAUAAACCAGUGCGGCUGCCCUUCGCUAGGCGAGGUGGGACUAAACUUUGCGCCCCUCGCCUGGCAGCGCACCCCCCUUUAGUACCGGUUCGUGGCACCAACCGGUACUAAAGGGGGGGCCUUUAGUACCGGUUGGAGCCACCACCCGGUACUAAAGGGGGUCACUUCCCGCCGCUUGGGCUAGCCAAAACAGACCUUUAGUACCGGUUGGUGGGUCCAACCGGUACUAAAGGUGCCUUCUAUAUAUACAACACUUCGAAAAAUUUCAUUCUCCCCCUCUGUUUCUUCCCGAUCGAUCGACGCUGCCCCCAUCGCACGCCGUUGCCGUCGCCGCCCCCAUCCUCGUCGCCGCCCUCGUCCCCGUCGCCGCCCCCGNNNNNNNNNNNNNNNNNNNNNNNNNNNNNNNNNNNNNNNNNNNNNNNNNNNNNNNNNNNNNNNNNNNNNNNNNNNNNNNNNNNNNNNNNNNNNNNNNNNNNNNNNNNNNNNNNNNNNNNNNNNNNNNNNNNNNNNNNNNNNNNNNNNNNNNNNNNNNNNNNNNNNNNNNNNNNNNNNNNNNNNNNNNNNNNNNNNNNNNNNNNNNNNNNNNNNNNNNNNNNNNNNNNNNNNNNNNNNNNNNNNNNNNNNNNNNNNNNNNNNNNNNNNNNNNNNNNNNNNNNNNNNNNNNNNNNNNNNNNNNNNNNNNNNNNNNNNNNNNNNNNNNNNNNNNNNNNNNNNNNNNNNNNNNNNGAACACACACACGCACAUUUUUCUGUUUUUAGUUAUAAAAUAGUUAGAAUUGAUAGAAAUUUUUCUAUUUUUUAGUUAUAGAAAUAGUUAUAAAAUAGUUAGAAUUGAUAGAAAUUUUUCUAUUUUUUUGUUAUAGAAAUAGUUAUAAAAUAGUUAGAAUUGUUAGAAAUUUUUUCUGUUUUUUAGUUAUAGAAAUAGUUAUAAAAAAGUUAGAAAUUUUCUAUUUUUUAGUUAUAGAAAUAUUAGAAAUGUUAUACAAAUGUUAGUUAUAUAUAUAAAAAUGUUAUAAUUUUUUUCUGUUUUUAGUUAUAGAAAUAUUAGAAAUGUUAUAGAAAUGUUAGUUAUAUAGCAUUGUUAGAAAUGUUAUAGGAAUGUUAGUUAUAUAGAAAUGUUAGAAAUUUUAGUGAUCAAAAUCCAAUCAUUAAAAAAAUGUUACUUUUUGCGUGCAUAUAGCUAGUAUUUGUUUUGGAUGAUGCCCGGCCCGCAUCCUCGCCGGCGACCCAUCCGCGACGACGUCCGGCUGACACAUGUCCGGGACUGGGCUCCGCCGGGCUGGCACUGGGAGGUGCUGCCUAGAGGGGCGCGCCGCUUGAUGAGGAACCCGGCCCCGGGUCCCGUCGUCGACCCUGAUCUCGUUUGGUGGCGUUCGCGUGGGCCAGUUUCGGUGCGGAGGGAGCCGGCCCCGCCGGAGGAGGUACGUCGCCGUGUCAGGGAGGAGGACGAGCACGUCCAUCGCUACAUGGUUGCGUUAGAGGGCGGCAGGUUCUCCAAUACCUGGCAGUUUCUUCAGGGGUCUCACUUCAGCUAUGAUCCUGUGAGGGUUCCUUCUCUGUGGGUGUCCACCGCCCGCGCCGAAGGAACCGCGAGUGUCCUAGAUUCUUCUAUAGUAUUCGAUCUUUAUUAGCAACCUAGCCAGUGAUGUACUCGAUAUAUAAUAUUCGAGACGAUGUAUUCGAGAUUAUAUAUUAUUUGAGACGAUGUAUUCGAGAUUAUAUAUUAUUCGAGACGAUGUAUUCGAGAUUAUAUCUAUUAUUCGAGACGAUGUAUUCGAGAUUAUAUCUAUUAUUCGAGACGAUGUAUUCGAGAUUAUAUCUAUUUUUCGAGAUUAUACUAAAUUGUUUUAUAUUUCUUUUGGCAUAGUUAAAUAAAAGCUAUGGCGGACAAUACCGACAGAGAGAGAGAACAGACCAUGUUCGAUAUCAUACGCGGGCCAGAUGAUGAUCAGAAUGAAGAAGAUUUUGACGGCUCCGAAUUUCUAAACAACACCGGAGAGGGUGAUAUGAUAUUCGAUCGCGACGACCGAGAAGAUGAAGUCAUGAACUACGACGAAGAACAUGUUGAUCCUGAAACAACAAACACCGGCGAGGUAUAUAUAUUUAUAUAAGCAGGAAUCUGGUGAUCAUCGCAUGUUUUAAAUGAGUUGAAGAUAUAUCAACGAAUCGAUCUUUCUUGUUUCAGCCAUCCGGAUCGAGCAAAUCUUCAGGCAAAAGGACGAAACGAGGCCCGAACAAAAAGUUGAAGGAGGGCGUAAAGUACAAUAUCGAGGCAUUCAAACCUAAUGGCGAACCAUUAGCGCCUAAGAAGAUUGCGGACAAGUUCGUUCGUCAGUGCGGAGUUCUUGUGAAGGACCAACUCCCGAUCUCCCUUCAAGAAUGGAGAAAGCCAGCAAAUCCACGUCCAGAUGUUACUUUUGUCGACGAGAAUCAAAAAAAUAUGCUUUGGGAUACUCUCAUGGAACAUUUCACCCUACCAGAUCAUUUUACAGAAGCAGAUGUGCGGAAAGUCAAGAAUGCUGCUUUUAGGAAGAUGGCGGUUGCAUUCAAGAACCACAAGAGAAUGACGUGGGAGAAGUACGUCAAGGGAGGAAGGAAGACUCCAGUAUUCGAGGGGAUACUAGAGAAUCAAAGUGCUCAUUGGGACGAUUUCGUGAAAUUCAAGGAUUCAGAAUUAGCUAAGGAACGGUCGAGAAUAAACAAGAAGAAUGCCGAAAAAAAGGAUAAGUUCCAUAAGCUGGGGCCAGGUGGCUACGCGGUGGCAAUGCCUAAGUGGGAUAAGUCUGAGAAAGAGAUGGAGGAUGCAAGUGUCACUCCGGUUACUAAGAGCUGGCCCCCCAGGUGCAGGACUUGGUUCUAUGCGCAUGGGGGGGGAGUUGGACCCGAAGACAGGCAAUGUUUCGACGAAGGCAUGUCUGAACGGAGCCGACGAUGCGCUACUUGUUGCAAGAGAAGAGGCUCGAUCGGGGGUGUUCCAGCCCAACAGAGAGAACGACGAGCUUACGCGUGCCCUGGGAAAUCCUGAACACCCGGGAAGAACACGAGGCAAGGGUGCUAUUCCGUGGUAUGAGGGGUUUUCGGACUGGAACGCCGACUACAGAACCCGUGCAAGAAAGAAGAUUGUGGAGGAGAAGAAGAGGAAGAUGGAGGAGGAGCAGAGGAAGCGGGACUAUGAACGCCUUCAAGGACUAGAAGCAAGUCAAGCGGAAUUGGCAGCUAAAUUCCAGCGGCAGCAGGAGCAGAUCGACUCACUUAGCCAGCAAAGGGGGUCUCAUCAGCUGCAGCAGCUAGCGGAUGAUCCAGCAUUGGAUACCACCGCCCCAUCCAUGCCGAGAAGCAGCAUGGGUUCCGCCCCAGGCGACGCAGUAGUGCUGGAUAGAUACCCCGUGGAUGACAUCACGGAGAACACUAACUGCGAGCUACACUUCAAAAUGAAGAACAUAUCCAUGAAGGUGGCGGACGCCGUUGCUUUUUCAAAUUCCCCCGAGGCAACCUUCCAUUGCAACCCGAUUCCAGCGGGCUAUGCUCAUGUCUUCGUUGAUGAGGUGGUGGCCCCUUAUUCGGAGCUACAGCUUGACAUUCCUGGAGGUGACGACGAGCACACAUUGGGAGAGGCCAUACAUCGUGUCAUCCUAUGGAGAAAGGAUUGCAUCAUCUUUCGAAGGCCACCGACACCACGUCACCCGACUCCUCGUCGAAGUCCGUCACCGAGUCAGCAGACUCCCGCUCCUCCAAGUCCACCAACGCGUGAGGCCACUCCUCCUCCUCCAAGUCCGGCAAAGUGUCAGGCCACUCCUCCUCCAAGUCCGACACAGCGUCAGACGUUCACUCCUCGUCCAACUCAGCCCCGUCAGCCGUCUCCGCCGCCUCAGCAAUCGCAGAAGAGACACCCCGCAGCUGUGGUGCGUAGCGGUACGAGUCGAGGUGAUAGUACAGGAAGUACAGGCGGAGGCAAGCGAUAUAAAUAUGGUCCAAACCUCAAUACUCCUCUUCCUGUGAGGGCUUAUGACAGGACCGAGGAACAAACCAAUGCCAUAGUGCGGGCAGAAGUCGACGCCCAUUUUGGACCGAAACCGCCACCGCCGCCAAAGGAGAAAGUGCAUGUGGAAGUAGUUGACCACUUCAUUCGUAUGGCUCAACCACCAACUCCUAAGCCUGUUGACUCAGACUAUGAGCGCCACAUCAGGAAGUUACAUCGACAACGUCUACAGAAGGAGGCGAGCUCGAGCUCGAGCAAACAACAAGCAGCUGUCAAAAAAUGCGGGAAAACCGUUGCCCAGCUGGGAAAACAGGCGGCGCAAUCGAUCCCCCCCGCUUGUUGUGCCGCCAACGACACGUGACAGUACGCGCGCCCAAUAUUAUUGUGGCCAAACGGUUUACGUUCCCGAGGUGGGCGAUGUGGUAAUAACCCAGGAGCAUAUAAUGCAGGCUGAAGAACUCAAGAUCACUGUUGGACAACUCCUCGAGAUCGAGGACAUGCCUCCGAUUAGAGAAGAGCAAAUAAAAUGGAAAUUUGUCCGGGGCCAACCUUUGGUCGAGCCAGAAGAUGUCAAGAAGCUCCCAACGAGAAUGUAUGAAUUGCAUCAAUGGUACAUGGACAUUAGCAAGAGAUCCGAUCAAGAGUCCCUCAUGGUGUAUGUCAAGAAGGAUGAUUACUACCAUGAGAAAGCUGUGGCCGUUGAGUAUUCUGAACUGUUUCAGUUAUACAAUCAAGAUGCACUCGACAAAUCUAUCGUCGGUUGCUAUUGUCUGUAAGUGAUUUCUUUCUGUAAUUUAAGUCUCAAGCUAGCUGUAGUGAUCCUUUUGAUCAAUCAUUACGUGUAAUUAUCCUCACUAUAUUCUUUUCUGUGGUAUUAUGCAGGAUGAAGAUGUCUGAAAUGAGAAAAGGUGGACGCUAUGGCAUUGGAUUCAUUGACCCAAACACCGUUAAUGAAUACACAUGGAAAUUAGAUGCAUAUUAUGAAAAAGAGGUAGAGGACAGCAUGCUAGAGUUCUUCAAGCGCCUCAAAUACAAUGAAGAUAUACUACUUCCUUACAACUUCGAGUGAGUCACACUUUCUUGUACUACAAAUUCUCUGUUUUUGCCUACUAGCUAGCUACAUGUUUUUGCUUACAUAUGCCCGCUUAAUUAAGACAUGUAAACGUGUGUGCAUGCAGAUUUCACUGGAUCUUGUGUAUCAUUAAAGUUGACGCCGGAACAGUUGAAAUACUGGACUCGCUACUCAAAGCAAAUACUGACUAUAACAUCUUGCUUGGGAUAGUCAACAGGUAAUUUCAAUCAUUAUUAACUAUAUAUCUCGGCCUAUUUAGUUCGUCAUUUAAUGAUAUGAACUAUUUAAUAACCCCUUUAUUCAUUUUCUUCGUCGGCGGGCAGGGCUUGGGCAAGGUUCAUCAGCGUCACUCCAGGCGAAUGCAAACAAAAGCUGAAAUGGUUUCGAGCCAAGGUAAGUAAUUAAGUAGUACUAGCUAGCUAGCUAGCUGCCAUCUCUUUAAUUAUCAUGCUUGAUUAAUUAUUAUCUGAUUAAAUUAAAUUCCAUUCUCGUAAUAAAGGCCCUGAAGCAGGCGCCAGGGACUGAUCUGUGUGCAUACUGCAUUUGCGAAAACAUUCGCAUGAUGGCGUCCAAAAGGAGCAGAUCUCAAAGACAGGAAUGGGUACGUUUGUCAGAACAAUAUUCACAAUUUUUACACCAUUAUCGAUAUCUAGUCACACAACUAAUACACAUGCAUAUUGAUCUCCUUCUUAACAGUUCAAAGAGGUGCAGGACAAGCUCCUACCAACGGAGCGCGUAGAAGCACUUCAAUAGGAAAUAGCGGGAUUUUUGCUCGACCAGGUCAUAAAUCCGAAGUGAGAAUACUAUUACCCGCUACCGCCCCCAUCGAAAAAGACAUGAACCACUUUCAAUUUUCAUCGUGCUCCGAAGGCACCAAUCAGGCUAAUGCCACUGGCUCCGAAGGCAACAUGCAUAUGUAGGAGAAAUUGUAUAUAGCUAUACAUGUGUGUAUGUGUGAAUUAAUAUGGCGGUUUGUGAGACAUGAUUGAUGAUAUAUAUGAUUGGUUCUACUAAAAAUUCUAUAUAUAUAUAUAUAUAUAUAUAUAUAUAUAUAUAUAUAUAUAUAUAUGCAUAACGUGUACAAUGUGUAGUACCGUAAAAUACCAGCAAACCAAAAAGAAUUAAAAUGGAAAACACAAAAUUAAAUGAAAAAGAAAUCAUAAAACCAAAAACCCUCCAACAUUUUAGUACCGGUUGGUGUUACCAACCGGUACUAAAAGGCUCCCGGCCCCCGGAGCUGGCUCGUGCCACGUGGUUGCCUUUUAGCACCGGUUCGUGCUGAACCGGUACUAAAGGGGGGGGGGCCUUUAGUGCCGAAAUUUUAGUGCCGGUUACCUAACCGGCACUAAAGGGCCUUAUGAACCGGUGCUAUUGCCCGGUUCUGCACUAGUGUUUUGAAUACAGUGAAACUCGAACAGCCAAUAAAUCAUAAACCUCUUUGACCCUUGGCAUUAGUGAAUAUCUGUGGAUAAACAGUGCCUAGUCUUAGGUGGAGAAUCAAAUUUUGGUUCUGUUUACAACUGCAACUUCGGGUAGGUGCCUCUGGCUGCUUAAUGGACGGUACCUAGUCUCUUAGAUCGUCCUCAUGGGUUUGUUUGUCACAGUGGAUUUGGUGGUAUCCUUUAUCUCCACUCGAGGUGUUUUUUUCAGAGUACCUUUUCGAUUCUGUGGCGUUUGUGAGUAGUCCGCAUAUGAUUGGUCCGUAUCGGUUUUCUCUUAAUUAAGACAAUUCUUUCUUUCCUAAUUAUUAAUUGAUGAGGCAAAAUAAUUACAUAGUUAAACUAGCUAGCAAGCUAAGGAACAAACCAACUAGGCCUAGUUAAGCAGUCCGGAGGACCAUCAUCCUCCGGUGACCUGUAGACGCAUUCCAGCUUCUUAUCCUGCAUGCUGUAGCAGUAUGCUGCGACGGCAGAAACCUUCUUCUUGUCAUGGACGUAGUAGAUCCGAGUUCCGCCCUCGUUGGCGCCGUCAUUAUCCCUGAAGGUUGCGUGGUACCUAUCGACGAACAAUUCGUAGUUACCAGCCUCGGCCACCUUGCGCCACGCGAGCUGCCCGUCAGGCGCCGGAGAAGAGCCUAGCUCGAAGAGGUCGAAGGCCACCGGCCGGGACGACUUGACGGUGGUCCUUACCACGACCAGGACCAGCUUGCUCGGCAACGCGACGAGGUGGACGUAAUCCAACUCUUGCUUCCGAGGGCAGAUGGAGCCGUACAUCUUGCUGCUGAGGUUGGGCAUGUCUGGCGGACGCGGGACCAGCUGUAGGGCGCCGAGCGUGGCGGCGUCGAACACCGCCAUCUCGCCGUUGAUGUCCAUGCCGAACAUCUUCCCGUCAUGGUAGACGAAGUCGAAGUAGCCGUAGCCUAUGCGGCGGGGCUUCUCCAGCUUGGUCCAUGCCGCGUCGCCGGGGCGGCAGAAGAGCAUGCCCGUGUGCCCGUGCAUCACGUGGUACAUCAUGACCGUCGCCGGCGCCGGGGCGCCGGGCGGGAGGUGGACGGCGAAGCGCAAGUAGUCCGUCAACUCGAGGUAGGUCGGGAAGGUCCAGUUGCUGCACAGCGCCAUGUCCAGGUCGUUGCAGUGCACGUACCUUACGUGCCGGACGACGUCGCUGCCUGGGCCGUCGCGGACGGCGUUGAGCUUGGGCAGGGCCACCCUGGCGCGGGUGGCCAGGUGCGAGACGUGGCAGGAGGCGUCGCGGGUGUCGACGACGAGGGACCAGCCGCGGGACAAGGGGAAGACAGCCGUGUGGGAGGCGCGGACACGGGGGAGCAGGAGGCGCGGCGCUGGCCCUGCCGCGGCGCGCCAUGCCCGGCACACGGAGCGGAACGCGGCGAGCCCGGUGACGGCGUCGCGGGACCUCCGCGCGAUGAUCGUCACUAGAUCGGAGGGGAGGUCCAACCAGUCGGGCUGCUCCUCCUGGCUAGCCAUUGCACGUACGUGCGCUGUCGAUGGGCUGGGCGAACCGAAGGUUUGACUUUGUUGAUCCUUUUAUGAGGAGCCUCGGCAACAACGAUACAAUCGUAACUAACUUUCUUUAUUUAAAAUAAACAGAGUAUAAAAGACUCCGUCGACCGUACGACGUGGGAUCGUGGCGGUUUGACCAUCUACAGCCAGGUCUCUCGUGCCCGUCUCAAACACCCAGACUGAUCACAAAAAUUCAACCCAACAGAAUCUCUCAAACGACCGAAUUAACCAACACCCUUUAUAUCCAGCACAAAUAUAGGGCAAUCUGAGCAUUGUCCGGACGUGUCCGCCUGACAGGUCCGGCCCACCACGGACCAACAAAACACCCCUAUCUUGGCGGCGAGCUCAAACCCCAGCUCACUCUUUCGCUCCGUCCGUCCACUCGUCUCCCACUCCGGUUUCCGAUGCCAUCCACCACCAUGAGCAGCUUCGGCAACGACUCUGGCUCAGAGCUCGACUACGAGGAGGAGAUGGCCUUCCGCAUUGCGUUCGAGCGGUCCAAAGUAGAGACCGGCAGCAGCUUCGGAUCUGGAGCGUCGCCGCACCUCCCGGGCCGGUGCAGCGCGGACGCCGAAGCUGGACCCUCCUGGCCCACGCGCAGCGACGCCCGGUCAGCACAGUCCGCACCGGUCCCGCGUCAUCUCCUUCCCCCGUCGGCCGCCCCUCCACGGGCCAACGCUGGGUGCUUGUGACCGUGCCUCCGGCCCGCACGCGCACUCCGGAGUCCGAGGCGCGCGCCGCGCGCCGCGAGAGGCAGCGUGCACGGGAGAAGGAGGCGGUGGAGCAGUCCAUGCGCCGCCGCCGCGGGACGGAGGCGGACGCCGACGAGGACGCGCGUCUCCUCGCCUGGGUUUAUCGUCGCUCCCUCACGACGGCGGAGACGGACACUCGCCGCCUCCGACGGAAAAACGCGAAGGCGCUCCAGCUAGGCAUUGAUGUUGGAAAUAUGAGCAAGUUACUACAAGAUUUAAUUCGAAUAAUUAGAAGAUAAAUCAUGACUACAGUAGCAGAGAUUAAACUAAUCAUGCGAACUAGCAUAGCAAAUGAGCAGAUCACAUCUAGGGCACAUACUAGAAACAUGAAUCUACCACGAUCUCGAACGGGAAGGAUAGAAUCAUACACGGUGUAGCGGGAGUAGCACCGCCGGCGUUGACGUUGUCGCCCAUGUCGUCGAGGAUGAGGUUGCCGAGGUCGGGGAAGAAGUCGUUGUUCGCAAAAUCGUCGCUGCCAGCAGUCGCGCGAGUGCGCUCCCCAAAAACCUGAUCUCCCCUCUCCCGUACAGGAUCACGAGAGGCGGGGUUCCGGAGGCCUGCUGUCCCUUCUCCCGGUGCACGCCAAAAGGAGGGAUGGAGAAGACUUGUUUGAUGGCGCAAUGAUCUGGAACGGUGGUGAGAAACCAUACGAAGCGGCGGCGGCUAGGGUAGACGUCAGCCUGACUAUAUAGUGCGGGCCGGGUCACGAUACAAAAGAAUCGGAAACGGUUCAGUAAUUAACGCGUCCGUUAAUUAUUAAUUAAUGACUCAUUAAUUUUCCCGAGCAGCAAAAAUAUAGACAACGUGCAUAGCUCUGUCCUCGGCUCGGCUCAAUCCCGCGGCGUGGCGAUGCGAGCGAGGAGGAGGAGCGCGCGUGUAGGUCUCCUCUUCUCAUGCUCAUACAAGUGGUAGAAGAGCUCACCUUAUAAAGAGGUGCAACUCUCUCUCAACUUUCGGGGUGAGACUAAACAUUAGCCUCACUCACUCCACUCACAUGUGUGCAUGAAUGGGCCAAGAGAAUUUUAGAAUUUUAGUUGGGCUUUGGGCCAAAGGCCUACUAGCAAAAUUCCAACAAUCGCCCACAAAGUCUCAUUGGCACAUCUCAUCAUUUAGUUCCAAAACAUUGUUUAUAUACCGGUGCUUAGUGGAGACUGUGAAGUUGAACUUCCACUUAGAGAUUUUUGCUACACUAGAUCACAACUUGAAGUGGACUAUGCCUUGAACUACAAGUUUUCUGCGAGACUAGUUUCACACAAAUUCUUGACCGAUACUGGGCUGUCGCAAGGCUUCCCCGCGGGUGAAGCGUAUACGUCAUACUCCAGGGCCUUUUCAUGAAUUUAUUAGAGAACACCCAAUUAUCACAGACUGCGAUGUUAACAGUCAAAUUCAUAUAGGUGUGUUCCUCAGAAGAUGGCCUGUAGGACAACAUCUCUGCUUACCCGAAUAAGCCACUUGGAACACAUCAAGAUAAGUAUCAACCUGCCAUGCAGAUCAGGAGAGUAUUGCAUCUUCAUGGAGUGGGAUAGGUAAUAUAGGGAUACUCUCCUCCCAGCUGACCAACAGCUUGUCUCCCACUUCUACUUCACGGGAUCUCCGAUCACAUAGAGUGGGUUACCACUAUGGACAACUCAUGCGGUGGGUCUCAGACCCAUCUCCAUCGAUGCAUUAUCUAUCACAUUACGUGAUAGAGCCUUUGUGAAGGGAUCUGUCAAAUUUUUCGAUGUUUGGAUAUAAUCCAACGUAAUAACUCCGGAGUUUCUCAAUUUUCUGACAGAUUUCAGUCUCCUCUUCACAUGCCUUGAGGACUUCAUAUUGUCCUUUGAACUGUUUAUUUUGACGAUCACAGUUUGAUUAUCACAGUUCAUCAGGAUAGGGGGUAUUGGUUUUUCAACCAUAUGUAAGUCCAUCAAGAGUUCACGAAGCCACUCUGCUUCAACAGUGGCAGUGUCUAAUGCUGUGAGUUCUACUUCCAUAGUUGACCUCGUUAAGAUGAUCUGCUUGCAAGACUUCCAGGAAACAGCACCACCACCAAGUGUAAAAACGUAACCACUUGUGGCCUUAAUCUCAUCAGCAUCAGAUAUCCAGUUUGAGUCACUAUAACCCUUCAGUACCCUUGAAUACCCGGUGUAGUGAAUCCCAUAGCUUGCGGUGCCUUUCAAAUAGCGCAUAACUCUCUCAAGCGCAUGCCAAUGAUCAUCUCCCGGUUUUGACACAAAUCGACUCAGCUUGCUCACAGCAAAAGAGAUGUCAGGCCUCGUGACACUCGCCAAAUACAUAAGCGAGCCAAUAAUCUGAGAAUACCUUAGUUGAUCUCUAGCAAUCCGUCGGUUCUUUGGAAGCAACACAUUAGCAUCAUAUGGAGUUGGAGAAGGCGUGCAGUCGCUAUACCCAAAACGACUCAAGACCUUUUCCACAUAGUGAGGCUGAAGCAGUGUGAUCCCACCAUUCUCAUCUCUCAACAGCUUGAUGUUUAAGAUAACAUCAGCUACUUCUAGAUCCUUAAUCUCAAAACAGCAAGAUAAGAAAUCAUUAACCUCCUUGAUUAAAUCAAGUUUGGUUCCAAAGACCAGUAUGUCGUCGACAUACAGACAGAGAAUAACUCCUUCGCCCCCACCAUAGCGAUAGUACACGCACUUGUCACCAUCGUUUACUACAAAGCCGGCAGCAGUUAAUAUUCUUUCGAACUUCUCAUGCCACUCCUUAGGAGCUUGUUUAAGGCCAUAUAAAGACUUUAAUAACUUGCACACCUUUCCUUCCUGAUCAGGUACUACAAAACUAUCUGGCUGAUCCAUAUAAAUUUCCUCCUUCAACUCUCCAUUGAGGAAAGCUGUCUUAACGUCCAUUUGAUGAACGAGAAGACCAUGUGAGUCAGCCAGUGAUAGUAGCACCCGAAUUGUGGUCAGUCUAGCCACAAGUGAGUAAGUAUCAAAGAAGUCUUCACCUUCUAUCUGGGUAUAACCCUUGGCCACAGCCGUGCCUUGUACUUUUCAAUCAUACCAUCAGGUCUAAGCUUCUUCUUGAACACCCACUUACAUCCUAUAGGUUUGCACCCAUAAGGACGGUCAGUGAUCUCCCAGGUACCGUUAGCUAAGAUGGAAUCCAUCUCGCUACGUACAGCUUCCUUCCAGUAGUCAGCAUCAGGAGAUGCAUAGGCUUCUGAAAUAGUCCUGGGUGUGUCAUCCAUGAGGUACACAAUGAAAUCAUCACCAAAGGACUUUGCAGUCCUCUGUCUCUUACUCCUCACAGGAGUUCCAUUGUCACCCUCAACAGGAUUCUCAACGUGUUCCAUCGCAAUGGUGGGUUCAGGAAUUACCGUGAAUUCCUCACUAGAUGGAGUAGGUAUCUCCUGAUAUGAUGAACUCGACAUAUCCUUCAUAGGAAAUAUGUCCUCAAAGAAAGUUUUAUCAUUCGACUCCAUAAUCGUACCAACAUGCAUGUCGGAUACCUCUGAUUUUAUUAUUAAAAAUAUAUAGCCAAUGCUAUGAAAAGCAUAGCCCAGAAGAACACAAUCCAUGGUUUUUGGUCCAAGCUUGCGCUUCUUAGGAAUUGGUAUAUUGACUUUCGCCAAACAACCCCAAGUACGUAGGUAAGAGAGUUUCGAUCUUUUCCUUUCCCAUUCCUCAAACGGAGUCAUGGUCUUAUGCUUUGUGGGAACUCGGCUUAGGACAUGACACGCAAUCAUUAGCGCCUCCCCCCACCAUUCCUUGGAUAGACCCGAAGUGUCUAACAUGGUGUUAACCAUAUCAGUUAGAGUUCGGUUCUUUCUUUCGGCUACCACAUUUGACUGGGGUGAGUAGGGAGGCGUCCUCUCAUGGAUUAUACCAUGUUCCGCACAAAACAAAUCAAAUUCAUUGGAAAAAUACUCUCCACCACGAUCGGACCUAAGCCGUUUAAUUUUUUGAUCAAGUUGGUUCUCUACCUCAGCUUUAUAGUUUUUGCAGAAAGUUAAAGCCUCGUCUUUGGAUUUCAGGAGAUACACAUAACAAUACCUAGUGGAGUCAUCAAUCAACGUCAUGAAGUAUCUCUUUCCACCUUUUGUCAACACGCCAUUCAUCUCACAAAGAUCAGAAUGUAUAAGCUCUAGUGGCGCCAAGUCUCUUGUCUCUGCAGUCUUAUGGGACUUGCGAGGUUGCUUAGCUUGCACACAUACUUGACACUUAGAGCCUUUGACAAUAGAGAUUUUCGGAAUUAAAUUCAUAUUGGCUAGCCGCAUCAUGCAACCAAAGUUAAUGUGACAAAGUCGUGAAUGCCAAAUAUCAGACUCAUUGUUGUGGCAAACAUUAUUAAUAACUUUAGUGCAAAUAUCUGACAAAGACAUGCGGAACAAGCCUCCGCUCUCAUAGCCUUUUCCAACAAAUUGUCCAUACUUAGAAAUUACAACUUUAUUGGAUUCGAAAACCAACUUAAAACUAUCGCGACAUAAACGGGAACGGCUAACAAGAUUUUUAUUUAUGGACGACACAUGAUGAACAUUCCUCAGACGCAUAGUCUUCCCCGAAGUAAACUUCAGAUCGACCGUACCAACACCUCGAACGAUGGCAUGUGACCCGUUCCUCAUCAGCACGGGUGAAGUCCCUGUUGCCUGGUAAGCAGAAAACAUGGAGGCAUCAGCACAAACAUGUACAUUGGCACCGGCGUCAAUUAACCAAUCAGGGGAUCGAAAUACUGAAAGGAUGGUAGGAAAAAUACCGUACCCUGAUUCCUUCAUAUCAAUAUCACCAAUGACAACAUUAGCGGACUUGCCGCUCUUCUCAUGUUCGUGCUCCUCAAAGCGGUUAGGACACUUCGGUGCCCAGUGAUUAGGAUCACCGCAGACAUGGCAAAGUCCCUUCCCCUUCUUAUGAGAAUUCUUCUUGAAGUUGGUAGAAUGUGAUGGCUUGUUUUUUGUAUCAAACUUGCCUUUGCCCUGAUUUUUGUUCUUAUUGUUUUUAAACUUGUUGGGCUGGGAGUUCUUCUUCUGUAUCAUGUGGGCACUAGAACCUCCCUCAGCAACUCGAGCACGUGUGUCCUUUGCUCUCGCCUUCUCUUCAACAUCAAGAGUACCAAUGAGAUCCGCAACAGAAAAAUCUUGUCUCUUGUGUUUCAGGGAAGUAGCAAAAUUAUUCCACGAAGGUGGAAGCUUGGCAAUGAUGCCUCCGGCAACAAAUUUGUUCGGCAACACACACUUGAAGUACUCAAGUUCUUUUGCGAGCGACUGUAUCUCAUGAGCCUGUUGUACAACAGGACGCUCAUCAAUCAUCUUGUCGUCAUAGAAUUGCUCCAUGACAUACAACUCGCUGCCGGCGUCCGAGGCAUCAAACUUGGCCUCGAGUGCAACCCACAUGUCCUUGCCGUUGUCAAACGACAUAUACGAAUCCACAAAGGAGUCAUCAAGAACACUCAGAAGAGCACCUUUAAAGAGGGUAUCGAUCUUCUUGAAAGCUUCCAGCUGUGCUGGAUUAAGAUCGCCCUCAGGCUUGCCCUUGGUGGCGUCAUAGUAGCCCAUGGUCUGAAACCAGUAGACUGCUCUCAUGCGCCACCUCUUAUAUUGCGCCCCCUUAAAGGCAGGCGGCUUCAGAUGCGCAGCAAAACCACUCGGAGUAAAUUGCCUAUAAUCAGGUUUUUGGAUUGUUGGAAAUAUGAGCAAGUUACUACGAGUUUAAUCCGAAUAAUUAGAAGAUAAAUCAUGACUACAGUAGCAGAUAUUAAACUAAUCAUGCGAACAAGCAUAGCAGAUGAACAGAUCACAUCUAGGGCACAUACUAGAAACAUGAAUUCUACCACGAUCUCGAAUAGGAAGGAUAGAAUCACAUACGGUGCAGCGGGAGCAGCACCGCCGGCGUUGACGUUGUCGCCCAUGUCAUCGAGGAUGAGGUUGCCGAGGUCGGGGAAGAAGUCGUCGUUCGCGAAGUCAUCGCUGCCAGCAGUCGCGCAAGUGCGCUCCCCAAAAACCUGAUCGCCCCUCUCCCGUACAGGAUCACGAGAGGCGAGGUUCUGGAGGCCUGCUGUCCCUUCUCUCGGUGCACGCCGAAAGGAGGGAUGGAGAAGACUUGCUAGGCGGCGCCAUGAUCUGGAACGGCUAAGGAAAUAUGCCCUAGAGGCAAUAAUAAUGUUAUUAUUUUAUUUCCUUAUAUCAUGAUAAAUGUUUAUUAUUCAUGCUAGAAUUGUAUUAUCCGGAAACAUAAUACUUAUGUGAAUACAUAGACAAACCAAACGUCACAGUAUGCCUCUACUUGACUAGCUCGUUAAUCGAAGAUGGUUAUGUUUCCUAACCAUAGACAUGUGUUGUCAUUUGAUUAAUGGGAUCACAUCAUUAGGAGAAUGAUGUGAUUGACAUGACCCAUUCCAUUAGCUUAGCACCCGAUCGUUUAGUAUGUUCCUAUUGCUUUCUUCAUGACUUAUACAUGUUCCUAUGACUAUGAGAUUAUGCAACUCCCGUUUACCGGAGGAACACUUUGUGUGCUACCAAACGUCACAACGUAACUGGGUGAUUAUAAAGGAGCUCUACAGGUGUCUCCAAAGGUGAAUGUUGGGUUGGCGUAUUUCGAGAUUAGGAUUUGUCACUCCGAUUGUCGGAGAGGUAUCUCUGGGCCCUCUCGGUAAUGCACAUCACAUAAGCCUUGCAAGUAUUACAACUAAUGAGUUAGUUGCAAGAUGAUGUAUUACGAAACGAGUAAAGAGACUUGCCGGUAACGAGAUUGAACUAGGUAUUGAGAUACCGACGAUCGAAUCUCGGGCAAGUAACAUACCGAUGACAAAGGGAACAACGUAUAUUGUUAUGCGGUCUGACCGAUAAAGAUCUUCGUAGAAUAUGUAGGAGCGAAUAUGAGCAUCCAGGUUCCGCUAUUGGUUAUUGACCGGAGAAGUGUCUCGGUCAUGUCUACAUUGUUCUCGAACCCGUAGGGUCCGCACGCUUAAGGUUUCGAUGACAGUUAUAUUAUGAGUUUAUGAGUUUUGAUGUACCAAAGUUAGUUCGGAGUCCCGGAUGUGAUCACGGACAUGACGAGGAGUCUCGAAAUGGUCGAGACAUAAAGAUUGAUAUAUUGGAAGCCUAUAUUUGGAUAUCGGAAGUGUUUCGGGUGAAAUCGGGAUUUUACCAGAGUACCGGGAGGUUACCGGAACCCCCUGGGAGGUAUAUGGGCCUUAGUGGGCUUUAGUGGAAGAGAGGAGAGGUGGCCAGGGCUGGGCCGCGCGCCCCUCCCCCCUAGUCCGAAUAGGACAAGGAGAGGGGGGUGGCGCCCCCUUCCUUCUCUCUCUCCUCUUUCCCCCUCCCGAAUCCUAUUCCAACUAGGAAAGGGGUGAAUCCUACUCCCGGUGGGAGUAGGACUCCUCCUGGUGCACCCUCCUCCUGGCCGGCCGCACCUCCCCUUGCUCCUUUAUAUACGGGGGCAGGGGGCACCCCUAGACACACAAGUUGAUCCACGUGAUCAUAUUCUUAGCCAUGUGCGGUGCCCCCUUCCACCAUAAUCCUCGGUAAUAUUGUAGCGGUGCUUAGGUGAAGCCCUGCAAUGGUAGUACAUCAAGAUCGUCACCACGCUGUCGUGCUAACGGAACUCUUCCCCGACACUUUGCUGGAUCGGAGUCCGGGGAUCGUCAUCGAGCUGAACGUGUGCUAGAACUCGGAGGUGCCGUAGUUUCGGUGCUUGAUCGGUCGGGCCGUGAAGACGUACGACUACAUCAACCGUGUUGUGCUAACGCUUCCGCUAUCGGUCUACAAGGGUACGUACACUACAAGAAAUAUGUCAACUUGUGACCUUGACUAUUGGUCACUGAAAGGUCAUUGUUUUUCAUUUGUGACAUUUUUGUGACCAAAAACAGAAGGUCAAAAGCUGGCGGUCGUAAACUGAAAUUAACGACCUUCUCUGUGAGAAGGUUGUAGACGUUUACGACCAAAAUAUGUCUAUUCUUUUGUUUUGGUCACUAGCAGCCUCCCCAGACCACGUAGGCAUCCAGCGUGGCAAGCUGAUGUGGCACAAGAAUCAGCCCGGUCCGAUUCUGUGUUUUACAUGAGCCAAGCCCAACAAUUCAGCCUUUUUAUAUAUUUUUCUGUCAAUUUUUUAUCGGCUUCAUGGGCCAAGCCAAACAAUUCAGCCUUGUUAGUUUUUGAGAUUCAUGCAAUUUUUUUGGCCCUCGAGCUUUUUGCAGUCCAUUUCUUUUUUUUAAGACUUAUCAUUUCAUUUUUGAAAUUGUUCGAUGCUUGUUGGUAUGUGGCCUGUUUCAGCCCAAUUAUUUGUCCAGUUUGGCCCAAGCAGACUUUAGCCCAAUCACACACAUACAUCCAACAUUAUUUCAUUCAAAUUAGGAAAACUCCCAGGUUUACAUAACACAAAAAGAAAAUAUCUCCCAGGUUUACAUAACACAAAAAAUCAUCUCAGGAAUACAUUUCCUUACACAGGAAUAUACAAUAAGAAAAUGAUGGCACAUCUGCUACUAUCAUAACAGCACAAUGUACUUUUUUUAAUGGAACAGUACAAUGGAUUUCAUUGCUCUCUCUUAUGCGACAUGCUCCAGCUGCCACAACUUGCCAUCCUACAAUGAGAGAGAUAUAACAUUAGUGGAGCAAACUGUUGUCCAGGCACAUUAGUUGUAUGAGAAAACUAAUCCAUGAAGCAAGACCAGAACACAUUCUGCACAACUUUUGAUAACACAAUUUGGAUUAAACAACAGAUUAUGCUUAGCUAACUUAGAAACAAGUACUGCCUAUGAUGCAUAUCUAUCUAUGUGCAUUGCAUUUUACUUUGUUCAAAAGUAGAAGCUAUAUGUCCAUUUUUCCAGGUUUGAAGCUACAAAUCUAAAAGAUAAAGUAUAAGUUAACUGAAUUGUGUUUUUUUAGAUAAUAACUGAAUAGUGCGCAGUAGAACCAAUGUUUCAUAAUAAACAACUAGUGUUUGUGAUGAAAACUUGACGUUACAAUAAAACCACUGGCAAGGCUUUUUUGAGCCUAAAUAAAGGAUACUGCCUAUUGAAUUCUACAACAAACAGGUCAACUUCUGCAGUUCUAGAAUUUCCACGAAAUAUGUUCUAGUAUGCCUAAAUAUUCAUCAACUCUUGUCAUCGUAUGAAAAUAAAACCAGUGAACAGCACACCGUAUUUGGAUGCUAUCUAUACUAGUAUGGAAUGAUGCCAGGUAAGACGAUCUCAGCGAGGUGCACAGUUGUUUAGAAAGGAAAGCAGAUUUGACUGAAGUACCAAUUUUCAGAGUUUGCAUAGCACCAUAAACAGGCAGCUGUAAAUUACUAAAUGUUGCCACACUAGAAUGUUAUCCAGAAAGAAUGAUACGAGGCAGGCGGCGUCCAUUACCGACGAUCUCGCCGAGGUGCAUGGAGAUGGAGUUGAGCUGGGCCAGAGGUCUUCCAGGCAUAUGUUGUUCACCUGAUCACCACCUCCCUGCAUGCCGCACACACACUGCAAGUUAGAUUACAUACAGACAGAUUGUGUUUCUAAUGCAUACAUACCACUAAUAGAGACCGUGGUGUUCUAGGAUGAUGCAUAGUCCAUCUAACUAAUCAAUAUCAUAUAUGAUGCAGAGUCCUCCAGAUGAUGGAAUACCUUUCAAAGUGAGGCAUCCUUGGAAUACUAGGUUGUUCUGAUGCUAUAUAAAAUAGAGUAAAAAAAACUAAGGUAAUCAUCCUAAUCGAGGCAGCAGGGAAAAGGACAUGUGAGCUAAAAAGCACGGACACGCCAGGAAUCGCCGAACUGCCGUCCUGAUACGCCGGGAUACGGGGAUACGCCGGGAUACGCCAGGAUACGCGAAUUUUGGAGUAUCCCCGAAAUUCAAAUUAAAAAAAGAAAAAACGAUUGGGAUACGCUGGGAUACGCGGGGACAUGUUAGGGAUACGGCCUGGCCCAAAAACACCCCCGGCCCAGCCACGGCCCAAUAUGUAACCCUAUUUUGCAGGGUCUCAGCGUGCCCUAGAGAUAAGGACGAGCUGCUCCCUGCCUCCUAGAUCGAACAAAAGGAGCCGCCACCUUCUGGAUUGAACUUGCCACCACCUGGACUCGCCGCCGCCGGCGCCGGCGACUCCUCCAUCCAGCACCAGCACCAGCAGUCUCUCCUCGGCUCCUCGCAGCUGUAGGUAACCCAGCAGUCUCAUUUGUUCAAGUGUUCAUUGUCCUGCUAGUGCAAGUGCUCAUUGUUGUGAUGUGCUCGUACUUGUUGAUAGGUAGCCAAACGGCAUUGCAAAUUGGGUAAGCAAAGCAAACAUCUUUUUUACUGUUUUCCAUGUGUUCUUAUUGUGGGACAGAAUAUAUCUUCUACUCUUCUAAUCUUCUUUAUAAUUUGUGUUUGAUGUGUUUUGCAAGAUGCAACUUGCAAUGAGAUGGGGGGACGAGGAUCGAUCAAGCACUUGAUAAAAGAGACACAAAAUGGGGCAGUACCCUAGUCUAUUCUUUAUUUUGAUCUCUUUCUCUUUAAUUUUCUGUCUUAACUCUAUAUUACAUGGCAUAUUUUUGUUUUAUUUUAUAUAUACUCGCCGUAUCCCCUAAUGGCUGUUUUUGGAAAAUGCCGUAUCCCGUAUCCCCGUAUGCGUAUCCCCGUCUUUCCGUCCCCGUGUCCGUGCUUUUUAGCAUGUGAGCAGGGCAUGUAUGCACAUUUUGAAAAGAAUGAACAGAGCCAACUAAAAUCUGUGAGCAUUAAAACUUGUGGGAAAUUUGGUCAAUCACAUGAACAGGGCCUUUAUGCACAUUUUUCCCUACCAGUAGUCCAGUACCAUUAGAAAGACAACAGAUCGGCGGUAUCAUUUUAAAAACUUUGUUGUAAGGUUGCUGUUAGCUUUCUGCUCUGAUUCAAGUUAACUUGGCACCUGUAAGUUUUUUAAACACAUUUUGUGGCUUCACACUAACUUGGGAGUAACCCAUGAGGUCUGAAAGAUUCAGAGUUAACAAUCAACUCUGAUUCAAAUUCAGAAUUCAGAUUAGAAAAUUUACAUCAUGAUUUCUGUUUACAUGUAUGCAUGAUUCGUUCAAUUUUUUGAAGUAUAAGCGAAGAUCCAGCAUGUCUUAAGCAAGAGGAAGCAUAUCUUAAGGAAGAAGAAACAAAACAGAACAGAAGAGAUACCACAUGGUUACUUGCUCACUCCAUCGAACUCAUCCGUUUAUCUUUCAUUUCUAUGAUGAAAGUAGACUUGGGGUUAUAUGGUUUGAAACUCUGAAUCAAGUGGCCAACAAAUGGCUACUAGGUGAGCCAGUCAGUAACCGUGGCCGAGUCAUUGAUACUCAUGUCAGUUGAUCUAUGAAAUCCUACAGCAUUCACACUACGCAUCAGCAUCCACUAUGUUGAGCAGUUCACAUUAUCUUUGCACCUCGUGGCCAAAUAUCACAUUGAGAGGUUCAAUCUUUGCACCUCGUGGCCAAAUAUCAACAGCGCAUGAUACACAUUAUCUCCCUAAACUCUAAAGUUGUGCUAAAACUGGACGUAUAAACUGAAAUAGAGUCCAUUGAUUAGUGAUUAUUGUAUGAAAGUUCCUGCCUAAGCCCUGCAUAGCCACAUAGGCAUAACAACAAACAUCUGAGUUGCUCACAGCCAACCAAUGCUAAGUAUUGACUUGACCCACAGCAUUCCGCACAUACGGAUAACAAGAUCCAAUUCUGUUACAGGUUGAAGGUUGAAGGUAUGUAUAUUACAUACUAGAGAUGGCCGUCGUUUGCGACUGGGUCGGCGUCGGGACGGCGUGGUGAUGCGGCGCCUGGAGGCCUUCGGACCACCACAACUAGCCUCUACUUGUGCUCUGUGUAAUGUAAUCGUUAGUUGCGAUAGAUGUAUGUACAGCGUUCUUGACAACAAGUUUUGCACAGAACAUUUAAUAAAGGAAAAAACAAUCUAAUCUGAAUGAGAUGCACAUUAUAAUAUCAUCACAUCAAUUAGCGCAGGAAUAACCCCCAUGACAAGGAAGGAUAAAUAAACUAACCCAACCCACCUCCUCUACUUUUUUAGCCUGGGCCAAGCAAAGACUCAAACUCAACUAACGCAGGCCAUCUAAUCAAAUCGAACCACAUGAGGCUUCUUGAAUCAAAACAAAUAAAUGAAAAGACCCACCAAUACAGGAGAUGCUAGGUGGUAGUAGUAGGUGGUAGGAGAAAAUCUGGAACAGAGCACGGGCUUCUUGAAUUAGAAUAAUGAGAACUUUGCACGACGAAAUCUGAGGGAGCAUUAACAAAUGACUGGGAGCAAUUAACAAAGAGACAACCUAGGGGGGUCGACUACACCUGAAUCUCUCGACCUCAGUAAUCAAGCUGAGCAAAUCGCACGGGCGAAUUGCUCAAAAAGCGUGCGUGUGGAUUACAGAAGAAAUACUCUACUGAGGUAGGAGAACGUACGGGUGUGGUGGUGGUAGAAGCACGAGGCGAGGGAGUCAAAGCCGCGGCGGAUGGGGAGGCGGAGAUCCGGCGGGACGGGGACGCCGGCGACGAGGUACUUGUAGAUGAGCGCCUGCUGCUCCAACUCCUCGUACUGUGCCGCCGUGAAGGUCGCCGGCCUUGCCGCCCACCUCGUGCCGCUCAUCGUGUGCUGCUGCUGCUGCUGGGGAGGGCGCUGAUGAUAUAAAUUACAGAGGAAAAUAGAACAUCUUGUUCGGUGGUAAGGCAGUAAACAAGGUGGGGAAGGUAGAGGAGGGAGCUGGGGAACGACCUUCUAUCGCGCGUCGUCGUGGUCGGGAUGGACGACACCGUCAUGGUCGAGCUUGAGGUCGGACUCGGCGAUCUCCUCUUCAAGCUCGUCAGGCCCGGGUGUGGGGUCGUGCAUGUCCUGGUCAUCCUCCUCCUCCUUGUCAUCGUCGUCGAUGUCGCCUGCCGGUUCAAAUCUAACCCAAAAAAGGGGAUCAGACAAGGAAUUAGAGAGAGGAUCGGGGCCGGGGAAGGGGAAGGGGAAGUCGAGUGGGAUAAGGGGUUACCUUGAGGACGUCAGCCAUGGUGUGCCUGGGAGGGCGCGGAUCAAGCUCGACGACGGCGCGGAUCCGAAAGGCCCUCUGUGGCCGUGGCAGAUCUGGCCGCGGACUGACCUCGUUGGCUCCAGCUGGCGCCAUGGGAGAGAUGGAGAGGUGCGGCUCCAUCUUUUCAGUGGUCGGAGAGCGGAGCUAAGAACGCGGAGGCGGCGGUGGCGAUGAGGUGGUCGCGGAGCGGGUUGUCAGCGGGGAAGGCGAGGAGGAGCAGGCGCGCGGGCUCGAACGGCGGGAGCAAGUGGUCGGCCACGAAGGCGAGGAGGAGCGGCUUGAGGUGGGAGGGGAAGGGAGGUCGCGGCAGGAUCGGCCGCCGUAGGGGGCGGUGGCGGCGGCAGUCCAAUGGGGGGAGAGGGGAGAGGGGUUAGGGUUUGGGAUUCGGGUCGUGGGCGAGGAGUGGUGUGCGGGGGAGAGGAUGGGAGGGGGAGGAGCGGUGUGCGGUGGGUGAGUGGUGGCUUUCAGCCACUGACAGGUGGGCCCGCAAGGAAUAGGCCCACAUGUCAGUGUCAUUAACGGCAUGUGGUGUAGGUGAAGGAAGCUGCUUCCGGCUGGGUGUGGGUGGGGAGAGGGUGAGGGGUGUGGGCCGUUGGAUCUGGCAGUAUCCGACGGUCUCUAAUGCUUGAUCCGCGUGACAUGCCCGUAGACAAAUCAAAACGAAGUGCAGGUUUUGAUGACGUUAUGACCAUCUAAAAUGGUCGUAAUCAAUUUUCCAUUUUUUGAAUGCCCAAAAUGAGUCUUUUUUGUGUGAAGGAUCUACCAUAUAUUUGUUACAAAAUUGGAUCAAAUCAAUUUUAUAAAAUAUUAGAACAUAUUUAAUGCACAAUUGACCAAAUAUUGGGUGUCAAAAGUUUCGAACCACCUCUGGUGAAAAACAUAAAUUUUCGCCAAUUCAGCUCGAAGCGGGUCAAAUUUGAACUGCAGAUGCCUCAUAGUUUGCUCUUUAUUUUUUCCAAAAAUUAUUUCUAGGUACAUAAGUAUCUAUUUAAUCAGAGAAAUAUCAAAAGUUUUCCAAGAUUCAACCACUAGCUAGGAACGGUCAAGCCCACAGUUUUGACCGCAUUUUGAAACAGGCAUAAAAAAUUUAAAAAAAUCAAAAAAUUGGAAAACCUUCGCAUUGUGUCAUUAUAUGUGACCAAGUUACCAGAAAAAAUAAUAAACUUGUAAUACGAAAAUUAUUUUAAACAAAUGUUCUCGGAAAUGAGCUAUCAUGCGCGAAGAUUCAUGGCUUUCAAGCCAAAUGAUCAAUCUUAUGGCCACAUUCAUGGCAUAGUUUGUUCAAAUGAUCUCAUAUUGUACACAAGGGUGCAUAUUGAAAUUCCAAACAAUGUUGCCUAAGGGACUUUUUAUUUUCUUUCCACGGAAAAUUCAUUUUCCAUUUUCUGAGUGCCCGAAUUGAGUUCUUUUUGUGAAGGACCUACCAUAUAUUUGUUGCAAAAUUGGACCAAAUCAUUUUUCUAAAAUACUAGGCCAUAUUUGAUUCACAAUUUACCAAAUGUUUGGGUGUCAAAACCUUGAUCCACCUCUGGUGAAAAAGACAAAUUCUCGCCGAUUCAGCAGGAAGCGGGUCAAAUUUGAACUGCACCUGCCACAUAGUUUGCUUUUUAUUUCUUCAAAAAAUCAUUUCUAGAUACAUAAGUAUCUAUUUAAUCAGAGAAACAUCAAAAGUUUUCCAAGAUUCAACCACUAGCUAGGAAUGGUCAUACCCGCUGUUUUGAUCGAAAUUCGAAACGGGCAUAAAAAAAUUCAAAAAAAUGAAAAAAUUGGAAAACCUUUGCAUUGUUUCAUUAUAUGUGACCAAGUUUCCAGGGAAAAUAACAAACUUGUAAUACGGCAAUUAUUUUAAAAAAGUGUUCUCAGAAAUGAGCUAUCAUGCGUGAAGAUUCAGGGCUUUCAAGCCAAAUGAUCAAACUUAUGGCCACAUUCAUGGCAUAGUUUGUUCAAAUGAUCUCAUAUUGUGCAAAAGGGUGCAUAUUGGAAUUCCAAACAAUGUUGCCUAAGGGACUUUUUAUUUUCUUUGCACGGAAAAUCCAUUUUUCAUUUUCCGAGUGCACGAAUUGAGUUCUUUUUGUGAAGGACCUACCAUAUAUUUGUUGCAAAAUUGGAGAAAAUCAUUUUUCUAAAAUUCUAGGCCAUAUUUGAUUCACAAUUUGCCAAAUGUUUGGGUGUCAAAACCCUUGAUCCACCUCUGGUGAAAAAGACAAAUUCCCGCCGAUUCAGGAGGAAGCGGGUCAAAUUUGAACUGCAUCUGCCUCAUAGUUUGCUCUUUAUUUUUUCAAAAAAUCAUUUCUAGAUACAUAAGUAUCUAUUUAAUCAGAGAAACAUCAAAAGUUUUUCAUGAUUCAACCACUAGCUAGGAACGGUCAAACCCGCUGUUUUGAUCCAAAUUCGAAACGGGCAUAAAAAAUCAAAAAAAUCAAAAAAUUAGAAAACCUUCGCAUUGUGUCAUUAUAUGUGACCAAGUUUCCAGGAAAAAUAACAAACUUGUAAUACGGCAAUUAUUUUAAAAAGUGUUCUCAGAAAUGAGCUAUCAUGCAUGAAGAUUCAUGGCUUUCAAGCCAAAUGAUCAAUCUUAUGGCCACAUUCAUGGCAUAGUUUGUUCCAAGUGUGGUAAUUAAAACCCUUUUUUACAGCCUCUUUUGAUCCUAUAGUUCAUUCAUUCUCUUCCAUAAGAAGUUUACUGCUAUCACAAGUUACAUCUCUCUCAGUCUGCAUCUCAUAAACUGCCUAGAAUCUUCACUUGUGCAUCCUGAAGUAGUUAGAUUCCUCACUUGUACUUAUCUGAGGAUUCGUACAAAUCUGGAACCAACUUCUUUUCUCUAAGUGAAUGUCUUCGCAUGAUGAGGUCAAUGUCUUCUAAACUGAUUUAUCUUCAAAAUCUUCUGAGAAUGCAUAUGACCUCUUCCCCUUCCCUCGCACCUCAAUGUUGUCACAGGUACAUGUCCGUGGGAGAAUCUUUUGGUUCUCAUAGUCUGCAUUCAUUUGCAGAGUUCCUACAGCGUCACAUCAAUUCACCCGAAGCAAGUUCCUGUUGGUCAAGCAAAAGGAAGCCUUUGAAGCCUUUGAAUCUUUUGAAGCCUUCCAAGUUAAGGUUCAUGGCAUCCCAGAAACAAUCAAGGAAGGGAGGCAGACAGAGACGUGGUGACACAUCUAAAGAUCUGCCUGAAGAUUUGGCAGAAAUGUACCAUACAGAUCCCGAAGAGAGCUAUGGUCAGCGCAAGACACGAAUCCAAUGGAUUCGAAGAUAUUGGGCAGAGCAGUGGUUUCACUAUCGCUUUGUCACCAAGGAAUACGCAGAGAAGUACGCCAUCAAGAGGCCAUGGGGCGAUGCCUUGUACAAGAAUCUCGUACCCCGAACCAGAGACGAAGCCAUUGCUCAAGGCUUCUUUCCAUGCAUGGUCAGGGGACAACAGCCAGCUGAUGCACAUCCAUCAUCCCUUCUCUGGUGUCGGGAUGACACUCUAUUCAAGCGCAACUUUCAAUUUGCCCAGAAAUCUGCGACGCAAAACAAGAAGGAGUUCGGGUUGGACUUCAACCCUGGUCCCUCCAAACCAAGGGCAGAUGGCACACGCGACGCUAAUCCCAAUGUCAUCGGGCCAUUUGCCAAUCUCGAAGGCCUCAUCACUCACAUUAUAGUCCAAGGGACUGCCGUGAACGACCCUCCAGCAGACACUGAGUCUGAUGAUGCUCCUGCUGUCCCGGAGCCAAAGCAGAUGAAGAAGAAGCCAAAAGCUUCCAAGCCAGCCGCUUCUCCCAAGAUCUCCAGAGUGAAGCCAUUGGCAACUGCACCUCCUGAAGCCAGUGUGCAGUCGGAAGGCUUAUCUAGAGUCUCCAAGCCCCAAGAAGCCAAGAAGUCUCAUCCAGACACAGGGAAAGAGCUCACCGCUGCUGCUAUUUUGCGCUGCGAAGCCAUUGAUCUUUCAAGCGAUGAAGAUCUUGGAGAUGAUGCCCUUGAGCAGCUCAUCAAGAGCAAGGAGGAGGCUGAAAUCUUCAAUAAUCUGCCUCUGUUUGAUGUCACCAUCAUCCACAAGUUCAUUGAUGAAUGGUUUGACUCCCCAGACAUCAGCUUCGAUGACCUGCAGUUGCCCAUAGGCCUCAGUGUUAUCUUUCAAGGAGCAAUUGCUUCAGAACUUGCAAUUUCCCAGCGCAUCGUGGAGCUGAAGCAGAAGAUAGACUUUGAAAAGGCUCAGUUCAAGCAGAACAUGGCCACGCUCAGCAUCCAGGAAAUCAAAGACUUCAAGGUCAUGCUGCACGAGUUGAAGGAAAACUUUAUGCAGAAACGUGUAGCGGCUCAGGGUUCACGCGAGCGCAUGAAGAAGUCAGCUGAUCUCUGUGUGCAGGCCUACAAUGAGGCCGAGAAGCGAAAGUCACUUGGGCGCCCCGGCAUCGACCCCAAGAUGGCCGCUAAGAAGAAGAAGACGCCCACCAUGGCUAAAGAAGAGGCCCCACGCCAAGAAGCUGUUCUAACUGUCUUCCCAACCGCCAAGCCUAGCUCGAAGCCAAAGCGCUCCACUGCUUCCGAGCUCAAGAAGACAAGGACAGCUGAAGCUGAAGCGAGAAAGAGAAAACACUCUAAAGCCUCUCCUUCUGACCCCAGCACCAAGAAGCGCAAGAUGAAGAAAUCUCGGGCUGCUCCCAUAGAGCCCUUGAUAGUUGAACCCCUCUCCGUCCGCUAUCCCAACGAAGAUCGUCAACUGACAGUGCAUGAGCCUGCUCCCACAGAGGCUCCGCAAGUUGAAGACAUUCCAGCAGCCGACCCCAUCGCUGCUGAAGACAUUGGUCACCAAGACAAUGUGCAAGAUGAUGCAGCCCUUCCUCAGCUAGAGACAAGCGAAUUGCUCAGCAUUGGUCGUCCCUUGACGCCAAUCACACAAGAUGCAUCGUGGGCAGAUCGCCCACAGGAGGAAGAGGAUGAGCCCCAGACCACUGCAACUCCACCAGCGUCGCCUGCAUUCCGUAGGCUUCGCAAAGGUCCAAGGGCUCAAGCUGCUGACGACAUUCCGGCUGCAUCAGCCGAAGACAAUGAAGAAGCACCACAGGAACCCCAAGCUCCAACUCCACUACCCCAACAAGAGGCCGUUCUCCAGGAGAACGUGCCUGAGUCUGUUCCUCUCACUACACGUGCUGAGGAUGAAAACAUUGAGGCUGCCACACACAAUGCUGAAGACAAUGUGAAGCCCUCUCCAACAAUAGCUUCAGAACAUACUGAAGCUGCUGUCCCUGAACCUUCUGCACCAGAGUCUGCUGCCGGUCCGCAAUUCAACUAUCACAUUGCGCACAGGCCCCAGGUUCAGAAGCCAAUUCCAAGACUACCAAGGUUCCCAGGUCCUGCAUCAGCUCCUGGCUCCUUCAAUAUCAACAGCUUCAGGGCAGACAAUACUUUCUUCAACCGCUCCAAGAAUCCUUACUCAAGGGAACGGAUCGCAUCAGAUAGGUUCUGGAGCCAUCAACAGCGCAGCUACUAUUCAUGCAUCCUCUACAACCAAGGCCGCAUCUUUCCCCACCAGCGCCUUGAGGUUGAAGCUGUUGCUGGUCUGCCUGGUUUGGAAGAAGCCAUUGAUUGCUUCAAGCAAGUGGGUCUACUGCCGUUCAUCACUGACGAAGAGCAUUGGAACGAAGAGCUUAUGCUUCAAUUCUAUGCUACUCUGCAUAUCAAAGGCUACAACCGCGAUCCGAAGACAUGGGUCCUGGAGUGGAUGACAGGAAAUGUCCUUCAUGAAGCCAAAGCUUUCAACAUCAUUGAGCUUACCGGCCUUCCCACUUCUGGCGAAUUCUUUGAAGAAGGAUGCCAACUCCAUGCUGAAGCAAUUGAGAGCAUAUUUCAGCGUCCAGAACCAAAUAUGAGUCAGAUGCUCUCAAUGAUGAAGCCAUUGGCACAUAAUGCACCCUAUCCAACUGAGUUCUUCGUUGAAGACUUAGAGUACCUGCCCAGAACCAUAUAUCAUAUCAUCAGGCGGACUCUCUGGCCCAUUAAAGGACACUCCCGGUAUGCCAAGGUUGAAGGUGCCAUGAAGACACUCAUCUUCUGUAUUAUGCAUGGCAAAUGCUUCAACGCACAGGAUCUCUUCAUCCGUCAACUUGCUGCGUCUGGCUCAGAUCUCUUCGGUCUGAAGAUUUAUGCUCCUUGGGUUAUGAGGCUGAUCAAGCUUCAUUAUGCGAUCUCCUAUCAGCCCUCAGCCCGCAACCACAGGAUCUUCUUACCAGAUGUGGACACCUCAGCUGAAGCUAUUUAUCCUGAGCCUGCCAAACAGCCACUAAAUCUUCAGAAUGCAGAACACCAAAGCUUCACUCAAAAUGUUGAAGGUGUUGAAGCCAUUUCCAGAGUCUAUCCAAUGGCUGGCACCACAUGUGCCCCUGCAUCCACUGAAGCCACUGACAGCGAAGCUGCACAGAGACCCAAGAAACGCGCUCGUACCCUCACUGAUCGUGAACUUCUUGUGGCUCUGCAUCAAAAGCAAGAUAGGCAUCACGACUGGCUCAAGAGGCAGAUGGGCAACAUCAUGAAAGACAUCAAUCGCAUCAGAAAUCUGGCAACCAAGAAUGCAUUCGUCGCACACGAAACCUGUCGCCGCACUUGGAAAGGCCUCACAAUGAUGUGCCCAGAAGCUGAUCUUCACGAGGAUGGCUUCAAAGAGCAUUUCAAGUUUGAUACCACACCUCCCAGAAGAGUUGUGAUGCAAAGCACACCAUCUCUUGAAGAUUCGAAUUUCUCUUCUUCUGCUGCCACAGUAUCUGCCAGGAUCAUUGAAGAAGAAGACGACGCUACAUCACCACCAAUGUCUUCAGCGCGCGUCGUCACUGCACCAAGCUCGCCUGCACCACCAAACGCAUCCACCGACCCUGCUGCGCCUCGGAACGCAUAGAAAACUCUAUGUCUUCAAAUCUUUUUGGUCAUCACUGACAAAAGGGGGAGAAGCAUAUGAUGUUUAUAGUCUUCAAGCGGGUCAAUAAUAUGGGCGGGUGCUUUAUAUUUUGCAUUUUGCUUCGUGAUUACAACUCUCGUUUUGCUACAUUUGGUUCUUUGAGUUGUAAGCACUUAAACUUGAUGGUCGUCUGCUACUGUGUUUUUGUGAAGAUAAAUUCCGCAUGUACGACGAUAAUUUCCGCACUCUUAUCAUUUCGCAGACGUCCAUUUUCCAUUAUGCAUGUCAUUAUCUUCAUAUAUCUUUACGUGCAUAAUGGAUUGUCAUCAUAAGUUGAAGUGGAUUCCCACAAAUACAACCUGCUAUGUGCAUUUGCAGUCCAAAAGCAAAUCACUUAUAUGCACAUCUUCAGGGGGAGCCCUUGCAGCUUAUGAAGACAAUUCCUUUACAAUUUCGCAAAUUAUAUUCCCCGUUGAAAACUUCAACUAGUUUGUCAUCAAUCACCAAAAAGGGGGAGAUUGUAAGUGCAUCUAGUGCCACCCCUAGUUGGUUUUGGAGUAUUGACGACAAACCUAGUUGAGGGACUAAUGUGUUUGUGAGAAUUGCAGGAUAACACAGGUAGAAGUCCCUCAUUGAUUCGGUUUAGCUACCAGAGAUGACCCCCAAAAAUGUACGAAGACAUUGAAGACAAUGGUGGUUCAUGAAGACAUUCAUGUCGAAGACAAUGACAUAUGAAGACUUCCCAUGAAGCCUUUGGAACUCGAAGACUUAGAUCCUUUGUAGUUUCACUUUAUUCAUGUUGUGUCAUAGGAACCACCGUACUGUUAAGUGGGGUCCAAGAGAACCAGUCAGGAUGACUGAAGUGAUGCCUAAUUCAAAUCCUAUGUCUUCGAGUGAAGACAAUGAGAGAAAAUCUUGUCCAGAGUCAGACAAGUCAGCUUUACUUGCAGCCCAAGUAAAGUUGCCGUGAGAGUUCAAAAUCCGACCGUUAGUACACGUGUCAGUUCCUUAGUGACCCAGGGUCAUUUCGGACAAAUCAGGUCAGGGUUGCCAAGUGGCUAUAAAUAGUCCACCCCCACAACCAUAAACGGUUGGCUGCUCAGAUUUCAGUACACGGCUUUUGUCGUUUGAGAGCAACCCACCUCGAAGCCUUUGAGAGAAAAUCCCUAGCGAGGAGAAAAGCCCUAACCACCCAGAGCCAGAGUAAAUUGGGCAUCAUUUAAGUCUUCUUGUCUGUGUGAUCUGAAGACUUAUUACACUUGAGGACUGUGCAUCCUCCAGACGGUUAGGCGUCGCGUUCUGAGCAUCCAAGAGUAAUUGUGGAUUGCUGGUGAACGAAGUCUGUGAAGGUUUGGGAGUCUACCUUGAAGACUUACCUGAGUGAUUGGGCGAGGUCUGUGUGACCUUAGCUCAAGGAGAAUACGGUGAGGACUGGGUGUCUUGGACUAAGUGUCCUUGACUGGGUGUCCGGGACUGUGCGUCCUUUGGUUUGAAUACCUAGCCGCUCCAACCAGACGUACAGUUGUCACAGCAACUGGAACUGGUCCAACAAAUCAUUGUCUUCAACGUGUCACUGGUUUCAUCUUCACUUCCCUUCAACUUACUGUUAUUCAUUGUGAAGCCAUUGCAUGCUCGCUCUAUCUUUUGUCUUCACAACUUAACUGUAUGAUUUGAUUGGCUUCAUAACUUCUUCCUACCUGAUCCUAAUUACACUGAAGCUAUUGUUACUGUGCUUUCACUCCAUUGAAUACUUGAUCUUAGCUUGCUUGUGUAAUCUAACUUCCGCUGCAUAGUGAUAGGCAUAUCUUCUCUGUUUGUCUUCAUAACUUCCACGUUUUAAAGACUUUCAUAAAAAUCGCCUAUUCACCUCCCCCCCUCUAGUCGAUAUAACGCACUUUCAAUUGGUAUCAGAGCAAGGUGCUCCCUUGUUCUGUGUGAUUCGGUUUAACCACCUGGAGUUUUAGCUAUGUCGACUGCAGGGAUAAUCAAAGUCUCCGCUGCGUGCCCCGUCUUCGAUGGAACUGAAUAUCCCUACUGGAAGAAUAAGAUGCGCAUGCAUCUUGAAGCCAUUGACGUCGACCUAUGGUAUGUCGUCGAGAACAGCGUUCCCAAGGCUGGAGAUGGUGUCACUGCUGCUGAUGUCAAGAAGUUCACUCAACUGGACUCUACUGCCAAGAAUAUUAUCUGUGGUCAUCUGACCAAGGGACAGUACGGCCGUGUGAGUGCCUUGAAGACAUCCAAGCUGGUCUAGGACUGGCUCUCAAAGGUCAAUGAAGGCAUCUCAACCCAGAGAGAUCAGAGAAUCAGUGUUCUUUGCAACCUCUUCAACCGCUUCAAGCGAAAUGACAAGGAGAAUGUCCAGCACACAUUUGACCGGCUCACUGACAUCACAAAUGAGCUUCAAGCCCUCGGCGCCACUGAGAUCACCAAACAUGAAAUCGUCAAGACGCUGCUGAGAUCACUUGACAGUUCAUUUGACAUCCUAGCCCUGAUGAUUCAAGAACGUCCUGAUUUCAAGACACUCGAUCCAUCUGACAUACUUGAGAGGCUCAACACACAUGAGUUUCAGCUUUCUGAGAAAAGAGAUAUCUACGGUCCAAACUAUGGGCGAACUCGUGCCCUGAAGGCAAAAGCUGUGUCAUCAUCUGAAGAAGAAUCUGACAGCAGUUCUGAUGAUCCUGAAGACAUUGGAAGAGAACUUGCGAUGCUAGUAAAGAAGUUCCAGAAAUUCACCAAGAAGAAAGGCUUCAGAAAGUCUUCACGAUCAAGCUCAAGGAAUGAUGAAGCUUCUGCUCAUGACUACAAGAAGAAAACAUGCCACAAGUGCAAGAAAUCUGGACACUUUAUCUCUGAGUGUCCACAGUGGGACAAUGAGAGCAGAAGGAAGAAGAAGAGCAAGGAAUAUGACUCUGACGACAAGAAGAAGAAGAAAUACUCAAAAUCUUCUUCCAAGUCUUCUUCAAAGCCUUCAUCACACAAAAAGAGCUCAUCUGGCAAGGCAUGUGCGUUUGUUGGCAAGGAAAUGGAUUCUGAGGAGGAGUCUGCAUCUGAGGAGGCAGAGGUGGAGUCUGAGGAGGAAUCUGAUUCUGGCAUUGCGAGUCUGGCUACUGCCUAUGUUGCCAAGUCCAUCUUCAACACUGAAGACAAUGACUUCAUCACCAGCACCGACGCUAAUGACGAGGACGACUCCACUCCUACCUACUGCUUCAUGGCCCGUGGUACAAUGAUAAAACACACUAAUAUUAAACAUAAGAAAAAAGAAUCACUGGAAAAUGUAUUUUUAAAGUUAAGUUAAUCACAAACUAGUGAUUCACACAAAUUUCAAAUAAUUCAAAAUUUAAACUAUUCAAAUUUAAAAACUACCGGCACUAGCUGAAAGUUUCUAAAAACUAUCAAAAAUAUUCACAAAGAAACUCUAAAUACAGCAAAAAACAACUAAAAAUAAAUAAAACAAAAUAAAUAAAGCAAAAAAGAAAAAAGUAAAUGAAAAAAGCCCACCUACCGGGCCACAGCGGCCUGCAUACGACUAGAAACCCAACCUGUUGUUGGGCCAGGAUGCAGGCCCGCAAGCCCAAUAGGCCCCACAGGGCAGAGUGGCAGAGAUAGGCCCAGAAGGCCUGCAUUUCAGAGGAGCUCGAAGGAGCAGCCGCGGCUGGGUUUAUAAACCAGUGCGGCUGCCCUUCGCUAGGCGAGGUGGGACUAAACUUUGCGCCCCUCGCCUGGCAGCGCACCCCCCUUUAGUACCGGUUCGUGGCACCAACCGGUACUAAAGGGGGGGCCUUUAGUACCGGUUGGAGCCACCACCCGGUACUAAAGGGGGUCGCUUCCCGCCGCUUGGGCUAGCCAAAACAGACCUUUAGUACCGGGUGGUGGCUCCAACCGGUACUAAAGGUGCCUUCUAUAUAUACAACACUUCGAAAAAUUUCAUUCUCCCCCUCUGUUUCUUCCCGAUCGAUCGACACUGCCCCCAUCGCACGCCGUUGCCGUCGCCGCCCCCAUCCUCGUCGCCGCCCUCGUCCCCGUCGCCGCCCCCNNNNNNNNNNNNNNNNNNNNNNNNNNNNNNNNNNNNNNNNNNNNNNNNNNNNNNNNNNNNNNNNNNNNNNNNNNNNNNNNNNNNNNNNNNNNNNNNNNNNNNNNNNNNNNNNNNNNNNACACACAAGCAUGAACACACACACGCACAUUUUUCUGUUUUUAGUUAUAGAAAUAGUUAUAAAAUAGUUAGAAUUGAUAGAAAUUUUUCUAUUUUUUAGUUAUAGAAAUAGUUAUAAAAUAGUUAGAAUUCAUAGAAAUUUUUCUAUUUUUUUGUUAUAGAAAUAGUUAUAAAAUAGUUAGAAUUGUUAGAAAUUUUUUCUGUUUUUUAGUUAUAGAAAUAGUUAUAAAAAAGUUAGAAAUUUUCUGUUUUUUAGUUAUAGAAAUAUUAGAAAUGUUAUACAAAUGUUAGUUAUAUAUAUAAAAAUGUUAUAAUUUUUUUCUUCUGUUUUUUAGUUAUAGAAAUAUUAGAAAUGUUAUAGAAAUGUUAGUUAUAUAGCAUUGUUAGAAAUGUUAUAGGAAUGUUAGUUAUAUAGAAAUGUUAGAAAUUUUAGUGAUCAAAAUCCAAUCAUUAAAAAAAUGUUACUUUUUGCGUGCAUAUAGCUAGUAUUUGUUUUGGACGAUGCCCGGCCCGCAUCCUCGCCGGCGACCCGUCCGCGACGACGUCCGGCUGACCCAUGUCCGGGACUGGGCUCCGCCGGGCUGGCACUGGGAGGUGCUGCCUAGAGGGGCGCGCCGCUUGAUGAGGAACCCGGCCCUGGGUCCCGUCGUCGACCCUGAUCUCGUUUGGUGGCGUUCGCGUGGGCCAGUUUCGGUGCGGAGGGAGCCGGCCCCGCCGGAGGAGGUACGUCGCCGUGUCAGGGAGGAGGACGAGCACGUCCAUCGCUACAUGGUUGCGUUAGAGGGCGGCAGGUUCUCCAAUACCUGGCAGUUUCUUCAGGGAUCUCACUUCAGCUAUGAUCCUGUGAGGGUUCCUUCUCUGUGGGUGUCCACCGCCCGCGCCGAAGGAACCGCGAGUGUCCUAGAUUCUUCUAUAGUAUUCGAUCUUUAUUAGCUACCUAGCCAGUGAUGUACUCGAUAUAUAAUAUUCGAGACGAUGUAUUCGAGAUUAUAUAUUAUUUGAGACGAUGUAUUCGAGAUUAUAUAUUAUUCGAGACGAUGUAUUCGAGAUUAUAUCUAUUAUUUGAGACGAUGUAUUCGAGAUUAUAUCUAUUAUUCGAGACGAUGUAUUCGAGAUUAUAUCUAUUUUUCGAGAUUAUACUAAAUUGUUUUAUAUUUCUUUUGGCAUAGUUAAAUAAAAGCUAUGGCGGACAAUACCGACAGAGAGAGAGAACAGACCAUGUUCGAUAUCAUACGCGGGCCAGAUGAUGAUCAGAAUGAAGAAGAUUUUGACGGCUCCGAAUUUCUAAACAACACCGGAGAGGGUGAUAUGAUAUUCGAUCGCGACGACCGAGAAGAUGAAGUCAUGAACUACGACGAAGAACAUGUUGAUCCUGUAACAACAAACACCGGCGAGGUAUAUAUAUUUAUAUAAGCAGGAAUCUGGUGAUCAUCGCAUGUUUUAAAUGAGUUGAAGAUAUAUCAACGAAUCGAUCUUUCUUGUUUCAGCCAUCCGGAUCGAGCAAAUCUUCAGGCAAAAGGACGAAACGAGGCCCGAACAAAAAGUUGAAGGAGGGCGUAAAGUACAAUAUCGAGGCAUUCAAACCUAAUGGCGAACCAUUAGCGCCUAAGAAGAUUGCGGACAAGUUCGUUCGUCAGUGCGGAGUUCUUGUGAAGGACCAACUCCCGAUCUCCCUUCAAGAAUGGAGAAAGCCAGCAAAUCCACGUCCAGAUGUUACUUUUGUCGACGAGAAUCAAAAAAAUAUGCUUUGGGAUACUCUCAUGGAACAUUUCACCCUACCAGAUCAUUUCACAGAAGCAGAUAUGCGGAAAGUCAAGAAUGCUGCUUUUAGGAAGAUGGCGGUUGCAUUCAAGAACCACAAGAGAAUGACGUGGGAGAAGUACGUCAAGGGAGGAAGGAAGACUCCAGUAUUCGAGGGGAUACUAGAGAAUCAAAGUGCUCAUUGGGACGAUUUCGUGAAAUUCAAGGAUUCAGAAUUAGCUAAGGAACGGUCGAGAAUAAACAAGAAGAAUGCCGAAAAAAAGGAUAAGUUCCAUAAGCUAGGGCCAAGUGGCUACGCGGUGGCAAUGCCUAAGUGGGAUAAGUCUGAGAAAGAGAUGGAGGAUGCAAGUGUCACUCCGGUUACUAAGAGCUGGCCCCCCAGGUGCAGGACUUGGUUCUAUGCGCAUGGGGGGGGGGAGUUGGACCCGAAGACAGGCAAUGUUUCGACGAAGGCAUGUCUGAACGGAGCCGAUGAUGCGCUACUUGUUGCAAGAGAAGAGGCUCGAUCGGGGGUGUUCCAGCCCAACAGAGAGAACGACGAGCUUACGCGUGCCCUGGGAAAUCCUGAACACCCGGGAAGAACACGAGGCAAGGGUGCUAUUCCGUGGUAUGAGGGGUUUUCGGACUGGAACGCCGACUACAGAACCCGUGCAAGAAAGAAGAUUGUGGAGGAGAAGAAGAGGAAGAUGGAGGAGGAGCAGAGGAAGCGGGACUAUGAACGCCUUCAAGGACUAGAAGCAAGUCAAGCGGAAUUGGCAGCUAAAUUCCAGCGGCAGCAGGAGCAGAUCGACUCACUUAGCCAGCAAAGGGGGUCUCAGCAGCUGCAGCAGCUAGCGGAUGAUCCAGCAUUGGAUACCACCGCCCCAUCCAUGCCGAGAAGCAGCGUGGGUUCCGCCCCAGGCGACACAGUAGUGCUGGAUAGAUACCCCGUGGAUGACAUCACGGAGAACACUAACUGCGAGCUACACUUCAAAAUGAAGAACAUAUCCAUGAAGGUGGCGGACGCCGUUGCUUUUUCAAAUUCCCCCGAGGCAACCUUCCAUUGCAACCCGAUUCCAGCGGGCUAUGCUCGUGUCUUGGUUGAUGAGGUGGUGGCCCCUUAUUCGGAGCUACAGCUUGACAUUCCUGGAGGUGACGACGAGCACACAUUGGGAGAGGUCAUACAUCGUGUCAUCCUAUGGAGAAAGGAUUGCAUCAUCUUUCGAAGGCCACCGACACCACGUCACCCGACUCCUCGUCGAAGUCCGUCACCGAGUCAGCAGACUCCCGCUCCUCCAAGUCCACCAACGCGUGAGGCCACUCCUCCUCCUCCAAGUCCGGCAAAGUGUCAGGCCACUCCUCCUCCAAGUCCGACACAGCGUCAGACGUUCACUCCUCGUCCAACUCAGCCCCGUCAGCCGUCUCCGCCGCCUCAGCAAUCGCAGAAGAGACACCCCGCAGCUAUGGUGCGUAGCGGUACGAGUCGAGGUGAUAGUACAGGAAGUACAGGCGGAGGCAAGCGAUAUAAAUAUGGUCCAAACCUCAAUACUCCUCUUCCUGUGAUGGCUUACGACAGGACCGAGGAACAAACCAAUGCCAUAGUGCGGGCAGAAGUCGACGCCCAUUUUGGACCGAAACCGCCACCGCCGCCAAAGGAGAAAGUGCAUGUGGAAGUAGUUGACCACUUCAUUCGUAUGGCUCAACCACCAACUCCUAAGCCUGUUGACUCAGACUAUGAGCGCCACAUCAGGAAGUUACAUCGACAACGUCUACAGAAGGAGGCGAGCUCGAGCUCGAGCAAACAACAAGCAGCUGUCAAAAAAUGCGGGAAAACCGUUGCCCAGCUGGGAAAACAGGCGGCGCAAUCGAUCCCCCCCGCUUGUUGUGCCGCCAACGACACGUGACAGUACGCGCGCCCAAUAUUAUUGUGGCCAAACGGUUUACGUUCCCGAGGUGGGCGAUGUGGUAAUAACCCAGGAGCAUAUAAUGCAGGCUGAAGAACUCAAGAUCACUGUUGGACAACUCCUCGAGAUCGAGGACAUGCCUCCGAUUAGAGAAGAGCAAAUAAAAUGGAAAUUUGUCCGGGGCCAACCUUUGGUCGAGCCAGAAGAUGUCAAGAAGCUCCCAACGAGAAUGUAUGAAUUGCAUCAAUGGUACAUGGACAUUAGCAAGAGAUCCGAUCAAGAGUCCCUCAUGGUGUAUGUCAAGAAGGAUGAUUACUACCAUGAGAAAGCUGUGGCCGUUGAGUAUUCUGAACUGUUUCAGUUAUACAAUCAAGAUGCACUCGACAAAUCUAUCGUCGGUUGCUAUUGUCUGUAAGUGAUUUCUUUCUGUAAUUUAAGUCUCAAGCUAGCUGUAGUGAUCCUUUUGAUCAAUCAUUACGUGUAAUUAUCCUCACUAUAUUCUUUUCUGCGGUAUUAUGCAGGAUGAAGAUGUCUGAAAUGAGAAAAAGUGGACGCUAUGGCAUUGGGUUCAUUGACCCAAACACCGUUAAUGAAUACACAUGGAAAUUAGAUGCAUAUUAUGAAAAAGAGGUAGAGGACAGCAUGCUAGAGUUCUUCAAGCGCCUCAAAUACAAUGAAGAUAUACUACUUCCUUACAACUUCGAGUGAGUCACACUUUCUUGUACUACAAAUUCUCUGUUUUUGCCUACUAGCUAGCUACAUGUUUUUGCUUACAUAUGCCCGCUUAAUUAAGACAUGUAAACGUGUGCGCAUGCAGAUUUCACUGGAUCUUGUGUAUCAUUAAAGUUGACGCCGGAACAGUUGAAAUACUGGACUCGCUACUCAAAGCAAAUACUGACUAUAACAUCUUGCUUGGGAUAGUCAACAGGUAAUUUCAAUCAUUAUUAACUAUAUAUCUCGGCCUAUUUAGUUCGUCAUUUAAUGAUAUGAACUAUUUAAUAACCCCUUUAUUCAUUUUCUUCGUCGGCGGGCAGGGCUUGGGCAAGGUUCAUCAGCGUCACUCCAGGCGAAUGCAAACAAAAGCUGAAAUGGUUUCGAGCCAAGGUAAGUAAUUAAGUAGUACUAGCUAGCUAGCUAGCUGCCAUCUCUUUAAUUAUCAUGCUUGAUUAAUUAUUAUCUGAUUAAAUUAAAUUCCAUUCUCGUAAUAAAGGCCCUGAAGCAGGCGCCAGGGACUGAUCUGUGUGCAUACUGCAUUUGCGAAAACAUUCGCAUGAUGGCGUCCAAAAGGAGCAGAUCUCAAAGACAGGAAUGGGUACGUUUGUCAGAACAAUAUUCACAAUUUUUACACCAUUAUCGAUAUCUAGUCACACAACUAAUACACAUGCAUAUUGAUCUCCUUCUUAACAGUUCAAAGAGGUGCAGGACAAGCUCCUACCAACGGAGCGCGUAGAAGCACUUCAAUAGGAAAUAGCGGGAUUUUUGCUCGACCAGGUCAUAAAUCCGAAGUGAGAAUACUAUUACCCGCUACCGCCCCCAUCGAAAAAGACAUGAACCACUUUCAAUUUUCAUCGUGCUCCGAAGGCACCAAUCAGGCUAAUGCCACUGGCUCCGAAGGCAACAUGCAUAUGUAGGAGAAAUUGUAUAUAGCUAUACAUGUGUGUAUGUGUGAAUUAAUAUGGCGGUUUGUGAGACAUGAUUGAUGAUAUAUAUGAUUGGUUCUACUAAAAAUUNNNNNNNNNNNNNNNNNNNNNNNNNNNNNNNNNNNNNNNNNNNNNNNNNNNNNNNNNNNNNNNNNNNNNNNNNNNNNNNNNNNNNNNNNNNNNNNNNNNNNNNNNNNNNNNNNNNNNNNNNNNNNNNNNNNNNNNNNNNNNNNNNNNNNNNNNNNNNNNNNNNNNNNNNNNNNNNNNNNNNNNNNNNNNNNNNNNNNNNNNNNNNNNNNNNNNNNNNNNNNNNNNNNNNNNNNNNNNNNNNNNNNNNNNNNNNNNNNNNNNNNNNNNNNNNNNNNNNNNNNNNNNNNNNNNNNNNNNNNNNNNNNNNNNNNNNNNNNNNNNNNNNNNNNNNNNNNNNNNNNNNNNNNNNNNNNNNNNNNNNNNNNNNNNNNNNNNNNNNNNNNNNNNNNNNNNNNNNNNNNNNNNNNNNNNNNNNNNNNNNNNNNNNNNNNNNNNNNNNNNNNNNNNNNNNNNNNNNNNNNNNNNNNNNNNNNNNNNNNNNNNNNNNNNNNNNNNNNNNNNNNNNNNNNNNNNNNNNNNNNNNNNNNNNNNNNNNNNNNNNNNNNNNNNNNNNNNNNNNNNNNNNNNNNNNNNNNNNNNNNNNNNNNNNNNNNNNNNNNNNNNNNNNNNNNNNNNNNNNNNNNNNNNNNNNNNNNNNNNNNNNNNNNNNNNNNNNNNNNNNNNNNNNNNNNNNNNNNNNNNNNNNNNNNNNNNNNNNNNNNNNNNNNNNNNNNNNNNNNNNNNNNNNNNNNNNNNNNNNNNNNNNNNNNNNNNNNNNNNNNNNNNNNNNNNNNNNNNNNNNNNNNNNNNNNNNNNNNNNNNNNNNNNNNNNNNNNNNNNNNNNNNNNNNNNNNNNNNNNNNNNNNNNNNNNNNNNNNNNNNNNNNNNNNNNNNNNNNNNNNNNNNNNNNNNNNNNNNNNNNNNNNNNNNNNNNNNNNNNNNNNNNNNNNNNNNNNNNNNNNNNNNNNNNNNNNNNNNNNNNNNNNNNNNNNNNNNNNNNNNNNNNNNNNNNNNNNNNNNNNNNNNNNNNNNNNNNNNNNNNNNNNNNNNNNNNNNNNNNNNNNNNNNNNNNNNNNNNNNNNNNNNNNNNNNNNNNNNNNNNNNNNNNNNNNNNNNNNNNNNNNNNNNNNNNNNNNNNNNNNNNNNNNNNNNNNNNNNNNNNNNNNNNNNNNNNNNNNNNNNNNNNNNNNNNNNNNNNNNNNNNNNNNNNNNNNNNNNNNNNNNNNNNNNNNNNNNNNNNNNNNNNNNNNNNNNNNNNNNNNNNNNNNNNNNNNNNNNNNNNNNNNNNNNNNNNNNNNNNNNNNNNNNNNNNNNNNNNNNNNNNNNNNNNNNNNNNNNNNNNNNNNNNNNNNNNNNNNNNNNNNNNNNNNNNNNNNNNNNNNNNNNNNNNNNNNNNNNNNNNNNNNNNNNNNNNNNNNNNNNNNNNNNNNNNNNNNNNNNNNNNNNNNNNNNNNNNNNNNNNNNNNNNNNNNNNNNNNNNNNNNNNNNNNNNNNNNNNNNNNNNNNNNNNNNNNNNNNNNNNNNNNNNNNNNNNNNNNNNNNNNNNNNNNNNNNNNNNNNNNNNNNNNNNNNNNNNNNNNNNNNNNNNNNNNNNNNNNNNNNNNNNNNNNNNNNNNNNNNNNNNNNNNNNNNNNNNNNNNNNNNNNNNNNNNNNNNNNNNNNNNNNNNNNNNNNNNNNNNNNNNNNNNNNNNNUGUCCAGGUCGUUGCAGUGCACGUACCUUACGUGCCGGACGACGUCGCUGCCUGGGCCGUCGCGGACGGCGUUGAGCUUGGGCAGGGCCACCCUGGCGCGGGUGGCCAGGUGCGAGACGUGGCAGGAGGCGUCGCGGGUGUCGACGACGAGGGACCAGCCGCGGGACAAGGGGAAGACAGCCGUGUGGGAGGCGCGGACACGGGGGAGCAGGAGGCGCGGCGCUGGCCCUGCCGCGGCGCGCCAUGCCCGGCACACGGAGCGGAACGCGGCGAGCCCGGUGACGGCGUCGCGGGACCUCCGCGCGAUGAUCGUCACUAGAUCGGAGGGGAGGUCCAACCAGUCGGGCUGCUCCUCCUGGCUAGCCAUUGCACGUACGUGCGCUGUCGAUGGGCUGGGCGAACCGAAGGUUUGACUUUGUUGAUCCUUUUAUGAGGAGCCUCGGCAACAACGAUACAAUCGUAACUAACUUUCUUUAUUUAAAAUAAACAGAGUAUAAAAGACUCGGUCGACCGUACGACGUGGGAUCGUGGCGGUUUGACCAUCUACAGCCAGGUCUCUCGUGCCCGUCUCAAACACCUAGACCGAUCACAAAAAUUCAACCCAACAGAAUCUCUCAAACGACCGAACUAACCAACACCCUUUAUAUCCAGCACAAAUAUAGGGCAAUCUGAGCAUUGUCCGGACGUGUCCGCCUGACAGGUCCGGCCCACCACGGACCAACAAAACAUCCCUAUCUCGGCGGCGAGCUCAAACCCCAGCUCACUCUUUCGCUCCGUCCGUCCACUCAUCUCCCACUCCGGUUUCCGAUGCCAUCCACCACCAUGAGCAGCUUCGGCAACGACUCUGGCUCAGAGCUCGACUACGAGGAGGAGAUGGCCCUCCGCAUUGCGUUCGAGCGGUCCAAAGUAGAGACCGGCAGCAGCUUCGGAUCUGGAGCGUCGCCGCACCUCCCGGGCCGGUGCAGCGCGGACGCCGAAGCUGGACCCUCCUGGCCCACGCGCAGCGACGCCCGGUCAGCACAGUCCGCACCGGUCCCGCGUCAUCUCCUUCCCCCGUCGGCCGCCCCUCCACGGGCCAACGCUGGGUGCUUGUGACCGUGCCUCCGGCCUGCACGCGCACUCCGGAGUCCGAGGCGCGCGCCGCGCGCCGCGAGAGGCAGCGUGCACGGGAGAAGGAGGCGGUGGAGCAGUCCAUGCGCCGUCGCCGCGGGACGGAGGCGGACGCCGACGAGGACGCGCGUCUCCUCGCCUGGGUUUAUCGUCGCUCCCUCACGACGGCGGAGACGGACACUCGCCGCCUCCGACGGAAGAACGCGAAGGCGCUCCAGCUAGGCAUUGAUGUUGGAAAUAUGAGCAAGUUACUACAAGAUUUAAUCCGAAUAAUUAGAAGAUAAAUCAUGACUACAGUAGCAGAGAUUAAACUAAUCAUGCGAACUAGCAUAGCAAAUGAGCAGAUCACAUCUAGGGCACAUACUAGAAACAUGAAUUCUACCACGAUCUCGAACAGGAAGGAUAGAAUCAUAUACGGUGUAGCGGGAGUAGCACCGCCGGCGUUGACGUUGUCGCCCAUGUCGUCGAGGAUGAGGUUGCCGAGGUCGGGGAAGAAGUCGUUGUUCGCAAAAUCGUCGCUGCCAGCAGUCGCGCGAGUGCGCUCCCCAAAAACCUGAUCGCCCCUCUCCCGUACAGGAUCACGAGAGGUGGGGUUCCGGAGGCCUGCUGUCCCUUCUCCCGGUGCACGCCAAAAGGAGGGAUCUAGAAGACUUGUUUGGUGGCGCAAUGAUCUGGAACGGUGGUGAGAAACCAUACGAAGCGGCGGCGGCUAGGGUAGACGUCAGCCUGACUAUAUAGUGCGGGCCGGGUCACGAUACAAAAGAAUCGGAAACGGUUCAGUAAUUAACGCGUUUGUUAAUUAUUAAUUAAUGACUCAUUAAUUUUCCCGAGCAGCAAAAAUAUAGACAACGUGCAUAGCUCUGUCCUCGGCUCGGCUCAAUCCCGCGGCGUGGCGAUGCGAGCAAGAAGGAGGAGCGCGCGUGUAGGUCUCCUCUUCUCAUGCUCAUACAAGUGGUAGAAGAGCUCACCUUAUAAAGAGGUGCAACUCUCUCUCAAUUUUCGGGGUGAGACUAAACAUUAGCCUCACUCACUCCACUCACAUGUGUGCAUGAAUGGGCCAAGAGAAUUUUAGAAUUUUAGUUGGGCUUUGGGCCAAAGGCCUACUAGCAAAAUUCCAACAAUCCCCCACAAAGUCUCAUUGGCACAUCUCAUCAUUUAGUUCCAAAACAUUGUUUAUAUACCGGUGCUUAGUGGAGACUGUGAAGUUGAACUUCCACUUAGAGAUUUUUGCUACACUAGAUCACAACUUGAAGUGGACUAUGCCUUGAACUACAAGUUUUCUGCGAGACUAGUUUCACACAAAUUCUUGACCGAUACUGGGCUGUCGCAAGGCUUCCCCGCGGGUGAAGCGUAUACGUCAUACUCCAAGGCCUUUUCAUGAAUUUAUUAGAGAACACCCAAUUAUCACAGACUGCGAUGUUAACGGUCAAAUUCAUAUAGGUGUGUUCCUCAGAAGAUGGCAUGUAGGACAACAUCUCUGCUUACCCGAAUAAGCCACUUGGAAUACAUUAAGAUAAGUAUCGACCUGCCAUGCAGAUCAGGAGACUAUUGCAUCUUCAUGGAGUGGGAUAGGUAAUAUAGGGAUACUCUCCUCCCAGCUGACCAACAGCUUGUCUCCCACUUCUACUUCACGGGAUCUCCGAUCACAUAGAGUGGGUUACCACUAUGGACAACUCAUGCGGUGGGUCUCAGACCCAUCUCCAUCGAUGCAUUAUCUAUCACAUUACGUGAUAGAGCCUUUGUGAAGGGAUCUGUCAAAUUUUUCGACGUUUGGAUAUAAUCCGACGUAAUAACUCCAAAUAGCUAUUUGUUAUUUUUGCCAUGAUUAAUGUGUGCAUGAUAUGCCCCUGAGCUCUACAUGUGUUUUGUUAUAUGCCAUGCCAUCUUUCCAGAGGUGCAACCCAUGUAUUUUUGUGAUGUGUGUGGUGACUAGCACAAGCUUGCAAAGUGGCGCAUUCGUUAAUGCUGAUUUCAGGGACUUAGCAAUUCCACUAAGUCCUUGAUCUGUUUUAUCAAUAUGCCAUAUGUUCAUGUUGUUUCCUAGUGAUUCGUGCCUCUUUUGAGGAUGAGCAGUAAGGAUGAUUUGUUUAUCUUGUAGUUCUAUAUCCAUGCAUGUGUUUGUUUGCAAUUAUGGAGCAACCUAGCUUGAGUCAAUCGAGCUCUACUUUUGCUAUUUCAUAAUUCCUGGCAGAUUGUCUACUUGUUAGCGAUUUUGCCGAGGAUGUUGUUGUUGAUCCGUGCAUGCUAUGUUGUUGUUCUUGCCAUGUCUAGCUUGUAUAAUGUGUAUUCUUGAUGGGUGUGCACUUAGUUUGUCAUGACUUGCUCUGUAGUGAGUGCAUCGAGCUCGUAAACAUGCCUACUCGCUAUCUGAUUUGCAUUUUCCAUUUUUUCACUAAGUCUCUAAUCUGAUUAUGUUUUUGCCAUGUUCACAUGCCUGCAAUUGUAUUUUGUGAUCCCUUUUGGCUCAGGGUCACUAAGGGACUUUUGUUAAGCUCUUUGAGUAGCUCCAUGCCAUGCCUUGCUUUGCGAUGUUAAGUUCCUGUAGCAUAUAGUUUUCAUGCUUCAAAGUGUGCUACCUCAUCUAAAGUUCCAUGCUUGUGUUAAUUUUCACCAAGUCUGAAAUCUGUUUACCAAUUGCACUUUUGCCAUGCUUGUUUGAACCUGUUAAUGGAUGAAUUGGACGUAGCUCAGUGUUCAUCUUUUGUCAAGCAUCAUGAGUGGAUCCCUGCCAUGUAUUUUGUUGCCAUGUUUGAGUGUCGUAGCAUGUUCAUCUUGUUGCAUUUAGAUGGAUAUUCACUGUUUACCGCAGACCGGUGCCAUAUUUGUUUUGCUUGCCAUUUCCAGACCGUGCAUCCGAUUUCGGCGAUCUUUAUAUCGAUUUCAGCCGAAGUCACCUCACCUUUCCAAUGGCACACUUGGAUUUCCAAGUUGAGGCCAGGUUCAAUCAUUCCUUUGCAAAUCAUGCAUAUGCAUCGCAUCCCGCAUCCCGCAUAUCAUACCAUGUUUAUGCGUGGUUUGUUUACUAUGUUGUGUGUUUCUUUCCGGUGUUUGCUUCUUCGGGUUGGUUCCAGUAAGGUCGCGUUUGUGAGGACCCGUUCGUCUAUGUCCGUUUGUCUUCUUCAUGGACUCGUUCUUCUUCCUUGCGGGAUUUCAGUCAAGAUGACCAUACCCUCGAAAUCACUUCUAUCUUUGCUUGCUAGAUGCUCGCUCUUUUGCUAUGCCUAUGCUGCGAUACCUACCACUUGCUUAUCAUGCCUCCUAUAUUGUUGAACCAAGCCUCUAACCCACCUUGUCCUAGCAAACCGUUGUUUGGCUAUGUCACCGCUUUCCUCAGCCCCUCUUAUAGCGUUGUUAGUUGCAGGUGAAGAUUGAAGUUUGUUCCUUGUUGGAGCAUGGAGAUGUUGUUCCUUGUUGGACCAUGUUUACUUGUUGGGAUAUCGCAAUAUCUCUUAUUUAAUUAAUGCAUCUAUAUACUUGGUAAAGGGUGGAAGGCUCGGCCUUAUGCCUGGUGUUUUGUUCUACUCUUGCCGCCCUAGUUUCCGUCAUAUCGGUGUUAUGUUCCCGGAUUUUGCGUUCCUUACGCGAUUGGGUAAAAUGGGAACCCCUUGACAGUUCGCCUUGAAUAAAACUCUUCCAGCAAUGCCCAACAUUGGUUUUACCAUUCGCCACCUAGACUUUUCUUUUCCAUUGGGGGUCGCGCGCCCAAGGGUCAUCAUUAUUUUAAACCCCCGGGCCAGUGCUCCUCUGAGUGUUGGUCCACCUCGUCAGCCGCCGGUAACCACCAGGGGCAACUCUGGGCUGGCCUACCAGAAGUUUAGACAAUCCGGUGGGCCCUGAGAAAGAGAUAUGUGUAGCUCCUAUCGGGAUUUGUUGGCACAUUCGGGCGGUGUUGCUGGUUUAGUUUUACCUUGUCGAAAUGUCUUGUAACCGGGAUUCCGAGUCUGAUCGGGUCUUCCCGCUAGAAGGAAUAUCCUUCAUUGACCGUGAGAGCUUGUGAUGGGCUAAGUUGGGACACCCCUGCUGGGAUUUGAACUUUCGAAAGCCGUGCCCGCGGUUAUGGGCAGAUGGGAAUUUGUUAACGUCCGGUUGUAGAUAACCUGAAGUGGAACUUAUUUAAAAUACAUCAACCGCGUGUGUAACCGUGAUGGUCUCUUUCCGGCGGAGUCUGGGAAGUGAACACGGUGUUGGAGUUAUGCUUGACGUAGGUUGUUAUAGGAUCACUUCUUGAUCAUAGUUCUUCGUUCGUGCUUUGCCUUCUCUUCUCGCUCUCUUUUGCGAACAGGUUAGCCAUCAUAUAUGCUAGUCGCUUGCUGCAGCUCCACCUCAUACCUUUACCUUACCCAUAAGCUUAAAUAGUAUUGAUCGCGUGGGUGUGAGAUUUCUGAGUCCCCGUGACUCACAGAUACUUCCAAAACCAGCUUGCAGGUGCCAUUGAACCAUGCCGAUGACGCAACCAAGCUCAGGAGGAGCUCGAUGAAGAUCUUGUCCUUUGUGUUGUUUCGUUCUAAUUGAUCAGUAGUGGAGCCCAGUUGGGGUCGAUCGGGGACCUUGUCGCAUUUCGGGCUCUUCUUUUAUUUUGGCUCCGUAGUCGAACCUUGAUUGUAACUGGUUGAUGUAAUGCUUUAUUCAUGUAAUUGUGUGAAGUGGCGAUUGUAAGCCAACUAUGUAUCUUUUCCCUUAUGUAUUACAUGGGUUGUGCAAAGAUUAACUCACUUGCGACAUUGCUUUCAAUGCGGUUAUGCCUCUAAGUCGUGCUUCGACACGUGGGAGAUAUAGCCGCAUCGAGGGCGUUACAAGUUGGUAAUCAGAGCCUUCCCCGACCUUAGGAGCCCCCACUGCUUGAUCGUUAUUAGCAGCCGUUGUUGAGUCUAGAAAAAUGUUUUGAGUCAUUUAGGAAUUAUAUAUCGGAGAGUUUAGGAAUUCUUUUUACUCCCCAGUCCCUUCAUCGCUCUGGUAAGGCAUCCUGACGUAGAGUUUUGACUCUUCUCUUCUCAAAUUUCACUAAAAAAAGUUAGGAUCACGCGGGUAUCUUGGAAUCGUUCCGAUCGAUUUGUGACGAGAACAUUGUUCUUGGUGCCUCCUGGCAUUUACGGGUUGUGGCAGUGUCCCGGGGAGUUGAGCUCCGAGGUGUUGUCGUCACAAUUUUAUUGUUGCAGUUCUGGAAUACCUGAGUUUAGUACGCCGACAUCGAAAAUCUCUUUUAUGCAGUUGUUGGUGAGAUAACCUCGACGCCACCCAGUACUGGGGCGGGAGUUCGGGAGUAUUGCCAUAACUCGUAUAACGGAUGCUUUUCGAAGGUUGAGGUAGAUGAUUUUCGAAGGUUUCUUGGUUAUGUGUUGAAGGAUGGAUACAGCUGGAUGUAGGAUUUGCUAGUUUUGGGUGAGAUAUUAUGCUUCCCCUGUAUACCCAACACCUGAUUGCAUAACCGGGAAAAUUUCAGGAGUUUAUAAGUGGGAAUUCAAGUAGCUCGUAGGAUAUCUUUCCCACAGAUGUAUGAUAUGAAAUUGGGGUUCGAUGUCUAGUGGUCCGCCUAUUCACGGUUGGUUUUACAGUGGUCUCGUUGUGUCUUAAAGAGUCCUUGGCUAUGCAGACUCGGGGAUGCUUCGUAUGUCAUGUGCACUGCCUUGUACAUGAUGGUGCUGUACAAUCGAGCCCGUGUAGGCCCCACCACGAAAACUUCGGACGAAAUAUCUAUCAUAUGUUUGUUCCGGCUUAUUUUGCAAGCCAAUCCUUUGUUUUUUUUUGAGUUGUGGUAUUCGAGUUGCUUCGAAGUCAAAUGUUGAUUCCAUACCUUCUUUAAACGGUGUUCUCAUCUUCCGGUGUGAAUACAAAUUCUUCAUGAUAAUCAAGAUUGUCUUGCCAAUCCUUUCAAUCGGUGUGCUUCUCUUCAAGCGGAUCCGUCCAUUUUAAACAUCCACAAGAUUCAAUCUAAGCUCUCUCAACGUUGUUUGUUUCAUCCGUCUCCAAGUUGUCUUUGUUUUCCCACCCUCCCACCCUUGUUUCUUCAAGGACUCAGAUUUCUUAAUCAAGUAUCUUUUUAUUCAUGUGAAGUAUCUCCAUUCUUUUCCUUCAUGUUCUUACCCGGUGAUUAUCAAGAAGAUUCUAACGGAGCUUCAAAUUCGUCACUCGUCACUCUUCUUCUUCUUCGGUGGGUUCAAAUCAAGCUUUGGUGUUGAUCAUAUCAUUUUUCCUCGUUUCAAAUACCUUCUCAUGCCGGUGCACCUCAUAUUCAUUCACUUCUCGCUAUUUAAUUGUUCCGGAGUGCUCAAGAUAUCCCGAAGAUUCAUGUUUUCCACUCUGCAUGCAUUCAAAAUCUUUCGAGGAUGUUCUCUCAUUCUAGACAUUUAAUUCAACCGGUGCAUUCUCCCUUUUAAAUUAUUCUAUAGUGUUUCUUUUGAGUGGGCCCUAACCCACAGGUCUUUUUCCAGGAUCUUACCUGACUCUUCUAAUUUCCGGAGUUAUUCUCAUAUUCAUCUCAAAGUUUGACGUAAGAAUGAUUUAUCAUCAGUCAAAUGCCCUUCUCCAAGAUCGGUUAAAUUCUUUUCAUCGUUGGCUCAACCUUUUCUAUUCUUCAUUCCGGAGUGUCUAAACAAUUCUUGGUGGUGUUUCCUGUCGUAAUUCUCAGAUUUUGAAGGCAGAAGAAGAUUUUCCCUCCAAAUCAUAUCCGUUCUCUCAAGAUUCAUGGUUCUAGCCUUUUGCCAUCCUCUCAUAAUUAUUUUCGAUUGGGAGAAUCUUUUUCACCCAUCAGGAGAUAUUCAAGGGUAUUUUCAGUUCGAUUAUCCGGAGCCCAUCAUUUCAGAAGACUUGUUCACUCUCAGCUUUCAGCUCUCGUUCCCCAUAUCUCACCGGUGCAUCAUUCAAGUAUUCUCUAAUCGGUUCGUGAUCUCUUCGUUCACUUUUAUCUAAAUCCUCUCAAGUAUCUUCAUUCUUCUUAUAAUUCUUCCCGGUGAUUCAUUCCUUUAUUUCAUUCGUUUUUCAAUUCUUACGGUGGUUCGUGCAAGAUUCCUCUUCUUUCGUUAUCAUAUCAAUUCAUUCGCUGUUUCGAUUCCACCAGUGUUGCGUUGAAGACCUUCCCAAGUUGACGCUAUAUCUAUCUUAAUCCUUUUCUACGAGAAUAAGUAAUAUGCCAAAUCCGUUGAUUGCCAUCAAUUUAAUUGGUGAAGGAUAAGCAUAACAUAAUUCUUAUUCUUGUUCAUUCAAGUGAUUAAUUCUUUAUUCCGGAGGCCCUUCAAAUUCUUGUUCUCAUUUGUUUCAUCUUCUCUUUUUCACAGAGUUCCAACCUCUUUCAAUUAUAUUAUCACGGAGAUCUCUAUCUAAAUCAUUGCGAGGCUUCAAUCUUGUUCUUUUCAUCAUUCAAUUAUUUUGGAUCAUUCUUUUAUUACCGGAGUUCUUCAUGAAGGUUCUACAUGAUGGAUUCACCAAGGAUUUAAUUCCUUCUCAAAGUGUUCAUUGACAUUCUUUGCUAAGAAGCUCAAGUUUUUCUUCAUCUUGCUAUCCGAAGUGCAAUUCUUUCUUCCGAAUCAUUGGAGGUGGUAUUAUGUCAUUCUUGAUAACUUCAGUUCAUGUUUCAUGAUUCACUUGUUGUUAAGAAUGAGGUAUUUUAAGUCCACCAAUCUCUUCGUUGGAGUUAUCUUGUGUCAUGCUUCACCUAUAGCCUUCCCUAAGGAUUGUUGCUAAUUUUGGUGCUCAUAAAUGAUCCAAGUUCUUCAUUUAUCCUCCCGGUGAUAUAAGUUUCUCGUCUCCUUGUUCAUACCAAUCCAAUUCUUCUUCCCGUGAGUGGGGAGGUUGUCACCUCAUAAUUCUGAGAUGUAUUCCAUAAGACCAUAUCAAGAUUAUUCUUUCCGUUGUUGGUUUUCCAACAACUCCGUUCUAGCAUUUGUCGUAAGCGCGUUCUACCAAGAUCUUGUUUUUCUCCUCCGUUCAUUCCAUUCCAUCCUCUCAUUUCUUCCGGAGGCUUUGUGAUGUUGCUCUCUUCAAACCAUCUUCUUGCUUUGUCAAGAUCAUUUUCUUUCUUUUGCUCAUCCAUUUAACCAGAGUGUUGUGUCCUCUAGUCAAGUUCUUUUCGCCUUAUCAAGACUUGCAUCUCUUUUCAACCGGAGUGCUGUCUGACACCUUUCUUACCCCUUGUUCCAUUCAUUCAAUAGUUCCGGAGGCAGUGUGUCGUGUUUUCAUUCAAGUAUCUUCUCAUCUUAUCAAGUUCUUCUUCAAUUCUUUUUCUUCUCAACUGGAGUGCUGCCCGAAGAUGUUUCUUCCUUGUUCGUUUUUCCUAACGGAGUGUUUUCCACUUUGUUCAUCUCCGUUGUAUUAUUCUUUUCAACUUGUUCAACCUAUGAAGGCUUGUGGUUUCACUCGUUUGUCAAAGAAGCAACUUAGUUUUACCUCUUCUCUUUUCUCUUCCGUUUUCCCUCCGGUGCCAUUCUAGAUCUCGGGACGAGAUCCUCUCGUAGUGGUGGAGUGUUGUAACGCCCCGAGACCCAUGCGCCAGGUGUCCUCCAGUUAUCCACUGUUGUUGCUUUGUCAUUGCUUGCGUGUCAUGCAUUGCAUAUCAUGUCAUCAUGUGCAUUUCAUUUGCAUACAUGUUCGUCUCAUGCAUCCGAGCAUUUUCCCCGUUGUCCGUUUUGCAAUCCGGCGCUCCUAUGUCACCCGGUGUCCCUUUCUACUUCUUUUCGUGUGUGGGUAUUAAACAUUUCCUGAUAGGACCGAGACUUGCCAAGCAGCCUUGGUUUACUACCGGUAGACCGCCUGUCAAGUUUCGUACCAUUUGGACUUCGUUUGAUGCUCCAACGGUUAACCGAGGGACCGAGAAGGCCUCGUGUGUGUUGCAGCCCAACACCCUUCCAAUUUGGCCCAAAACCCACCAUAACCCUCUCCAUCAUCUAGAUCGUUCGAUCACGAUCGUGUGGCCGAAAACCGCACCUCAUUUGGACUCUCCUAGCUCCCUCUACCUAUAUAUAUGUGCUCCCCUCCCGAAAUUCGCGGAUGAACCCUAACUUCGUCCUCUCCGCGCCGCCGGACACUUCUCCACCGCGCCGGACAUGUCCGCGCCGCCGUCCCCGACGAAUCCGCCGCCGCCACGUCGCCAUUUCCCUUCUCCUACCGCGCCGGCCACCCGGGGCCCAGAUCCGGCCCGCCCCGGGGCCGACCAGGGCUGCGCCGGGCCCGUCUCGUCGCGCGCCNNNNNNNNNNNNNNNNNNNNNNNNNNNNNNNNNNNNNNNNNNNNNNNNNNNNNNNNNNNNNNNNNNNNNNNNNNNNNNNNNNNNNNNNNNNNNNNNNNNNNNNNNNNNNNNNNNNNNNNNNNNNNNNNNNNNNNNNNNNNNNNNNNNNNNNNNNNNNNNNNNNNNNNNNNNNNNNNNNNNNNNNNNNNNNNNNNNNNNNNNNNNNNNNNNNNNNNNNNNNNNNNNNNNNNNNNNNNNNNNNNNNNNNNNNNNNNNNNNNNNNNNNNNNNNNNNNNNNNNNNNNNNNNNNNNNNNNNNNNNNNNNNNNNNNNNNNNNNNNNNNNNNNNNNNNNNNNNNNNNNNNNNNNNNNNNNNNNNNNNNNNNNNNNNNNNNNNNNNNNNNNNNNNNNNNNNNNNNNNNNNNNNNNNNNNNNNNNNNNNNCCUCGCCGCCGCACCCGGCUGCCCGCGCCGCCCUUCGCCGGCUACCCGUGCCGCUUCUCGCCGGCGUCCAUCUCCGGUACCGCCCCGACCUCGCCGGAGUUCUUUCCCCACCGGAUCCGGACGGGUGGGAUGAGAUCCACCCGUCCCACGAACCAAACAGCCCCUCCCGAUCCGGAUCUCGCCAUCCCGCUUCGUCCGGUCCCGUUGACUUUCUCGGAGUGGUAAUUUCUCUAAGUCCCCGAAUUCCCGAUUCAAAUGCCCUUGUUCAUCAAGCUAUAUCUCCGCAUCCGUAGCUCCGUUUUGGACGUGUAGCAUGUCAAAAUGUUCGCCUCAGAGAGCACAUCAUUUCAUCUCAUUGCAUCAUUUUCAUUUGAGUUCAUCUUCAUGCCCGAAAUGCUGUUGGAAGAGUGCUAUUUGAGUUAGCUGUCAGAUCUGCUGCUCCAAAUAGCUAUUUGUCAUUUUUGCCAUGAUUAAUGUGUGCAUGAUAUGCCCCUGAGCUCUACAUGUUUUUUGUUAUAUGCCAUGCCAUCUUUCCAGAGGUGCAACCCAUGUAUUUUUGUGAUGUGUGUGGUGACUAGCACAAGCUUGCAAAGUGGCGCAUUCGUUAAUGCUGAUUUCAGGGACUUGGCAAUUCCACCAAGUCCUUGAUCUAUUUUAUCAAUAUGCCAUAUGUUCAUGUUGUUUCCUAGUGAUCCGUGCCUCUUUUGAGGAUGAUCAGUAAGGAUGAUGUGUUUAUCUUGUAGUGCUAUAUCCAUCCAUGUCUUUGUUUGCAAUUAUGGAGCACCCUAGCUAUAUUCAAUCGAGCUCUACUUUUGCUAUUUCAUAAUUCCUGGCAGAUUGUCUACUUGUUAGCGAUUUUGCCGAGGAUGUUGUUGUUGAUCUGUGCAUGCUAUGUUGUUGUUCUUGCCAUGGCUAGCUUGUAUAAUGUGUAUUCUUGAUGGGUGUGCACUUAGUUUGUCAUGACUUCCUCUGUAGUGAGUGCAUCGAGCUCAUAAACAUGCCUACUCGCUAUCUGAUUUGCAUGUUCCAGUUUUUCACAAAGUCUGUAAUCUGAUUAUGUUUUUGCCAUGUUCAAGUGCCUGCAAUUGUAUUUUGUGAUCCCUUUUGGCUCAAGGUCACUAAGGGACUUUUGUUAAGCUCUUUGAGUAGCUCCAUGCCAUGCCUUGCUUUGCCAUGUUAAGUUCCUGUAGCAUAUAGUUUUCAUGCUUCAAAGUGUGCUACCUGAUCUGAAAUUCCAGGCUUGUGUUAAUUUUCACUAAGUCUGAAUCUGUUUACCAAUUGCACUUUUGCCAUGCUUGUUUGAACCUGUUAAUGGAUGAAUUGGUCGUAGCUCAGUGUUCAUAUUUUGUAAAGCAUCAUGAGUGGAUCCCUGCCAUGUAUUUUGUUGCCAUGUUUGAGUGAUGUAGCAUGUUCAUCUUGUUGCAUUUAGAUGGUUAUUCGCUGUUUAUCGCAGACCGGUGUCAUAUUUGUUUUGCUUGCCAUUUCCAAACCGUGCAUCCGAUUCCGGCGAUCUUUAUAUCGAUUUCAACCAAAGUCACCUCACAUUUCCAGUGGCACACUUGGAUUUCCAAGUUGAGGCCAGGUUCAAUCAUUCCUUUGCAAAUCAUGCAUAUGCACCGCAUCCCGCAUCCCGCAUAUCAUACCAUGUUCAUGCGUGGUUUGUUUACUAUGUUGUGUGUUUCUUUCCGGUGUUUGCUUCUUCGGGUUGGUUCCGGUAACGUCGCGUUUGUGAGGACCCGUUCGUCUAUGUCCGUUUGUCUUCUUCAUGGACUCGUUCUUCUUCCUUGCGGGAUUUCAGGCAAGAUAACCAUACCCUCGAAAUCACUUCUAUCUUUGCUUGCUAGAUGCUCGCUCUUUUGCUAUGCCUAUGCUGCGAUACCUACCACUUGCUUAUCAUGCCUCCUAUAUUGUUGAACCAAACCUCUAACCCACCUUGUCCUAGAAAACCGUUGUUUGGCUAUGUCACUGCUUUGCUCAGCCCCUCUUAUAGCGUUGUUAGUUGCAGGUGAAGAUUGAAGUUUGUUCCUUGUUGGAACAUGGAGAUGUUGUUCCUUGUUGGAACAUGUUUAGUUGUUGGGAUAUCACAAUAUCUCUUAUUUAAUUAAUGCAUCUAUAUACUUGGUAAAGGGUGGAAGGCUCGGCCUUAUGCCUGGUGUUUUGUUCCACUCUUGCCGCCCUAGUUUCCGUCAUAUCGGCGUUAUGUUCCCGGAUUUUGCGUUCCUUAUGCGGUUGGGUAAUAAUGGGAACCCCUUGAUAGUUCGCCUUGAAUAAAACUCUUCCAGCAAUGCCCAACAUUGGUUUUACCAUUCGCCACCAAGCCUUUUCUUUUCCCUUGGGGGUCACGCGCCCAAGGGUCAUCAUUAUGUUAAACCCCCAGGCCAGUGCUCCUCUGAGUGUUGGUCCACCUCGUCACCCGCCGGUGACCACCAGGGGCAACUCUGGGCUGGCCUACCGGAAGUUUAGACAAUCCGGUGUGCCCUGAGAAAGAGAUAUGUGCAGCUCCUAUCGGGAUUUGUCGGCACAUUCGGGCAGUGUUGCUGGUUUAGUUUUACCUUGUCGAAAUGUCUUGUAACCGGGAUUCGGAGUCUGAUCGGGUCUUCCCGCUAGAAGGAAUAUCCUUCGUUGACCGUGAGAGCUUGUGAUGGGCUAAGUUGGGACACCCCUGCUGGGAUUUGAACUUUCGAAAGCCGUGCCCGCGGUUAUGGGCAGAUGGGAAUUUGUUAACGUCCGGUUGUAGAUAACCUGAAGUUGACCUUAUUUAAAAUACAUCAACCACGUGUGUAACCAUGAUGGUCUCUUUCCGGCGGAGUCCGGGAAGUGAAAACGGUGUUGGAUUUAUGCUUGACGUAGGUUGUUAUAGGAUCACUUCUUGAUCAUAGUUCUUCGUUCGUGCUUUGCCUUCUCUUCUCGCUCUCUUUUGCGAAUAGGUUAGCCACCAUAUAUGCUAGUCGCUUGCUGCAGCUCCACCUCAUACCUUUACCUUACCCAUAAGCUUAAAUAGUCUUGAUCGCGAGGGUGUGAGAUUGCUGAGUCCCCGUGACUCACAGAUACUUCCAAAACCAGCUUGCAGGUGCCGUUGAACCAUGCCGAUGACGCAACCAAGCUCAGGAGGAGCUCGAUGAAGAUCUUGUCCUUUGUGUUGUUUCGUUCUAAUUGAUUAGUAGUGGAGCCCAGUUGGGGUCGAUCAGGGACCUUGUCGCAUUUGGGGCUCUUCUUUUAUUUUGGCUCCGUAGUCGGGCCUUGAUUGUAACUGGUUGAUGUAAUGCUUUAUUCAUGUAAUUGUGUGAAGUGGCGAUUGUAAGCCAACUAUGUAUCUUUUCCCUUAUGUAUUACAUGGGUUGUGUGAAGAUUACCUCACUUGCGACAUUGCUUUCAAUGCGGUUAUGCCUCUAAGUCGUGCUUCGACACGUGGGAGAUAUGGCCGCAUCGAGGGCAUUACAAAAGGUUUGGAAAAAAACAUGCUCCUAAUGUUGAACCAGUUGGACUUUUUGUGCAGUUCCACUAAAAUCGAGCAUCCCUGUUUGCAUAGAUAUUGAAAGUGUGAUUACUCUAAAAGUGGCACUAGUUGAAGCAUAGACUCAAAAAUAUCAGCAUUCCAAAUUCUUAAUGGGAAAAGGUAGCAAGACUGUUUCUAACCACCUGUUUGAAGGAAUAAAUAAAGCAACAAUGGCUGAUGUCAGGAAGGUAUACAUAGUUUUUUCUGAAAAACGGAGCCAUUCCUGACCUUUCCUCUUCUUUUAAGCAAAUUUUGUGCAGUUCUACUAAAAUAAAAUGCCAUAACCACCUUGACAAUUCAGUGACACUGUACAAAAGGAAAUGACUUAACAUUACAUCAUGAUGUCUGGUAUGUAGUCGACAGGCAUUAGAGACAAACAUAUAGACCUCCUCCGAUAACAUAAUGAACAUUAAUUUUAACAAAGGUGUGACUAGCUUUACCAGGAUAAUUUGAGUGAACUCUACACCCUUUGUUCCUUAAUAUAAGACGUUUUCGCGGUUCAAUUUAAAGUACCCAAACGUCUAGUAUUUAGAAAAAUAGGUAGUAGUUUUCUUGAGCACAUAUCUGGGAAAGCUUGCCACACUUUAUUUAUGUCCAUAAGCUAAUGCAACACCAUUCGAAUACUACAAAUAUACACUAAUCCAGUGGCUAGUGCAACAGUAGAGUAGUUAGUUUAUUACAGGGUAUAGUACAAUGGUUUUACUAAACAAAUUUCAAUAAACUCUAGCACUAGAAGGUUCCUAUAAGAAUUAACAAUACAAAAUGUCAAGGUAACAAGUUUCAGCAUUGGUAUACUAGCUGUGCAUGAGCAUUAAACCAAAUACAAAAGUCUGAAGUUAACUAGCAUUAUUAACUAAUGACAGUAUAAAAAAAUUGCAAACCAUGUACCUCCAAGGUAAAUAUCAUUUCGAACUUGGGGGACCUUAAAAAUUGCUAUCCCAAUCUUGAUAAUCGAUUAAACAUAAAAACUUGAUUGAAUGAAUCAAGAGAACAGCCGGAGGAGGAGGUGCCCACUCUUGACCUUUCCUCUUGUCUUCAUAAUUGUCUGUGCAGUUUAACCAAAAUAAAAUGACAUCAGCGCCUUGGCAUUUUGGUGACACUGUACAAAAAAUUAACUUAUCUCAUGAAAGUGAGGUAUGUAAUCUAUAAGCAUUAACAGUGCAAAAAUUUGAAGGUAGUAACAAGUUUCAUCGUUGGUAUACUAGCUGUGCAACAGCAUUAGAAUGCCUUAGCUGAAAAAUCUUUAAUACAUCCACAAUCAACAGCUAACCCUGAAAUAAUCUAGUGACAUUAAAUGGCAUUGCUUAAAUUUAUCGGUGGCAUUAGACUGAGAGCGGCAUUAGUUAAAUGUGGCAUCACUUUAGCAGUAGCAUUGCUUGACUUGACUGCUGGCGUUAUACUAACAGCAAAAAAGUGGCAAUAAGAGCAUGGGAGGCCCAUUCGGACAGUGGGCGCACCAGUACGAUGUACCUCCAUGGACGCAGAGUGGUGAGGGAGGUAUGGUUUCCCAGAGCAACAAAUAUCCAGGCAGCAUAUGUGGAUUACGUCCCAUUUUUGUUCUCUUUAGCCACCUUUUUCCUAUGCGAGGACAACAAACCAAUCGACUUGGUCAUUCUCUAUUGCGUUGUCAUGCCUUUCUACCCUUCUUCAACAAAGAGACACGAGACUCGUUCCUUAGCUACUAAUUUUCACCUUUUCAACCUAGAUGCGGGUUUGAUGCCUACUCUCUUGGACAGUACAUUCUCCCUUCCUUUCCUUAUUCAACCCAGACAUGGAUUAGUCUGCAUGAAGUAGGGUUUCAUUUAAUAGUGCAAAUUAUGGUUUUUGUCUGCGUGCCUAGCAGAGGAGAGGAUAGCAAAUUGGGAAGAUGGUGGAGUGGAAAAAGAUCCACAUGCAACGACGUGGCAGAUGGGGCAAUAGAACAAGGUUAUGGUUCGAAUAGAGGUAGCAUACCUGAGGGUCGGUGGGAAGUGGCUUCGCUCGUGGUCGUCGUCCUUCGCACACACUACGGCAGCAAGCUUGGGGACGGAUGCCAUCCUGCCCGGGCGCUAGGUCUGAGAGGACGGCCUUGUCGUCAGUGCGUGACCUUGCUCGCCGACGAUGAGUGCGUCAACGCUGCACGUCCUUUUCUUCCCCGGCGGAUCUGUGACCACCGGUGAGGAGGGAGAGAGGGGCCGUCUUUUUUAGAUCUGAAGAGAGUGUGGUAGUGUGAGAAGCAAGUGGGCAGCCCUUAGCAAGAAAGCGCCGAAGCUCCAGCCUAUAUAUCUUUUUUAUACUACUAGUACUGGAGGUGGAGUAGUGGUAGAGUAGUUUAUAUUUUCUCUGCGUAUAGUACCAGUUAGUAGUGCUUCACGCCAUUAAAAAAAUAAAGGUCGAUAACUAAUGUGGCACCUCGGGCCAAUGCUGCCAGAUCGCAUUUUGCACGAGAAAUUACACACCAUGUUUUGUUGACAUGUGGUCUCGUUCCAACAUAUCAGUGAGACGACGGCGAGUAGUAGGAGUAUUUCCGAAUGGACGUGUAGGCCGGGGCGCCUCUUGGUGAACUGUGGCAAACUCGCAACCGUCCACCGACUCUUUGCCUUUCCCUCUCGAUUUAGAACUGCGGUCGCAUGCUCUUCCUCUCCCUCCUCCAUUUUCCUUCAGCCCUUCACCAUUUCUUCUGCCAUUGUUCGAUCGUCUUCUCCAUGGAAGAAACAGGCCGGAAACGACCCCGUUAUUCUUGCCCCGAUCUGAAAGAUGACGUGGUGGAGGAACUCAUUGAUCGGUGCGACGUCAUCACCUCGGCUAGCAUGGCAGGUUCGUUCAAGCCCAUUCUCGACUCAACUAAUAACAUCAUUACAAGGAACCCAAGAGUCAAGGAGCGGUUUGAUCUCCCCUAUCUUCUUCGCCGUGACCCUGAUGACUGGAGACGGCACGACGGAGGCCUCGCCCUGUGCAAGUUGAUGCCGCUUGAUAAUGAUACGUAUGAUGUUAAGAUGCCAUCGCUUGAGGGCAAGGCUUGGGCGGGUGCAAAUGGAGAUUGGUUUGUUUACAUUGGGUCCAACUGCGAGUGGGAACUUGUGAAUGUGUACACUAGUGACCGGGUUCCACUUCCAAAAAUCUCAGCAGACUGCCCAGAGGUUGAGCACACCGGUAUUGUACGCACGUUCAAAUACGAUCAUGGUGACUGUCUUCUAUGGAAGAUAGAAAUUUGUUGAGUUCCCAACCGCUCUUGGAAUCACAACAACUAUGAAGUUGUUGCUAUCUUCGACAAGCUUGUUGCCGUCCUUGGUGGUUUGACUCGAUGGAUAUUGCUCAAAAAUCAUUUUCUGUACACGGAUGAGUACUGUGAUGCAAUUCAAUACGAGGGCCUUGUGUUUGCUGCCACCACUCGUGGCACUGUUUUUCCAUGGGAUCCUCAUAGUUUCGGUACGUUUGUCUUCCACCGUAAUUAUAAUUGUUUCAUCCACAUGCAUGUGGGUUAGCAAGUUUCCCUUUACUAAUUAACCUUCUUCUUGUGUUUCCAAGGUCCUGUUAACAUCCCACCACCUAUACUUGAAAAAAAUUAUAACCAAGGGGGAGAUGAUGAUGGUGAUGAUCACGAGCAUGAGGACGAGCAGUGCCCAUAUACUCUGUGGCGCCUGGCAACUAAUUCCAAUGGAUCACCUCUUCUUGUGUGUAUACAACCCACUUAUGAUGUUACUGCUAAGGAAGAAGGUGUAGUCUCCCAUGGUCGCACUCUCCGGACCUAUUCCAACACCCGUUGCAUGGUAUUCGGGAUGAAUACUAGUGUGCUAGCGCCAACUCCUUCUCCCUGGUACAGAAUUGAUAGUCUUGGAGAAAACUCGCUCUUCCUUGGACAAAACUAUCCGAUGAUGGUGAAAGGCGAUCCAACUGCUAUUGACACAACGUUACUAGUACCAUUUAUGAGAAGCAACUGUGUCUAUACCUCGGACAUUUGGGUGGUUCCCUACCCUGGUACUGAUAUAGUAGGCCGCUUCAGCCUUGAUGAUCAGUCUUGCGUUGGUCUCCAGAUCGACAAUGGAUGGCCCGUCCCAGAGAAUCACUUGUGGUUCAAAGCAAGCGUUUCCAACGCGGAGGAAUGGUUGAGUUUAAGUUGAUUUCAUUGCUUAUUAUUUGUUGUGUGGUGAAAACUUUAGUAUUUAUAAUGUAUCCUCGUUGUCGAUGUGGGUUGAUGACCUGUUGUAUGUAAUAAAAUGAUAUGUCUAUGAUAAACUUACUAAAUUUAUGAAUGGCUUUCGAGUUGCUUCUCUGAGUGAGUGGUGCGACGAGGCAAAAACAUAUUUUCCGAAUACAUAAUUGUACGUGCAUUGCAACAGGUUAUCGGAUGAGGCCAAUCAACAAUAGUAGUACACUAUUUGUACUAGCUUCACAUGCUUCGCGUGUCGGGCGAGUAUUUUUACUGUAGCCAUAUGUUAAUGUGUUCGUUGUACGUAACCAGCACCUCGAAUCCUCGAUACUAGUACUAUAUAUUAGGAGUAAAUGGUAAGAGUAGUAGGGUGGCAUGGGCCAGAACAAGCAUUCACGUCCAGGAGUACGACACACGCCACCACCACGACAUCCAUCUGACACCAUAUUAUUUCUCAGAGUCCGUGCUAGAGCAAUCUCUUCAACCUCGUCGCUUCUCUAACUUCAGCCAUCACGUGGCGGGCGAGGCGGGGGUUUGUCGAUAGUUACUUUCCUUAACUGCGGUCCCACUUGUAAGGCCAACUCCAACGCAUGACCCCAAACAGACCUCCGUUUUGCACGAAGUCCAACGAUAAUUUUGACUAGAAAAGCAAGACCAAAGAAAACAAGAACCACAAGAAUACAUUUUACUACUCCUGUAAGUUGGAUUAGUGCCUUCUCGAUGCAUUCAUUGUUGAUCAGCGGAGGCUCGAUCUUGCGUGCUUCUUUCUUCUUCGAGUGUAAAGAAGUAGACGUUGCUUCCUCGCAUCUAGUCUCAUGUCUAGCCUCUAUUCUAGUAGGAGUAUCAACAAGUGCACUAAUCUCAUCUCUAGCCUCUAUGCUAGCUAAAAGUGAUAGAACAUCUACUAAAUUGCACUCUAUCAAUAUAUGGAUGUACUCUUCUUCCCAAUACAAAAACUUGCAACCAUUCUACUCCCUCCGUUGCACAAUACAUGCCUUCUAUUUGUCAAAAUAUAUAUGUAUCUAGACAUGUUUUAGUAUAUAUGUACAUCCAUUUUUGGACAAAUGGAAGUCAAGUAUUUUGGAACGGAGGGAGUACACAAUAAAAAUUUUAAGUUAGCACAACUAGUCUAAUCCAAGAGCACAACCGAAGAUUUGAUCGGGUUAUUCCUCCUUUUGCCGACACGUGGGACAUCCAGCAUCCAGGUCGUGUCAUGAAACAAAAUAGAGUGGUAGUUGAAGCCACGAGAUGUGCAUAUUGGGUUAAACUGUAAAUAGAAUCUUGCUACUCUUGAGUAACUCCAAAAGCGGCCACCGAAGAUCUUUAUUGGAUUUGUUUUUCAUCACCAGCACAUCGAGGUGAAAGAUGUGCAGGUUCAGUGGGUCCUCUUGCGUUUUUCACUGACAUGUGGGGCCGCAUGUGAGCAAACAGACGAGGGCUCCGCGCGUCCGCUGGUUGGCUGAGAAGAGAGAUAGAGGAGGGCUGAGCACGGACUGCAGGAAAUUUGUUCUAUAUAUGUACCUCGAUAUAGGCUCGAUAUAGUGGGGUGGCAUGGGCCAUAACUAGUAUUCACGUCUAGCAGUACGGCACACGCCACCCACACGAGUCCCAUCCGACACCAAUUUUCUUGGUGUCCGUGCUACAGCCAUCCCUUCUUCCUCCUGUUUUCUCAGCCAUCGCGCGGUGGGCGGGGUGGGGGUUUGCCGAUAGUCGGUUUGCUCAACUGCGGUCCCACUUGUAAGUGAAAAUGCAACACCACACGCAUUCCCGCUUGAGCGGCGUGCCAAACCAACCGUGUGGGGGUGCAAUGUGAACACGGCAGGCUUUUCCUUUUGAACUCGUAACUUGUAAAAUUUGGUUAUGCUCCAUGGCGCGACCGAUAGAUAGAAAAUAACGAUUUUGCCUAGAGUAAUGAGAAGUUUGGUUCUGGCGUCGUACAUGCAUGGAGUACGUACGAAAAUUAUGAAGUUGAUGCGAAAGGUAAGAUAAUUACUAUAGUAUCAUAUAUUACUACAUAGAUUUCAGGGAAAGAUAAAAAUACAUACGGAUCCAUCAACGACAUCCUCACACUCUAGUGCGCCGGGUCACCAACCGACGUGUGAGGAGCAGCGGCGUUGGCGGCGAGCUCAACAUGCUUCUGAACAGUGCCGUCCAAGGUUGCCCUGCGGUCCAAGAAGGCCAGUGUCCUAUCGUCCUCCUCUUGCAUGUAGUAGUCCUUAUGGACGAUUUGCGCGUAGACGUGGGUGAUUAUGUCGAUGGUGUCUUGCUGCGCCAGGCGUUGCGCGGCGAGCGCGACGUCGAGGUGGACAUUCUCUGGUGCGACGACGGGCAGUCACAGGGCCACCAGUGCGUCGAAGAGGUUUUCACCAUAGUGGCCGUUGAGGGUGGCGGGCAUCGCAGAGCCUGGGCGUGUCAGUUGGAGGCUUACGUCAAAGUCGUUUGCAAGCUUCUUGACGAUGGUGAACUUGUCGAGGAAACCGACGAGGACCUCAUCGAACAAGGCGACGAAGAUGUUGUCCAAACGGCCCCUCGCCCUAGCGGCCUCAAGCAAUACUACCUGGAGACAUUCCUCUGUGCUGGGCCGCAGGCCGGCGUCGUGGACCAUCUGGCACAGCCAGCUGAUGCUCGCGCUCAUCGCCUCCAGGGCCUAGCUUAGCUUCUAGUCAACUGAUCUUGCGAUUCGAGUGAACACUCUUGCCCUUGGUUAGCGUGCGUAGGUGCGUAGGAUUUCGCACUCCUCCUCGGCCCUCUACUGCACCUGCCUUUGGCUGUAUGAUAGGUGGGCCAGCCACCCCCUGGGCCCACGUGUCAUUCACCCAAAGACAGUUGCCGUAAGUCAAUGAAGCUGCGUCCCCCUCCGUGCCGGUGCAGUAUAGUCAUCUCACCGGACCUCUAUUUGGAGCCAAACGAGAGAAGUUUGAUGUUUACUGGUUUAUUGGCCCCCUUUGCAUUUUGCACCAAGUUUUGACCUUUGAUUUAACUAAUAAAAUGUUAAUGCAUGUAAACAAAAAUGUUGUGUAAGUCACCUUACGAAAACAAAAUAAUCCCAAAAUACUUAGGCAUGGUGCAUUAACUCCCUCCGUGUUUCUUAUUUCGUGACAUAUCAACCAAUGAGAGAUGUGGGUCGUGCAUGCUUUCAAUGACUUGAGACUACCAAACAUGACAUGCAGUGUUUAGUUCAUUGCAUGUAAUCCUAUUAGUACUCUAGUUAGAAAAAAACAUUAAGUUCUCUCGCUGAUAGGAAUAAAACACCAUGUAUUUAUUUAUAGAGGGAGUAGUACAUUUUUUGUGACAUGCAUUACUAGAUAUUGCUAGUCAAAUACUAAAAUCUAGAAGGACGUGGUAGUACUCCUAAAUUCAUACGAUGGUGCUACUAGUACUAGUAGUAGUACUACCAAUGUAGUAGUAGGAGUACUAGCACUGUACUACCCGUUGGUCAAAUUAUUACAUGCUGCUCCUCACAGUGAGGUGACAAGACCCUGCGCCGGAGAUGACACCUGAGUAAAGGCGUCGUGUUCGGCAUACCAUAGUCAGCCUCACCGUCUGCAGUCACUAUCAUCAUGGCUGUAGAGCUAGCCUGCUUACAACUAGCCCUGUUUGACAUAAUUUCCCAUGCGUAGAUACCCGUGCAUUGCACGAAACACCAAGAUUGGGAGUCACUACAAGAAACUUGUUAAUACAUUACGGUACUAGUCCGUCACAGAUCAGCCAAAAUCUGUCAUGCGUGCAAAUCCAUGACGGAUUUAAAAUCCGUCAUGUAUAUCGCGUCAUAAUUUGACAGUGUACCUUCCAUGACGGUUCUUGGCCGUCAUGAAUCUGCCCCAGGCCCGCCAAGCCCAAACUAGGCUGUGACGGAACAAUCCGUCACCGAUUUACAUGACGUGGAUGCGACAUGGACCUAACAAGUCGUCUACAUGGAUCUGACGUGGAGGCUAAUAGCCCAUGUUGUAACCAGCCCAAUUAGGGAUUUGGCCCAAUAAUUUUGGUGGAUGAUCCAACCAAUCAGCUGUUUAUUUUUUGUACAACCUAUUUUCACAAUGGAACACAAUUUACAACAGGACAACCAAAUUUUAUUCAUUCAAAAAAUAGCAAUUGUUUACGUGACAAUACAGAGUUCCAACAAUCUAGUCUGAUUUGAGAAAACAAAGCUAAUAUCAAUCACAAGAAUAUCUAGAAAGCACUAUAAGCACCUUUAAAAAAUGAGUAACAUGACUUCAAAGAAAAUGCACUUCUACUGAUUUUAAUCUCAAACACUACACCGAUCCAAGGCAACUAUCCGGGCCCAAGCAAUUCCUGCUAAAAAACUUCAAUCUCAACUGCCAAACCUGCAUAGAAUCAAAACACAUACAAAAUUGUAAUAAGUUAUAAAAGCAAGCUUCCAAACUAAUCCAGAGUAAUAACAUCCGUGGAAACGCCACUACUAUAUUAUGGAAAUAGGUAAAUGUGUGUAACACACGUGAAAACAACAGACUAGUUACAAGUUCAAAAAAAUUAGUCUGAAGAAAAGUGUGCCAAAUGAAAGUAUAAUCUAAGUUAGGCUACAAGUGACAAGUAACAAGCACACAUCACAAAGCUAAAAGUACAGUAGCAGCAGCAGUUGGUCCAGUAAUCGGUUCUGGACCGAACAGACAAUAUGUGCAUGGGGCUAACCAGGCUGGGAGUUGUCUAUUUUCUGGCCUAGCGAACAAAGAUGAGACAUGUACUUAGUUUUUUUUCUGAGAGGAAGCAUUGCCCCUGUACAUGUAUUUAGUUUAUCUUGAUCAACCGUUUCUGUACUCUAAAAGAAAUGAGAAAAAAAAAGUGACAUGCACUUAGGUUUUUUUGUGAGAGGAAGAUGUGCGCACAUGUAAGUAUAGACACUGUACCACACCAUUCCUUAGCAAACAAAAAUGACACUGUACCACACCAUUCCUGGAUCAAAAUUUUCUGUAUAAGCGAGCAGCUGAAAAUUAUGUAAAAAAAAAUCCGCCAGCAUAGACACUGUACCACACCAUUCCUUAGCAAACAAAAAUGACAGUAAAGAAGUGGCAGACUAACUUCAAGAUAAUUAACACAAACUGGGCAUAAAAAUAGGCCAAGUUCAAAUCCAAAUAUGUUAUGUUGUGGACUAUACUAGCUCAAUAUUUAAAUCAAAAUCAGCACCUAAGGAUUUUUCAUCUAACUUGAUGCUUAUGCUGCAAGUUCAUCUCAAAGUGCCAACAAAUACAGUACUAAACAAUACUUGCUUGCCAAGUGAAGUUCAAAUGGCAUGCAAAACAUUAACAAAGAACAUGAUACAAUUUCAUUGAGAGAUCUCCCACACUAAUAGUUUAUUUGUGGGGUACUAAACUAUGUACUUUUAUUUCAUGAAAAAAUUAAAAUCUGCACUGUAGUAAAUUAUUAAACAAGAAAACACUUGAUAAACGGUGAACUAAUAGUUAGGAAAGUCUAGUAGAGUAUGGAUACAAUGCAUGAUCUCAGGGACAUUGUCCAAUGCAGAUUUUAGGCACACAGAAAUAUCUGUACAAUUAUAACUACUAGAACCACACAACAGUCCACACCUUGAACAACUCACAAUAGUCCACACCUUGAACAGCUCAAAAUCUACAGCCUGAAUAAUUCACAUCAAGAAUGGAAGGGUAUCAAGCUCACCCUAUUCUGCUCAAGGACGGUGUCGUCGGCAUCGAUUAUGUGGGAGAUGUACUGACUAUAAUGUGCAAAGCAAAGAUAUUAGUGUGACAAUUGGAUAUGUGGUUUCAUUCAUUAUUACUGAAAUGCAAAUGUUGUCUCAACUGAACUGAAUUCUUACAGAACUAUGCCUUCCCAAAUGUCUAAAUUUACUAACUGAAUUCUUAAAGAAUUGAUUCAAUUGCAUACUAACUGAACUAAGGAACAAUGUACAAUGGGUAGCCGUACAUUAUUUUCCAUCUUUGCAUUGGUGAGACUAAAACACAUAUAUCAGACACCAAAUUACUAGUCCUUAAAAUGUGCCAACUAAAAUGAAAUACCUUUUGAUGUGAUAUACACUAUAAACCUCUACAUGUCCAGCAGGCAGUAGCUAAACUGAACAUUUGCUGCCACUGACAGCACAUGCUUUUGACCCUAAACACACAUGAAGGUAUCAAGGAGGUUAAUUGAACAUGGUAAAACUGAAAUAUUUAACAUUUGUUGAUUUUAUAUCGAUUCAUUUAAUACAUUGAGGACCCUAAACAGAUAAAACAACCGAAUUAAAAAACAGAUGUGAGUUAUCAACCCUUCAGACUAGCAAACUUAUGGCAGUUUAUCUUAUGUAGCGUAAUGUAAAUACAGGAAUUAGCACACAACAUAAUUAUCCUUCUGUCAGUUUAUCCUCAUGUAUCCUUAUUUAGUUUAUAUUGCAUACAGGGAUUUUGUUUGAAUUACUGCUUCAUCUAUUCAUUUCAUUUCUUCCAUUCUGUCAUACGGAUUCCAUCUUUCCUUAGCUUUGUGAGUCCACACACCGGCUGUAGAGGAGGAACAAGCGUCAGUAUUUGCAUCUAAUUCAGAAGAUUAAAACAAGGAAGAAGAAAUACACUAACAAUUAAGAGCAUAUCUAGGAAAGGAGAAGUUGCACAAUAUAACUAGCUAAGGAGACCAGGCCAG
RNAcentral lists this long non-coding RNA (106936 nucleotides) under Triticum aestivum (bread wheat). Its description in RNAcentral is "long non-coding RNA (TAES_LNC009767)". The stretch from base 5287 to 5420 matches the Rfam family "MIR1120/MIR1122 microRNA precursor family". The record is from RNAcentral. Lineage: Eukaryota; Viridiplantae; Streptophyta; Magnoliopsida; Poales; Poaceae.